CAGGCUUUGACCGAUAGUAACCCCUGCGCUCGGCGCAGCCGAAUCUAUAAAAGGAACUAGUCGCGGCAAAACCCAGUAAUUCCGAGGGAGAGUGAGUGGGGCCGGGACCGGCCGAGCCGAGCCCACACCUCUCUUCCCCUACGCGCGUGGGCAGGGCAGGGGGCUCCGCAGGACCGCGCAGCAGAAGCCCAUUUCCAGGGGCGCUUUGCUCCCCGUUUUCCCACACUUCUUUCUCUGCCCUUCACCGGAACGGUUGGUCAAGGGGUGGGGGAAAGAGACGCAAACACAAAAGUGGAAAACAGGUAAGAGGCUUUCUAGAGACUCGGACAUUAUUGUUUUGCUUUGGGGCGGAAGAGGCUUUGGGAAGUACCCGGUUUCGGGGACUCUGUUCCCGGCCCCCACAUUCCCACUCCUUGCAAUACAAAUGGGGUAGGAGCGGCGUAAAGGGGGAGAGGAUGCCUGCUGUGCAGACCCCGGGUCGCCGCACUGCUGCUACCCCCGGGGCUCGCCCUGUCAGGGUGUCCGGAGAGCAUCUUUGGGCAUGGAGAACCGGGAGCAGUACCUUGGGCGCAGUGAGGUCGGGGUUUCCUGGGCAUGCUGGGGGCGCUGCUACUGAGGUGGGGAGAGUGGCAGAUCGGACGCAAAGCGCUUCCCUUUGUUUGGAAGCGCUGGGGCCGGCUGGAAGCCCCUCUAGCUGCGAGUGAGCCGGCGCCCACGGGGACAAAUGCCAGCUUUGAGUCCUCACUCCUUUCUUAAGAAACUGGUCGGUGUUGAGCUCUGAGCUCGGGAUCAGCUCAGCGCCCCAGGACUGGAGAGGCUCGUCGUUGUAUCCACAGAACUGGAGUAGUUGUGUCCCAAACGGAGUCGGAUGUGAUAUGGCUCGCUUGAGGCCCGGGGGCUUUGUUAGACCUGGGGGUCCUGCCUGCAGUUUCCGUGCGCUCGCGGAGCUGUUGUCCCUGGCACAGAGGGUGGGGGUGGGGGAAUGAGUUUUGUUCCUUUCAAGACUUAGAAGAGCCUGCGGAAACCAGAGCCGGGGGACCCAUUCUGCUUCACCUUCUGCCCCAUCUUCUGCCCUUUGCUGCUCGUCCCUUGGGACAGCUUGAGGACCGGCGCGGGUGGCAAAGCUGGGGCGAGGUGGUGCAGCGAAAUGACCGCGAGUAACCCCAGCGGGCGGCGCAGAACUCGGAGCUGGCGGCUGGGCUGGGCUGGGCUCUGCGCGAGGAGAUGGGGGCUGGGCGCCGGCUGCCAGUGGCCCCUGGAGAAUGGCCCGCAGCGCCUCCUGGCCGGGUGGUCCAGGUAUUGGCCCGUGGCUGGAGCAGGGCGGCCUCCACAGUGGUGGGCUUCACUCCCGAAUUCAGACUGUGAAUCUGGUGAAGACCGGUGGUUGCAGACUGGAGGAACCCGGAGGCUCAGGAGAAAGAAAGCCCAUCUGAGAGAGAGGAGAGAGAGAGACAGAGAGAGAGAGAGAGAGAGAGAGAGAGAGAGAGAGAGAGAGUGUGUGUGUGUGUGUGUGUUCGCCUAUUUCUCGACUCCCAGGCCAUUGCUAAACCAGAGGUUUUUGGAGAGUUGCCUGGAUCUGGGUUGUGUGUAGAUGCCUGUUUUUAUCAGCACUUAUCAGAAAGAAGGAAAGAAAUAAGAUUAAAGUUAAAGAAGAAAGAAACAAAUAUCUGGCACUAGAUAAUUGGCCUUCCUCUAUUUCCAUGGAUAUCACCAGCUUUUAAAUCCUCAGAUUUUUCAAUAAUACUGCACAUAAGAAGUGGAUGGUAUAUGUAUUCAUAUAGUAGAGGACAGCUUUGGUAUUUUUAAAAAAUUUCUUUGGUGAUGGGAAUCACCAUAUCACUAUUUUGGCUCAGUCCUCAUCUCCUACAAACAUCUGAAAGUUUUCUCCCCAAGAGCAGAGUUUGACUCUUUUACAACCAAGUUCUGAUUUUCUUUUCAGACAAAAUUUAAAUGCCUACUAAAAAAAGUACUUAGUUUCUCAUCUCGCCUUUUAUUUCAGCCUGCUUUUCUCAAACUUACCACAAAAAUAAUGGAGGCUUUCUGUUGUUUGUAGCAUUCUUUUAAGAAACUCUUCCCACAUUAAAGAAAUAUUUGGAGAAUAUUCCUUAAUAGAACAUCUUCAGUUACUAAAGUAAUUUUUAAGUACGAAAUUUCCAUUUUUUAGACUGUUUCCCAUAUGUUCCCAUAACCCAUUAAAAUAAUUCAGGAUGAGGAAUUUUUGGAAAACCCUGGUUUCACAGAGUGAAUCAGUAUUUAUUUGAAAACAAGCAGUAGAAUCAGAGGAACCAGGGAAGAGGGUCUCUGGCCUUCAUGAUGACCACAGUCCCUUUAUGGGACAAGAAUUGCUACUAUAGUCAAAGUAAUUAAAGAGUCCCUUUGCAAAACAGCAUUCUCCCAAAAUGACAUAUCUGACUAUGACCCAAGAUAUAUAUGUCUUGCCUAUAGAUGAGCAUUUGAAAUCUCAAUUCUUAAAAGUAUUUUGAUUGGCAUCUAAAUGCAGGCUUAUAAUGGACCUUGGGCACAUUUUGGCUUAGAGGGUAUUUACAGUUCAUGUGAGACAAUGCAUUAGUCUGGAAUUGGAAAAGAAUACUUAGGGCUUGGUUGUUUCCAACCUCUGCUCAGGAAAAGUUCCAAUCCAAACAUUAUUAAAAAUGAAUGAAACUCAGCAACUCAAGCUUUUUAUUAUCCUUUGUAGUACCUACCUUAUAGGAGAGGGGGUUGGAUAUUUUUACAUUUAAACUAUUUGAGGGGAGGGUAUCUUCUUCUUCAUAAGCCAGGAUGCAUGUGCUUACUAUAUUUGUAGAGGCAAAUUAUUAGAUCUUUGCUAUUUCAAAUUUUAGCUAUUAAAAUAGUUAAAUGGACACUGGUCUCAAACUCUUUAUAAUCAUGAACCUUUGGCUAUCUAGAAAAUACCAAAAUGCAUGUUGUUUUUAAAUUUCUGAAACACUCUAAGUCUAAUAUUAACGAACAAAAUUAUAAUGUCCCAUAUGGUAAUUACUCCAGCAUCAAAUUUUUUUGGGGGGAGGAGUACUAGUGCUUGAACUCAGGGACACUCAACCACUGAGUCACAUCCCCAGCCCUAUUUUGUAUUUUAUUUAGAGACAGGGUCUCAGUGAGUUACUUAGCACCUCACUGUUGCUGAGGCUGGCUUCAGGUAUUUAAAUGUGGAAUGUCACAGACUUGCCACAGACCUGUAAUCCUCCUGUCUCAGCCUCCCAAGUCACUGGAAUUACAGGCAGGAACCACUUCUCCUGGCCAGCAUCAACUUUUAAAAGAUCAUUCUGAAUGCUUGUUUUAUGUAACUGUGCUGAGAGAGGGCCUACACUAAAAACUGAAGCCAUCUUCACAUCUGCAAGUGAAACUAGCAUGAAUGCCCAAGUUAUUGCAGUGUUUAUGUAGUAGACACUUUAUAUAGCACUGUGUCAAGUACUGCUCUAAAUGCUUCUCAAAUACUAAUUUAAUCUUUACAACAAACUCAUUAUCUUAAUUUUGCAGAUUAAGAAGCUCAGAGGCUAAAUUGUCCCUGGCCAUACAGCUUGCCGGUGGCAAAGCUUAUAUUUGAACUCAGUUCCAGAGUUCUUAACUCCUACAUUAAGUAGACCAAUUUCAGCUUCUAUGAGAAGGGAACUUUGAAAGAUGCCCAGUGUGGUCUCUUUGUAUAUCCAUCUGCUAUAGUCCUUAUCAGAAUCUACAACAUUUAUUAUAUAUUUCCUUGGCUGCCUUUAGUGGGCCAGCCAAAUUCUCUUCAGCUUGUUGAGACCUUAGUUGCAGAGGGAUUGUGACACUGCGUGACACACAGUGACAUUUACUCAACUCUAAUUUUUUAAACUUGGUUUAAACUAAAAAUUAUAUGAUUGCUUUAGCCAAUUAUUUGUGAAUAAUCUGUAAUCUCAAAAGUGUUUUUCUGUGUGAUAUACAGUAUAGAAAAUGGAAUGGUGGAGUAUUUGGCUGCAAAUGUAAGGAACAAAGAAAAAGGGAAGAGAAAUGUUAGCUUAGCUGUUAAUCCUAGCUUUGGUGAAUUUUUAAAAAAUUGGUUAUUAUACUGUGUGAUUCUUACUUCACUUACCUCCUAAAUGGGUUGUGAACCUUUUGAAGUAAGCUGUUUCUGUUACUGCUAUUAUCGUCUAGAAAUGAAAUCAGCUUUUUCUUAGGUUUAUUCUCUAGAAGUAAGUACAGUUUCAGAGUCCGCCUUAUAAAAGUGAAAUAGAACAGAACACUGCAUUUCUUCUCAAUUGGUGUAGCAAAUUAGAAAUAAACUCUUUGAAAACCCUUCUCAGUAAAGCAGCUUGUAUUUACUCUUGACUUAGUGUGUGCUGAAUGUCCUUUCAAGGGUUUUACAUGUGAUAACUCAGUUCAUGCUCAUGUGAACCACAUGAGAUGGGUCCUAUCAUUAUCUUUAUAGAUUGGGAAACUGAGUUAACUAGCCUGGUUAUGGUCCCAAGUUAUCUCCUAACUAGUUCCGCUUGCAUGAGUUUACCAAUCUUGGGGUUAAAAACUUUGUUAAAAUAUAAAAAAGUUUUGAUAAAUGAAGUACUAGCAAAAGGAAAAAAAAUAUGGAUCUUCCUUUUGAGUAUUUUCACUUGAAAAUAGUGUCCUGAGUUACCAGCACCGAUGUUAUUAGAGCUACACUUUAGAAAUACAUGAAGCUAGUGGAUGCAAAUCUCAUAUAUAAGUGUUUUCAAACCAGGGCCUUCAGUUACUCUGCAUCCCAUUAAGACCAUAAACUAUUAAAGCAAAGAGCUUUUACUGUUAACCAUGCAGGAGCAUCACAUUUGGUUCCCAAGACAAACUGCAGUUAGAAGUCCUAUCUUUUUUCCAUUCUGAAGAGGAACUUGGAUUCAAAACCCUGAGAAGUUUUUGCAAACCUGCUUUAAGACCUGAUUUGAACAUCACCAUCCUCACCUGGGUUCACACUUCCCUUCCAACACUGAGUUAAAAUUAGUUAUCCCCUUCUUGCCCCGCUGUACUCUUCAUGUCCUGUAUUUAGUAUUUUUUAAAAUUAUAGUUAACAUUUAUUUGUCUUUCUUUUGCACGCAUGCUUCUCUAAAAAAGGUCUUUGACUCACUCUCCCCUGUCCUUAAUCAUUCCCAGUUAUACGGAAGGGGUUUAAUAAUAAGUGGUGACUUGCACAAAUGCAACAGGGAAUGGAACCUCAUGCUUGUUUCCUGUUUUCUUAAAGUUUUUUGAGUUGAUGGGAUAACCACUGAAAAGCAUUAGCAAUAAAAUUACAGGACAAAUAACUGUAGUUUAAGCUAGGUUUAUGAUAGAUAAAGUUUAGUGCGUAUUUAAAUUAUUUAGGCAAGAUUACUUCUUGUAGAACAAACAAUUCUGUUUUGCUCAGUUUCAUUUCCCUUUUGGAGGCAGCUGUGAUUUGAGAAAAUGUGCAAGUCUGUGACAUUCCACAUUUAAAUACUUUGAGUUGUACAUUGAUUUAUUUUUAUGGAGAAGAAGGAGAUAACUCACCAAGUAAUUCAGAGAUUUAAGCACUUUUUUAAAAAACAAAAUAACCUGGUGUGCAUCGGAUCUAUUCCUUUAUACUUUUGUUUUUGUUUCUGUUUUUUGGUGUUUGCUGAACUGUGCAAUGUUUUCUAUGCCAAAUACAACUUCCAAGAAGCAUUUGGAAGUCAAAGAAUUUUAUCUGGCUAGUCUUAAAAUCAAGAUGUUUUAUCAUAACUGGUAUUUAUUAUAUGCCAUUUUCUAGGUAGAAUUUGCUGUUAGUGAUCCAUUUAUAAAAUACUCUUUUGAGGCUAUCUUUAGAAUAUUUAUUUAGUUCUUUCUAAACAAGAAAACAGACAUAUUGUUUCAGGGCAUCUUGAACUACAGUGCAGAUAUUAUGAAAAUGAGCAUGGAUAUUAAACUCAAAUUAACAUAUAUUGGAAUUCUGGUCCUAUCAGUGAAUAUAUGCAUUAGGCAAGUUGCCAGUCUCUUUACCUCAUAAUACAUAUUUAACCUGUUAAAUAUGUAUUUUUUUUUGUGUGUGCAGGGGGCGGGGUACGCGUUUAUAUAGUGUUAAGCAUAUGAUAUGAUGCUUGAAAUAUUGCUAUUCAUUUUACACUGAUUUUUAAAAACUUGAUUUUUAGUUUACUUCCACCUCAGACUGUUUUAUUGCAUGUUACUUGCAUUGAUAUCUCACACAUGGAAAAAGUAGAUGAUAAUUAUUGAAUUAGGUUUUAAUCUUACUAAUGAUUAUCAUUUUGGGGGACAGGGGCUCCUUAGAUAAUUUCCUUAGGAUGUGUUGAAAUUUAUGGAUUCUCUCUUAAGAAGAAACGUGCAUGGGCUCAUAUACUCCAGAUUCUAUGUUUAAUUACAGUAUAUUCAGAAACUACUCCAAAAUCACUAAGAAACCAUGAGGCUCUGGGAAAGUCAUUUUACUUUUCUGAGAUUUAGAUUGUGGGCCUAUGAUAUGAAACUUCAUGACUUUUAAAAAGCCCUUCAAGCUUUUAGAUCCUCUGACUCCAGGCCUGUACAUAGGAGAAGGGGCAGUCUUUUGAUUUUGGACAUCUAGAGAUGUGUUCUAAGGGACAUAUUCAGCAUUAUUGUAAUGCCUCGUGUGAUUUGGAGUGGUGGGGAAAAGCACCCCAGAAAUGCUUCAGAGCAUUUCUGAGGAAGUGAGGAUGAAAGAAAGGAAAAUAAUGGAAGAGGAAGGUGGAGGAGAGAAAGCUGUUGAAUUUGCCUAUUUAUCUGUAUUGAGGGGACAGAGAGUUGGAUCAAAGUCUCAGAAUGAGGUUCUUAUCUGAAAUGCAAAGAAAGAAAGUUGGUUCAGUUUUAAUAAAAUUCAAUAGAGCAAACUUGGUUGAAUGAAGACUCUUGUUUUUCCUCUGAUUGACCAUUUGGAAAACCCCUCCAAAAGAAAGUAUGUUUCCAUCUUGGACAGCUCCAAUUUGGGCAUAGGUUUUGCUUUUUAUACUUAAGCCAGGUCAAAGGAAAAAAAUAAAAGACUGCUAAGACUCAUUCAGCCUCCAAGAAAAUAGCACAGGUGCUUGUGCUGUAUGACAAUUGGGCUAACUUUAUAGGGAUAUUUCUAAAGAGCUUGGAAGAACUUCAUUGUGAGUAGGUGGAUAAGACCCAUUACUUCCUAAAAUAUUUCCUGAAUUUGUUGCUUCAAAAAUCAUAUUAGAACUGGGAGGAAGAACAAAAGGUUCUUGACAGGGUUAGGGGAUGGGGAAGGAGCUGCUAAGAGGUUGCUUGGGUGUCAAAUCCUUGCUUGUUCUCGUUUUGCGAAGUUCCUUUUGGGGACCAGGUUUGGAAUAAUUUAUUUUUAUUUUUAAUUUUAAUUUUUCUCCACAAAUCAAACUAAGCUUGUUUUCUUAAAGAAACGAGUCUCUGGAGGUGGCAGUUUGAAAUCGAUUGGAUCUGGUAUUUAGAUGAUCCAGAUUUGACAUAAAGGCAAUACCGAUGAAAGCAGCAUUAUUGGGAAUGCAGAGAGAAAGCAAAGGCCCAAACUGAUGAGCUCAGAUGACCUGCAGACCUUUCUUCACUUUCAGACACAGGGCAUUGGAAUGGAGGUGGCAGUUUACUUUAGCUGGAGUGUGGUUGAUCGCUGCUGCUGGGAAAAGGAUGUAAGAGGAAUUACACGAUUGACAGUCACAACAACAACUACAAAAUAUUUACGUAUUUUGAAAGUAAAUGUGCUAAUAUCCAUACAGUAUUGUUAAACUGAAAUUCAUUUGUUCGGCAAAUGUUUAUUAAACACCGCGUACCAUAUAAAAUAUUAGGCUCUGAACAAACGUCAAGACGUGUAAGGAUCUGUCACUGUAAAUGACUUCUUUAGCUUGGCAUUCAAGGCUCUUUAAAACAAGCUUCAGAUCUAUUUUGACAACUUUGUCCCAGAUUAUAAGAAGUGUAUUAGAAGGAACUACCUGGUGAGUGACUGACGUAUUGUAUCGCUCAGUAACUGUUAAAUGAAUCUCCCUCUACAGUUUUUAUCUUUUCUCUGACUUCUGCUUUGAGAACUUGUCCCUCCUUGUUGUUCUAGAAUCUCACAUCCAUCUUUCAUGUUUGCCUUUGUUUUCACUGUGUCCUAAACUCAUAUAUUUGCCUACUGAAAUUUGACCCAUCAACCACACCACAUGGCUAAUGAAAGCCCACUGUGAGUUGGGGCUUCCUGCACAUCAUCUUUUUAUCUCAUUUAAUAUUCACCCGGGACAGGUAGCAUUCAAGAUGGCUCAAGUUAUUUAAAUUGGCUUACAUUUUUGUAAUCAUCAAUAUAUUUUAAAAAUUAACAUUCCAUUAAGCCUACAAUUUAAAAAAUGUUGUUGUAAAUAGAAGGUAAUUUAAAAAUAAUUAGAAUGAAAUGGAAUCACUUUUGUUGAUGUCUGUCUAUAAAAUAUUGCUUUCCAAAAGCACUAAUUAACUCAGAAACUUGUUCUCAUUUUCUUAAAAAGGGAAAUUAUCAAGAAAAAAGAGGUGCCGAAGAAAAGACUAAACAAAAACUAUCUCCUUUAUGUAAUUAAGUUUUGAGCUAAAGAAGUGCGAAGCAACAAUAUUUUCCCAUUUUGUGAUUCAGUGUUUAGUACUGUGCCUGUCCAUCUUUUAAACCCCUCUGAGUAUUACUUUAAUCUGUCUUGUGUGACUCUUUCACAUUUGAGGAAAUGUUGAGGUUGUCUGUUUUAGUCCCAUUUUCCACAUGAUGCACCUGACAGAGAGAAGUUCAUGGUUCCUGUAUCUGGCUAAUGGCAGAGCCAGGGAUUCAAAUUCAAGUCUUGCUGAUUCCUGAGUUUGUACUGUUUAACUUGCUGCAUUUGUGUUAGUUUUCUAUCACUAUGACAAAAUACCAGAGACAAUCUACUUGUAAAGAGAGAAGGCUUAUUGUGGCUCACUGUUUUGUGGAUUCAAGUACCUCAAUUGGCCCUGUGGCGAGGCAACACGUCAUGGUGAUAGUGGCAAAUAAAAUCACUCACCUCAUGGCUAGGAAGCAAAAGAGAAAGAGGAAGUCUCUUAAGUCUUUUGUGUCUUUAGUCCAGGCUUCUUUCUACUGUACCCGUAGAGUAUUCUUUACAGUGCCAUGUGGGAGAGAAAAAAGAAUUUGUAUCUAUAAAUCCUGUCCUUGUCAGCUUAAAUUGAAACGGAAAUCUUAAAUAUCAGGCUGGUCUCAUUUUUUUUUUUAUUCUAUCUGUUGGGCCAAUUUGAAUGAGAAGGGAAUAUUUGUAGAAAUCCUGAAUGUUGAGAAUUUUCAGGCACUGUUUCUUUAUGCAAAAGUAUAAAAUCCUGUGCUAAUUUUGCCUGGUUAAGAUUAGUUGUGAUUUGAGGCCAGAUAUGUGUGUGUGUGUGUGUGUGUGUGUAUAAUAAUUUUGAUGACUGUGUUAAUUGUAGUAAAGGACCUUGAGUUCAAAAUAAAGAAAGCUUUUGGUCAAGUAGUAUUUAUUCAGUUGUCAGUCUUGCUGCAGGAUUUGCAAAUUUAAUGGAAUUAGUGUCAUUUUCCAGUUUAUAGUGCCAGUAACAUUUCACAUGGUCACAGCAUGGCUUUCUCCUCUGGGGAGCAAAUGGAGGGUUGUCUGACACUUGGUUCAAAUGGCUUCCAUUAAGGGGAGUAGAUUGCCCCAGGAGCCUGCAGAGAGGAACAGAGUUCUUGUCCUCAGGCGGAGCUGCAUCUGGGGAAGUUGGCGGUCUCCUGAAGUAGACACUUAGCACACUGUUACUUAAAUGCCACCAUAAAACCACAGUUGAAAAACAGGAGACUAGCAGAAGUUCCGCCUAAUAAUUUAGUUCCAUUUUUCCUUGAGAACAUUUUCUUUGAUAUAUGGAAUAUUUGACUUGUGAAAAUCUUAACCACAUUGGCACUUUUUACAAGGAAUAAACAGAAUCUUUGAUAAUACUGGAGUAAUACAGGUGUAUUUCCUUUUGUGGGAUCCUCCCAGAUCUCAAAUAAUAGUGUUCAUGUUGCAAUUUUUUUUUUUUUAAAGCUGAAAGCCUUAUAAGUUCUUGUUUUUCAGAAUCACAAGUAGAAUGUGGAUUUAAACUUAUGAUCUGAUUCCUCUUUCUUCUCUUAACUUAGGCUGCCAACAAAGUGGCUUGUUUUGGUUUACUUUAGAGGAGGACUUCAGUUAUUAGGCUUGGAGGGCAGGACCUGUUCCUCUGUGCCCUGCCUGGCACCUUGAUGAAAUCCUCACUUAUCUCGUCAGCUGGCUCUCACUGGACUGUGAAAACAGAGGUGCCUGGGACACAUGACAUCCUGCACUGCCUCAAAAGCCGGCUGGUAAAAGAACCCUCUGGAGAAGGGUCCUGGUAGUGGUCACACACUCUCUGAGCUAGAACUAGAUGUGAACCUGGAGAUUAGAUGACUCAGUUUGGCCAAAGUGGAGGGAAUAAAGUAUUAUUACGGAAAAAUCUUAUACAGGUGUCAACAGCUUUUGAGUGAGUUCUUGACUUGAGCCUGUGGGUUUAGAGUUCAAGCUCUUGAGCAAGACUGAAAGUCUUGUACUUUAGGGUGAGCACCUAGGGAAGGGGUCUCUGUCAUGUUCACAAGGGUUCCAGAGCUUCUGCCUGGCCAAUUCCAUAUUCUCUCUUAUUCUUACAAAGUUAAUGAAGAUGAAUGACUUUCCCAACAAACUACAGACACUUUGAGGGAAAUUGAAUAAAAUGUUCUUCUGUUUAAACUUGCUUCUUUGAACACAACUGGAAAUAUUUCGUGGUUUUGGGUACCUGAACCUUUUCUUUCAGUGAAAUUUCUGGUUUGUUGCUGUAGUAAAUCUACCCUGUUUUCUCAUCCCUGAGGUUUUUUCCCAAGGGCCUCAUUCUACAAAUGUUUAUGUAGCACCAGGUCAUCCUUGGGCUCAGGAUGGCAGAGAAUAACAUAUGGAGACACACUAGCUUGCUGCAUACAGCUUAUAAUUUAGUACGGCCCAUCUGAUAAUUUGAUCUGUUGAAGAUUAUUAUAGAUAUCUUUAAAAAAGUUGUAGGAAUUACAAGGCUCAGAUUUCUAAUAUAAGGAGUGGAAAACUGAAGUAUUUGCUGAAGAUUUGGAGGAAAGCAGCUGUGGGUUAGGAAAACAGGAGCUGAGGGCUGGGUUGUGGCUCAGAGGUAGAGCCCUUGCCUAGCAUGCAUGAGGCACCAGGUUCAAUCCUCAGCACCACAUACAAAUAAAAUAAAGGUAUUGUGUCUACCUAUUACUAAAAACAAAUAGAUAAAUAUAUAUAUAUAAAAAAAAGCAGGAGCUGAACGCCAUGAAAGUGUGGGGAGAACAGUACAGGUGAGUGGGGACCCCUGAAAAGGAAUUUUAUGGUAAAACAAUGGCCAAAAGUGAUUCCAGGAUACCCAGAUAACACUGUCACUUCUUCCAGUGAGUUUGCUGGGCAUUGGAGAAAGCUCCAGUUUGCUCUGGAAAGGCCUUUAAGGGAAAUGAUAUCCUGUGAAGACAAAGAAGAGAGAUUCCUUUACUUAAUGCCCCACCCUCGCUGGGCCCCACCCUGGAUGACAGCUUCACUCUGCAGGUCGGCCUUUCUCAUCACGGUAAUAGCUACUGUGUGCUGUACUUACUCUGUUACAGGAACUGGAUAAAUGCUUUAUACAUUAUUAGCUCAACUUUAUGGAGAGGAUACAGGGACUCAGAGUCGCUAGGCCCAGAGCCAGUGAAUAGGAGUGUCGCGAUUCAAAGGUGGUUUCUCUGACUCCAGAACUGUCUUUCUUCCUACUGGACCAGUUGAUUCAGGAAAACAGAAGAAUUAAGGAUUGGGGGAGUUUGCUGCAUAGCAGAAUAAAUCCAAAGGAAAGGAAAGGGUGAAAGAUUUGGGUUUUCCUAUCCCUCAUAUCUUUGAGCAUUUUUAAAAAUAUACGCUCUUUUAGGCUUGGGGAAUGCUGGAUGUCUGAAGACCUUUCAGAGAUUAAGCCAAACAAAUAAUUUUUGCUAAAAAUCAUUUUCCUAAAAUCCUAUUGGAAAACCAUACAACAGGGAAUAUUAAGCCAUCAAGUCUUUCUGCAGCUCACAGAUUGCUGAGUGGGGCUUGUUUGCUGGUGUUUCUAUAGCUCACGGUGUUUGUAAAUGCGAGAGUCCCUAUUCUUUAGGUUGCCUUUAUUCUGGCAUUAUCAUUAUGGUUGGAAAUGUGAUUUUUUUUUCUUAUGACCUAAAAUGCUGAUAGUUGUUUCUUUUCUAAGAGAAAAUUUCAUUUUCUUAUGUGCUACAUAGACUCACCAAAGAAAAAGCAAAUAGUUGUUUUGUUUGCUGAAAUCUUCCUUUGAAGGUCGCUCUGUGGAAGGGGAAAAGGGGCUCUCUUAAGAAUUCUCCAUAAUUCUACUACAAUGAAACAAGGAUGUGGGUUUAAAACAGGCCUUCUUCCACAAAGCCUGACUCUUCAAAGAUUUGUAGGUCCUAAGACCAUUUAGCUGGUAGCAUCUGGAUUUUUGAGAGUAAUGCAUAGAAUCAUUGGUUGUCUGUCAAUGGCAUGAUAGAAACAGCUUUAAACUUUCAGGAUCUCCUUUAAAACAGAAUUGUUGAUAACAUGAGAAAUUAUGCCUCUCAAGCACUAGUUACAGCCGGGCACGGUGACACAUGUCUGUAAUCCCAGCAACCUGAAAGGCUGAGGCAGGAGGAUUGCAAUUUCUAGGUUAGCUCCAGCAACUUAGUGAGACCCUGUCUCAAAAUAAAAAAAAUAAAAAAUAAAAAGGGCUGGAGAUAUAGCUCAGCGGUAAAUUGCCCUGGGAUCAAUCUCCAGUACCCCCAAAAGAAAGGCUAGUUAUAGAUUUAUGCACUAUUCUUGGAUUUCUUCUUUCUUUUUUUGUAUAUUCACUUCAUAGACACUUCAUAGAAAAUUGGCUAUUAACAAAUAAUUUUGUCUGGAGAAUUGGAUAUGUAUUCCUGAGUGAAAGAAGGGUGUGCAGUUAUCAUAUCUUAUUGUUACUAAUAAUCAAGUAUGCAUGAUGAAUUUGGUACUUUUAACCCCCCACCUCAUGUUACAGACAGUUAGAAUUAAUAAAAUUCAUUGGAUCUAUGUAUUUUUAAAAUGGGAUGUGUGUUGGUAGAGCUUCUUCUAGAAUGAUGGAAUUCUUCUGGAAUGGUAGAAUGACUUCAUUUUAUCCUUGACAUUUACCUUGGAUGAUUUCUUAGCCCUUGUUUUCUCAAAUUUGAGUAUUAAAAUCACAAUUUAGGGACACAAUUUCAGGGGGACUGAGUAUCAACCCUUUAUACCAUGGCCCUUUGGUAGCUCUCUUUUUAAUUCAGGGUGAUGUCAUUGGAAUUGACGGUCCAUGGGAUGGUUGUAGAAUUUAUAGGGUGUGUGUGUGUGUGUGUGUGUGUGUGUGUGUAGGGGUGCAAUUUUAGGGGUACUAGCAAGUAUGUCUUUAAGGACAGAGAGCCCAUUAGCUUCUGGAGGCCAGAAGAGUUAAACAGAGGCAGUCAGAGUAGCCUAAGGCUUGCUAAAGCUGAAGGGAGAAAUCAGGGAUGACUCAAAAUCCUCUCCUGCCCCCUUGGCAGCCACAUUCUGUCUUCAAUCAUGGGUGCUGAGCCUGUUUGAGCCAGAUCUUCUGGCCUUUAGUAACCUCAUUAGACUUUUCCCUGAAGAUGGCUACUGAUCCAGAGAUGGCCAAUUCAGAGAGGCAAUUAGAGAACAGGCCUUUUCCAAAGCAGGCAUGCUCUGCUGGGCUUACAAGUUUCAUAUCCUAAUAUUACAGGACCUUGUACAUCUCUCUGGAGCCUGGGCACAUGAUUCACAUCUGUGAUUCUUGCUUUUGCAUCAACAUUUCAUAAAUAGAUGGUCAGUUGAGCCUUAGCACCGGCAUCUUUCUGUUCAUGUCUAAUGUCAUUUACAUUAAACUCUUGCUUUGUAGUUUACUGGCUAGUUGUUUAUUAACAUAAAACAUCUAGAACACUAUAAAUAUGUACACUCUUUGUCCAUUUCUUACCUCAAGUAAGAAAAGGAUAUUUAUGAACAGUUUCAUCAAGAGAGAUACUGAGCUGUUGUCAGAAAUUGCAACUUCUGUCUCACUUCUGGUAAUGAUGUGGACACUUGUCUUAAAGCACAAUAUUCACAUAUACAUUUCUCUCUCUCUCUUUUUUACUUUUAGUUUAGAGAAAUAGCUAUCAUAUAAUCACUGGUUUUGAAGAGUGAAAUUAACUGCUGCCUGUACAUUCUGGAUAUGUGAACUGUUUGGAUAGAACUCAUAAGAGAAAUGUGUUCAGAGGAAUAAACAGUCAUAGGAAAAAUAGCUUGGUGGGAAGGAGUAGUGCGAGUCAUUGAAAAAGUGAUCUCCUGAGCUCCCUUGGAGCAGCUCUAAGUCACUUGCUCUGGGUUCUUAGCUUCUCUAUCUACAUGACUACAUGACAUGUGGUAGGAUUGGGUCUCCAAAAUCCCAAGGCCCUCCAUCUACUACUAAUACAGCAAUCCGACAGAGUAUCAACUUGGGAAGGCCCUUCUCUCCUGCCCAGAAGGGGUGGCUUCUGUCUCCUUGGGACCUGACAUUGAUGUGGUCCCUGCCUGGAGAUCUUGUUCCUGGGAACAUGCCUGAUUAAGGCACGUAUACUGACUGCCACCCUUCAAGAGGAGCCCGGUACCAGAGCUCUCAUGCUGGCCAUUUCUUGCAAGAAAGAGCAAGACCAGAUCAGCCUUUUGUUACAUGUGAGGACGGCUUCUGGUAGCAGGGCAGUCCUGCACAAGUUCCCUUCCUCCUUUUCCAUAGACUGCGUGCUACAGAGGGUAGAGCUCACAGGAAGGAGUUCCUGUUUUUCUUUCUGCUGUGCCAAAUUGGGGGAAAAUAAAUCCUCCUCCCACCUUGACUUUUUAACUCUUCCUUUCUUCUUUUUUAAAGUUAAAAAUUUUUUUUUAAACUCUUCUUUCGUCUCUCUUGGAACUGGACAUGUCAAGUUCAAAAGGGAAAAAUGUUUUGGUGAGAAAGGGAGGUGAGGAGAAUAGCUUGGAGCCCAGGGUCAUCAUUUCUCCUGUCUUACCAAGCUUCUUGUGAGCUAUUCUUCUUCUUAUUAUUAUUAUUUUAAAAUUAUUUUUAUAUUUUAUUUUUUAAAUUUUUUCCUUUUGCAGCAUCACUGGGCCUGACUGACAUUCCAAGUUCUGGUCUAGGGAAAGUAAAAAGAAUGUCUGAUACUGGCUGUUAUUUCAAUGACCUCUUUGUGGGUAGCAUAUGACUGGGCCACUGUCACUUCAUUAUCCUCAAGAUGCUUCCUCAGAGGAGUUAUUUUCCUUUCCCUGUUAUGCUCUGUGUCCUUCCUCUUCCUCCUCUUCACCCACUGUCUUGGCAACCCACAGUUAUUGUCUACUUUCCAUCUUCUCUGCUAGAACAGAGAUCCAAUGAAGGCUGGAAGCUUGUGUCUCUUGUUCCUUGCUGAACCUCUAGGGUCUUGCAAGCACCUGGCACAUGAUAGAUGCUCGACAAAUAUUUGUUGUGGCUAAUGGGAGCCUUUCGAGUUAAGGCUGCAGUUGUGUGUGGAAUUAAUAAGUAGUUAUGAAUGUUUAUCUACUUUUUCUUUUCUGAGGGGAUCACACAAUAAUCAGGCUUUCUACUCUGUGGUUCUUAGAUCUUCCAAGGUGUAAUUUGACCUUUAGGCAUGUUAAUUAUUAUAGCAGAAGGCAGAUUUUUUUUUUUGGUGUUGGGUUUAUUGAUAUAUAAUUUAAAUACAGUAAAAUUCACCCCUGUAAACUAUGCAGUGUGAUGCGUUUUCACAGAUGUACUACCACCACUCUUCUAAUAGAGAACAUUUCUAUGCCCCUACACAUUCUAUCCUCUUCCCCUGCCAUAACCCCUGGUAACCAUUGUCCUGAUUUUCGUCUCUUUUGUUUCACCUUUUCCAGAAUGCCAAAUAAAUGGCUUAUUUCUCCUAGCAUAAGGUAAUUGAGAUUUAUGCAUGAUGUUGCAUCUAUCAGUAGUUGGUUCCUUUGUGUUGCUAAGUAGUAUUUCAUUUUUAUUUAUUCUCCUGUUGAUGCACAUUUUGAUAGUUUGCAGUUUGGGGCUACUCUGUAUAAUACUUCUGUAAACAUUUAUAUUUAUGUCUUUGUGUGGACAUAUACUCUCAUUUUUUGAAGGGUAAAUACCUAGGUUGGGAUCGGUGGGUGAUGUCCCGAGUAUAUGUAAACCUUAACAAGAAACUGCCAAACUUCUUAAAGUGUCUCUUUCAUCGUGUAUUACCACAAUCAGUGUCCUGAGCUCCAAUUACUCCACAUAUUCCCUAGCACUUUUUUUUUUUAACUUUCAAUGGAUAUGUAGUGAUAUCUCAGUGUAGUUUUAACUUGCAUUUCUCUGCGAUGUGUGAUGUUAUGCAUCUUUGCUUAUUGGGAUGAUUCUAUUUUUAGCAAUCUUUGGUAUUCUGUAGAUAUGAAUAGCUUCAGAAUAUCAGUGGCAUUUGAAGUGAAAAUUUCAGAAAAACAUUUGUCACAUUUGAGUAGUUACUUCUUCCAGAUCCAUGAUGCCCCAAACAAGUUUGAGAUAUGGAAAUUACCAAAUUCUGGCCAGGAGUGACCCACCUGAGUGACUGAUGACAAGACCUAGAGAGCCCGCCACUAGGACUUGAGUCUGAGGAUUGGCAGAAACGGAUUUCAGCGGUCCCUGUGGCUUCGGGAGGGUUGCUCAGUCCGUAGCUAAGCCUGAUGUUUAAGCGAAGCAGAUUUAGAUUCAAUUACAGUUUCCAGGAUGCCCCAGGAGCCACCUGGCAAGCUCAGCAGUCCUUUGUGACCCUCUUCAGUGUGAGGUGGAAGGCUGCUGUACACAGAGCUUCCUCUCUGGGGACAAUUUGUCUGAAUCAGUUAGUAAAGCUUAUGAAAUCAGUUACCACAGGCCCGUGAAUGUCACCACCCUUGAAUGCUGAGACCCUAUUUCUCAUGUCUAUCAUUUUCUUAAUUAAUUAAGUCAACAUCCCCUGAGUUUUGCCUGUAUUGUCUUUGAAAAUAGUCAUGAAGGAACCGGGACCCAGAAGAGGAAUACUCGUAUAAGGGAAAACAGAGGUCUCCCUGGGGCCACCUAGGAAGGGGAGGUGAUCAGGAAAGGAAGCUGAGGAAGUGAUGACUAAGUGGAGACCCAAGGUGGAGGAAGACUUGGCCAGGGUGACAGUGCUGGAGAAAGGACAAGGGAACACACCCGAGAAUUCCCAGCGGUCCUUGAGUGUACCACAGCCGGAGCCUGUGAUUCAGAGCUCCAGGCAUUGCUGAGCAGGUGGGGAAUGGUGAGAGAGUAGGCUGGAGUCCCAGCCAGGAGGCCAGAGGCUGGUGAACCUUGUGGAGGAUUGGACCUCAUCCUCAGGGCGGUGAGGAGCUGGAAAGGAUGGUGGAAUGGCAUAUUUGGUUUGGUCAAAGAACUUAGGUGCUGUGGGUCAAAGGGAUGGACAUGGGGCAAGACUGGAGGAAGGGAGGCCAGUAAAGUGGCUGUUGUGGUUCUCCAGGAGCAAGAUGAGAGUAGCCUAUUGACUGGUGAUGAUUGUGAAGUGGGAUCCUUUCCAGCCAGUAACUGGAAAUGUGUAGAAGGGCAGGAGUGAGCCUGCUAUGCUUUGAAACAUUGAGAAAUCCAGUACAUUACGUAGUACUGGCUUUUUUUUUUUAUGGUUUCUGGUUUUGUUUGUUCACUUCCUUGGAAAACUGAUGUGGUAAUGUCCCUUUGGCUUUGUUACCUGGGCAGAAGGGUUCAGGCAUUGACAAACCCUUCUCUUUGGAGAGACUUGCUCCCAGCCUUGAUCAUUGUGCUCUGAGACGGGGGCGGAGGUGGGGGAUUGUGUAGGAGGCCAGGAAAUGCCAAGGUAGGCGGGAGGAAUUGGGGCAGGAAGCCUGCCUGUUUGCACACAGUGAAGCCAGAGUAGAACUUUCUCCUGCUGCCCUGGGCUACUUCUUGCUAACCAUCCGUUUGUCUCUUUAGGGUCUGUGGGGUCCGCACCCAUGUUUGAAGACCUAAAAAUGCAAUUUUAUAUAAAUGCCGUCCAAGAAACCCCCUCCUGGUUUUCCUUUCCUCCUUUUCUCAUGAGCAUUCUGGUGGUUCUUCUCUUCCUCUGAGCUUCUCCGUGCAUAGUUGAGGGAAGGAAAUUCUAUACUUGGGUUCAGCCCUGGAGACCCUGGCUCUAGGCCACUCAGAUUUCAUCCUUCUUACUUGAUCUCUCCUUCCUUUCCAGGAACUCACAAUGGAUUUGCUAGAAAUAAUGGAAUGACCAGUUUGAACAGGUUGGAACCAUUUAUCUGGGUUAUACUAAAACAGAGAAAUAUAAGUAGGAAGAUGGGAACUCAUAUUUCUUUGGCAACUUAGGUUUUGCCUUGGACUGUUUUGGGAACUUAUUUUAUCUCAUUUAGUCCUCGGAUUGCCACGGCAGGCAGGUAUUAUCACCCCCUUCAGCGACCCUGAAGCCUUGGCCAUGGACACAUGCUUGGGAAACUGGGGCUAAUUCUGCUUUCUGUUGGUUAGUUUUUCCUUUUUUAAUAGCAAACUUUGUUCUAGAUUCCUCAAUGUUACCUUGGGGAUCUGAAAAGGUUCCGGUAGUAUAUAAAUCAACUAAGUGAUUCCCUGAGAGAAGCUUUCUGCAGGAGAAAAAUCUAGUUAAUCAUUUAUUUUUUUGGCAGUUCUGGAGUACAAACCCUGUCCUAAUCCUUAGCCAUUUACAAAACAAUUUGAGAUUAUAAACGCGGGCCUCCCGAUGCCUUUCUGGUUCUCAUGCCACGAGUCCAGUUGACAUCUUUAAACAAGGAACUGCAAACCAGUGUGAUAGUUCUGGUUUAAGUCUUUCUCUUUGUGGCAUGAGAAACUUUGGAGGUUUGUGUCUAUUAGCAGUUUGCUGAACAAAUAAUAAAGAAAAGAAAGUCUUGACUAUCUCGAAAGAAUUCCUGUUUUAUUGAAUUGCUAAAGAACGAAGUAGAAUAACUUAUGAUAGGUCAUCCUUUCUUCUCAGACACUGGAAAUUUCCUCCAGUCUCUUUGCUUUCCUAGAAGAUUUUAAUCAGAGUCUUUGUAGAGUGGGGAACAAAGGAUAAUAUUCUACUGCAGGGUGACCUUUGCACACUGAGAGCUCCUCUGGAUUCAAGGAUUUUUGGUCCAGUUUUUGGUUUCUUAUCCAUAAAUGGUUUCUACAUCCUUAGCUCCUUUUGCUGUUGGUUCCUUAGGCCUAAUGUCCCACCCUGUGCCACUAGAAGCCACAAUCAUCAUUUAUUUAUUUAUUUAUAUCAAUAAAGUUUCUGGUUCUGUUGAGGGUUCAUGACUACCAAGUACUGACAGGGUACGACUUUAACCUGUGUGUGCCACACUCUUCUCUCUCUCUCUUUUCACUUUUCAUUUUUUUUGCCUCUUUCUCAACUUUAACUUUAGCAUAAUUCCUUGUGAUUAUUUCAGCAUUCAAUAAAUACAGCUAUUGGGUGGACAGCUGGAACACACAGAAUCUUGUAUCUCCAGUUUAUGAGAACUCCUUGUCCCAGCGUGGUGAAACCCUUCUCCAAAGGAGGCAGCUGUGACACCUGACAAGGAGUAGUCAGCCGUGCACCCAGGUGCAGGUUGAACAGGGCCAGAAGUGUGCAUAUGCCCGGGGCCGUGGGAGCUUGUCAGUUUCACAGACGCUGCGCUGUAUCUGCCUCAGCAGCCCUUGCUUCUCUAUGGGAUGUUGUUUUCUUUCCACAGAGACACAGCUCUCGGGUUGUCUUUAUCACCCGGGAGCCAGAUAUUGUGGCAUUUCUUUGGUGCUUAUUCACAGUCAUCAAAGUCACGUUGAGGCUUUCCAGACAGGGAAACUGCUUUAUUGAUGGUGCCAUUUAUCAUUUGAAGGACCCAACUUUGUGGCCACAUGAAAAUUUUGUCUGCAGUGAAUUUUAGGAAAUAGCAUAAUAGUCACGCCAGGCUUGAGGCAAAAUUUAUCAGUGCUGCUGACACUUUAUGUAAGGGGAGCUACUUUCUUAGAGAAGGGAAACAGGUCUGGGAUUCCAAUGUGCCGUUUCUGUCCUCGGUGUUUUGAUCACCUAAGUUUGCUCCCUUGAAUCUGUUUUUCUGAGUGCAUUUUUCAUUCCCAAAUGAUCACACCAAUGGAGUUCAAAUGAUUAGGACUAUAAUGAUUAGCUCCCAGUCUGCUGCCAGAAAGCAGCAGUUUGAAGCCCUGUUUGCUGGAGUAUCCUGAGGCUGGCUGGAGUCCAGGAUACCUGACCAUGGAGGAGCAGUUAGGACGUAGACUUGGGUUUUGGCGGUCUCAGGUGAGAGGGCUGGAGCCACGGCCCUCAUUGGUGUAUGACUUUGCAUCAGUAACUGACGGCUGUCUCCUCUUCUGCUUUAUCUUUCAGUUAAUGACCAGCCACAGCGUCUGCUGUGAGCUUCGGCCAGUGCCUCCAGGGCUCCUGAGCCACACACAGGUUGCUUUGGGUGCCGGCUGAGGUAACAUGGCUUAUUGGCCUCAGUUGAGGUUGCUGCUGUGGAAGAACCUCACUUUCAGAAGAAGACAAACAGUAAGUGUGGGUUUCUCUGCGGGACUCUCUCAUGCUUUCCUCCAUAGCGGGUUAGAGGAGGGAGGGAAGGGAGUAUUCUGGAUUUCCAGAGAGAUUGAAUGGAUCUGGCACUUGUGGACCCAGGACUCUGCGAUCCUGAUGUGGCCUUGUGGCUUGGCAUAGAGGGAGGAUUUGCAACCAGGCAGGAAUAUUGUCUUUGGUUUGUGCUAGCCCCUAGACCCAUGAGUUCUGACUUCUGAAACCUAAUAGAUAAUUGCCACUGGCCACCUCACACCAGUAUUUCCUUUUGCUAUAGCCCUGGGAGCUUCCUGGCUUUCUAAGAGCAACACAUGGGCCCCUGUAUUUCUGGGAAUUGGGAGUGCAGUGAGAUAAUGGCACAGCUUUAGAGAUCAAUUCCUGGAUCUCUUGGUGUCAGACUGUGCUCUGUCCUUCCAACUUUGUAGGCCUGGAGGAAUAUGAUAAGCAAGGCCUGUCUUAUUUCUGUGGAGGAUUCUAUGCCUUUCACCUCCCAGAUAGGUCAGUAAUGCCUUGAGUAAUCCUGAGGAGGUCAUCUUUAAUGCACAGGUGCUUGGUAUUUUUCCAAAGGAACAGGAGUGCUAAAAGGCAGGGUGAGCUCCCUGAAGCUCAGGCAUCAGUUCUUUGCUGCUUUACCUCUGGCUACCCCUCCUUAGUGAUUCUAUCUAGUCCUCCUGGCUUAGCUACAUCUCUCUGUAGUUGGUUUCUAAAUCUCUCUUUCCUGUUCUGCCUAUUUCCCGAAUUCCAAGCCUGCAUCCCCACUUCACUGUCUUAAUGAAGCUCAACUUAUCUGGAUCCAAAAAAUGUUCAUCUUUCAGAAACACAAAUAGCAGUAAAUAACCUUGGAGAGAAUUUAUUUCAGUGUUUCUCAAAGUAGAGUGAUGCUUGGACCUUCCUUAAAAGAACAAAAAAUGUCAGGAUACCCUUUUGUUCAUGUAAUUUUGAUUUUAGUGUUACUUAAGUCUGCUCAUAUAUAUAACUAGAUAUAUAUCUUUUAUAGGCUGUGAUAUAACUAUAUGACCCAUGUGUAUUUUUACAAAUUAAAUGCAAACAAAAUUGCAAAAAAAAUACAAUUAAAAUUUAACACAAUAAAUGUGAUAAAACAACUGACUCUGUUUAGCUAAAAUGCAUAUUAUAAGCUGCAACGUGAAUAUAGUAGUGGGUGGUACAGGACUGUUCCUUUUGAGUUUGGCAAGUCUGUAUUUCUGUGUGCUAAUUAUUCAAAUCUCUGUACAUUUUCCUGCAUGAACAAGUUUCAUUUGAUGUCAUUUGGUUCAUUCCCAUCAUUCAUAAAUCGAGUUUCAUCUGUUCCUUUCUCAGUCCUCUACAGUAAUUCUGAUGCCAACACAAACGCAUGCACGAAUAUAAACUUGGGCUUUGAAGUCUUGUGCCAGCACUUGAUUCUAAAGUAAGCAUUCAGAAAAUCCAGAUACUUUAUCAGGAUUUGUUUAGAUAAUCAUUGAAAUGAAAACACAAAAUGUUUAAAAUCCUUGCAGAGAACUCACGUAUAAUGCUUCCAAAGUAUGCAUACUGCUUCGAGAUUGAGAAACACUGAUUUUGUCCAGCCUCUCAUGUUACAAAUGGGGAACCUGAAUCCCAAGGUCACUAGUAAGAGAGCAGGGACUAGCUCUCUAAAUGUAUCCUGUCUGUUUUAGUCAAAAUAGUAGUGAAAUAUAAUGCAUAAUAUUAAUAUAAAAACAAACAUAAGCAUCCAUGUUUCAGGCAUGAAGUGGAUUAUUAACUGGAUUAUUCCUUUUAAGGCCUCAUAAAGUGCUGUUUUUUCUCAUAGCUGUCAUUUCUCAUGUUAUGAGGGAUUUGAUAGAGAUGUUAAAGAGAGGGAUUUGAUAGACAGAGUUCCACAUUGCUGACAAGGAACACAGGUAAGGUUCAAAUCCAGAUAAUCUCAUUCCAGAGUUGAUAUUCUACACCACUGUGCCAUCAUUAUUAGUAACAACAUUAUUUUAGUAAUGAUUAGUAGCAUCAUUAUUUUUCUAUCCUCCAUCGAAAAUCUUGAAGUUUCUGACUUCUUCCUUGCCUUAACUCCUGCCUCUUGCAGUUGUUCCCAGUCUCUGAUAUUUCCAUUUUCUAGUAGGUUUGUCCUUAUCUCUUCAUUUCUUAGCUACUAUGUGGUCCAUGUUCCCCGCUUCUUUUCAACCUAGUGGCAGCGCCUUCUUAGUGGGAAAUUAUCUUUGCCAUGGUGUGUCCAUUAGUGAGUCAUGGAACGAAUCAUAUUAACAGUGAAAGGGGGCCGGGAUUCAAGGACAGUCCAGUUCAAACUUGUGGUUUUACAGAUGAGAAAGCUGAGGCACAGAGCAUGGGAGGGAUCCCCCCAGUCAUCAGGUAGCACCUGAGCUAGGACCAGAGGCUGUGAUUUUCUCAUUCCGUCCAUCACAGUUCUUUCCUUCUCUCUUCCAAAUGCUUAGCAGCUGCCUAGCAGUGCCCAGCCUGGGAGAGGAUUAAAUGGCAGGGAAAAGGUUUUCUGUGCUUGACCAGGAAAGGAAUCAGGGAAAAGAGUAGAACAGGAUGUGGGCUGGAUCCUCCCGUCUGGGCCAGUCUACACUGGUUUUGAGCUUGUUUUGAGCUUUUUGCUCAAUAUUACUUAUGUCUUUACAGGGGUUGGGAUUAGAGAGAUAGGGAGGCUUAGUUAAAGGCAAUUUGUGCAGAGUUCUUGUUGAAGAAGGAAGUAGGAACACGGUCCCCUGACACAAAAGGCCUUUUUUAGACUCUGUGCCAUUACCUGCUAGCCUGUUUGAGUUACUUCUCUUCCAAGAUUUCUAAAGGAAUGCCAUUUUGUUGAAUCAGAAAGAAAGGUGGUUUAUUUUAAGUCACAGAUGCUCAGAUUGUCAGAUGGGGCUGGAGCUGGAAAGAUCUGACUUGCCUCUUGUAUAUUUGAUGGAAUUAGGGUUUGGAGGGAUGGAGGGGUCCAGAGAGGGUCCAUCAUGAAAGCAGCACCAGAACUAAUCUUCUGGUGGCCUCAGUUGGGUACAAAUAAUAAGGCUGGAUCCUUCUUAGCAGGGUUUAUUUUAUCGACAUGAAAGUUUUUAUAUUCUUGAAUCUGAGAUUCUGACUGGUGGAUACCUCUCAAUCCUGGCUUGAGUUUUUACAUUAUAUUGUGUAGACGUUGGAACCUGCUAAAGGUUUUGGUGCCACUUUGUUAGCUCACAUAGUCAGAGCCAGCCCUGACUAUGAUACCUGCAUGACCAUGAUAUGACCAUGAUAUCUGCAUGAUAGCUCUUGCCCACAAUAAAUGCCCAUAUUGCAUGUUUCCUUGCUCCUGAGAUCCAGGAAUGCAUAUACUUGGUCCCGAAGCCCAGCACAGAACCUGGAACUUGGGACAUGAUUAAUGAGAGUUUGCUGAAUGAGCGGUCAAUGUAUUCCUGGUUCGUUAGUGUGGAUCUUGAGGAGGUCAGGGGUCUGGUUCAGGGGUCUUGUUUGUUGCUUCCAGGAGGAAUAGAGAGAUCAUGUCAAAGCCCAGAACUGAGCAGUACAUCCCAGAGCAACCUUGUUGAAAGGUAGCUUUGCCCUUCUUGGUGUCCUUGUUUGCUGAUGUGUCCCAAGGACCCCUGUCCUGGGCCUUCAUUGUGCAGACUCAUGAGGACCAUCAGUCAGGGUUAGUUUUCCACUAUUUCUGUUGGGCAAAGAGUUCACUGAAUUGAGUUGCGAAAGUUGGGUGCAAAGCUCAGUUUGGGUUCAAAGUAACAGUUAGCUUGUGUGGGUGGCAGUCAUUCAGUGCAAACAGGUUUUGGGACAGGAAGGGGGAGGGCCUUCAGAGCUUUUAGGCUCUUCAUCUGGUGUUAGGCUGAGCCAGAGGCCAAGGUCUCCGUGGAACAGGUGGGACAGAGUGAGGGUGACCAUGUGGCCUCUUUCCUUUUUCCUUUACCAUUACUUUUUUUCAGUUAGAUCACUUUUUCAAUCAUGUGGCUAAGAAAAUAGAUAAUGUUUUUUAUAACUUAGAAGUACUACUAUUUGGGUACUCUUUAAUAUUAAGGAAUAAAUUAUCAAUCAAUAAAUAAAAUUCCUCCUUUCUGAGCCAUUGGAGAAUUUUACAGUGGAUGAAUAAUCUGUACCCCCUCCCGACUUCCAGUUUCACUGACACAUUUUUUUCCCCUGACUUUAGUCUUAGCCCAGCUCCAGUGGCCAUGAUCUAAACUCACCUUAUCCACUGUGUGCCUCAGUGGUCAUUUCUUCCAAGCUUUAGUUCUCUCUUCUAUGGAAUGAAGAAAAUCAGAACAAAUAGCUAACUGUUGUUUCAUUUGGAUAAAUAUUUAUUUAGCAUCUAUUACUUUUGGGAGAUUAUGCUGGGUAUAUAUUGAUAAACCACAUAGUCAUGGUCCCUGUCCUUGCAGAACUCCCAGUUUAAUGAGGGAGGCAGAUAUGAAACACAUUGCACAAAAAUAAAAAAUAUAAUCAUAAACUAUGAUAAGUGUUAUGAAAGACACAACCAAACGAUGGUACUAACAGGAGUAGGGACUUGAGUUAGAAUGGAAGGUCAUGACAUUUAACUUAGAUAGAGCCCUGAAAUUUGAGCAGCAGUGUUGACCAAUGAUCAGGGGUUCUGAGAUCAGAGGCCCUGCAUUCCAGGCCAAGAGACUAGGGGUAUAUGUUCUUGGAUCAAGGAACAAAAAGAAGCCAGUGGCACUGAUGGAAUGAAGGAAAACUGGCUGGGGAAUGGAUGGAAAGAGGCAGGGCCAGAUCAUACAAUGCCUUGUAGCUGUGAUUUUAUGUUCACAAGGAAUCUUUGAUGGUGGGCUGUGAUCUCUAGGAUCAGUCUUGUGGUUCUUGACACUUAAGGAACUUGAGUGAGAAGAGCCCCAGGGGGUAAUUAUAAUCAUUACAUACAUGUGUACCAUCUUAUGCUGUUUUCUUCUUUAGUUUAACAGUACUUAUUGUGUAUAAUCCCAUGUUUCCAAAUAAUCUUUAUAUUUAUAAUAAAGAUACCUGAGGGUAGGCUGUGUUUGGUAGUAGUGGAAGUGCUUUUAUACCUAUUAUAACUCAGUUUUCACAGUGAUGCUGAGAGCUGUGCAUUGCAACUUCUGUUCCACAGGUGAAGAAAGUACUGUUAGUAAGUUAGUAGGAGGAAAGGCUGGACCUUUGGCUCCAACCAUAGGAUGACACCAUUUAUGUUCUCUAGUAAGCCAUCCAUGCAGUUUUCAUUUUAUAAGCUCAAACCCUAUUGACAACAUUUAAUUUGCUCUCAGCAUUUGCUGUUACAAUUAAAUUACUGUAAAGAUUUUAUAGACUUAGACUUUUCUUACUUUUGUAUUAUUUCCUCAGGCUAAAAUCUCAGGACUAGGAUUACCGGGACAAAGGGAAAUGGUCCUUGAAGUAUAGGACCAGAUGUCCUUCUAAAGGAUAGACCCAAUUUAAAAAGCCAUUAUCAAUGUAUCAGGCUCAGUAGUUCCAGGAGGGCAGCCUGGUUUUAAAAAUUGUAUUUCCCUCUAGCAUUGGUCUGAUUUAAUCUUUCAGAUUUCACUUCAGUUUUCCCACACCUCAUUGAAACAUACACGGUGUUAGGAAUGGGUCUAAAAUUAAUUUUUCUUUACAUUCAUAUAAUGUUAUCCCUGUAGCUUUUGUAGCCUAGUUAUUUUGGGGACAUUCAUAAGACCUUAUGUCUGUGGGGGUCUAUUCUGGAGUUUUUUGUUUGGUUGACAGGUGUUGGUUACCUGUGUGUUAAUAUAGCCCCAGGAGUGUCCUUACUUUGGUGACCAUUCUGAUACCUGGGGGAGCUUGUGUUAUAGGUUCCUUUGAUUUGACCUCUUAGGAUAUCCUUUGUUGUUUCCAUCCAUUUCUUUUUCUCAUUGAAUCUUAUUUCCAUAUGAAGUUCUAAAAAGUAUCACUAUUUCAAGUGAAAUUAUGUUAAAUCUAUAAAUUGGUUUGGAAAAUUUGGAUAUUAAAUGUUCCCAUCAAGAAGCAUGGCUUAGCUCUCAUUAAUUCCCAUCUUCCUUUAUUUACCUCACCAAAGUUCAGGAAUAUUUAACAUUAAGAGAAUGUCUAACUUUUCUGUUUAUGUGUCUGUUCUUGCUGUGAAUAGUAAUUUUUUUCCUCCUAUCACAUAUUACUAAUUUAGCUGAUUAUCACAGGCCUCCAGAAAUACCAUUAUUUAGAUUUACCUUGGUUCUGAUUAAUUUACCCCUAUUUUCAAUUCAGUUUCAAUUUCAGCUUUUUAAUAGAUUUUGUGGGCUUUCCUAGAUUUGUGACCAUGCUGUAAAUGGAAAGGACAUUUUCAUCUCUGCAUUUCUGAUGUAUAUUCUUUUUGUUUCUUGUUUCAUGCCCCAUUGAAAUCUCAAGCAUUUUUUAACUCAGUACUAAGAAACAGUGAUUUCUUUUUUCAGUAUGAAGCGAAUUUUUUGGGCUUCCAUUAUUCAGGAGACCUUUGCCUAAGGCCAAACUUUAUUUCACUGGUUUCUGUGUUCUUUAAACAUGGUCCUUGCUGUGCCCAACUUUGAAUUAAUAUGCAUAAAUCUUGAGAAUUCAGGAGUUCCAUGACUGUCCUCAGGCUAGGUAGCUAAAUGCUUUCGCAGAGUGACUGGAUUGUGGUAUAUGAACUUUUGCAACCAGCAGCAAUGAACACUCAGGGGACAGUGAACAUGCAUAGUGUGUGAGGUCUUGGCACAGUUCUGAAUGAGGAUUCAAAAAUGGCUUGAUGCAUAUUGAAUAACAUGAUGAUCAUAAUAGCCAUGACGAGCUGGACUGUGUCCUCAAUCCUUUACAGGAAAUGAUAUUUAAUUUUCACAGUUACUCUAGAGCAGUGAUUCUUAUCUAGAGGCAAUCUCCCUCCCCCACCCUGGGGCUUUUGGUAGUAUCUGGAGAAGUUUUUGGUUGGCACAAUCCUGGGCAUGUGUGUGCUGCUGGUAUGAAUGGGUGGAGACCAGGGAUUCUGCUAAACACUCUACAGUUAGUAGGAGAGUCUCCCACACAGUUAUCAGGCUCAAAAUGUUGGUGGCACCACUGUUGAGAAAUCAGGCCCUCAUGAUGAUGAGGAAUAUCAAUGGGAAGUACACAGUAGUGCUCUGGCUCUCCCCAGAGCGUCUUAGACUUUGGUGAAAAACACUUUUUUGGAAGCAGUGUUCCUCAUCUUCCCAACGCCGUGGUGGGGAGGUGUGGAGUUUGGUGGUGUACCAAAGCAAGACUUAAGUUUUCUACAGAAGUGUAUUAUGGUAAAGGGUUAUGGUAAAGGGUCCACUUUUAUUUAUAAGUUAUUUCUGAAAGCCUGUGCUUAAUAAAAGUACUAAGCUUAGUGGUGGAGGAGAAAUCUGAUUUUGAUGAGUGGAGCAAGAACUGCAUUUCUUUUUUUUUAUUUUUUUUUAUUGGUUGUUCAAAACAUUACAAAACUCUUGACAUAUCAUAUUUCAUACAUUAGAUUCAAGUGGGUUAUGAAUUCCCAUUUUUACCCCAAAUACAGAUUGCAGAAUCACAUCGGUUACACAUCCACAUUUUUACAUAAAGCCAUAUUAGUAACUGUUGUAUUCUACUACCUUUCCUAUCCUCUACUAUCCCCCCUCCCCUCCCAUCUUCUCUCUCUACCCCAUCUACUGUAAUUCAUUUCUCUCCUUGUUUUUUUCCCCAUUCCCCUCAUAACCUCUUAUAUGUAAUUUUGUAUAACAAUGAGGGUCUCCUUCCAUUUCCAUGCAAUUUCCCUUUUCUCUACCUUUCCCUCCCACCUCAUGUCUCUGUUUAAUGUUAAUCUUUUCCUCCUGCUCUUCCUCCCUGCUCUGUUCUUAGUUGCUCUCAUUAUAUCAAAGAAGACAUUUGGCAUUUGUUUUUUAGGGAUUGGCUAGCUUCACUUAGCAUAAUCUGCUCUAGUGCCAUCCAUUUCCCUGCAAAUUCCAUGAUUUUGUCAUUUUUUAGUGCUGCGUAAUACUCCAUGGUGUAUAAAUGCCACAUUUUUUUUUAUCCAUUCAUCUAUUGAAGGGCAUCUGGGUUGGUUCCACAGUCUAGCUAUUGUGAAUUGUGCUGCUAUGAACAUCGAUGUGGCAGUAUCCCUGUAGUACGCUCUUUUAAGGUCUUCAGGGAAUAGUCCGAGAAGGGCAAUAGCUGGGUCAAAUGGUGGUUCCAUUCCCAGCUUUCCCAGGAAUCUCCAUACUGCUUUCCAAAUUGGCCGCACCAAUUUGCAGUCCCACCAGCAAUGUACAAGAGUACCCUUUUCCCCACAUCCUCGCCAGCACUUGUUGUUGUUUGACUUCAUAAUGGCUGCCAAUCUUACUGGAGUGAGAUGGUAUCUUAGGGUGGUUUUGAUUUGCAUUUCUCUGACUGCUAGAGAUGGUGAGCAUUUUUUCAUGUACUUGUUGAUUGAUUGUAUGUCCUCCUCUGAGAAGUGUCUGUUCAGGUCCUUGGCCCAUUUGUUGAUUGGGUUAUUUGUUAUCUUAUUGUUUAAUUUUUUGAGUUCUUUGUAUACUCUGGAUAUUAGGGCUCUAUCUGAAGUGUGAGGAGUAAAAAUUUGUUCCCAUGAUGUAGGCUCCCUAUUUACCUCUCUUAUUGUUUCUCUUGCUGAGAAAAAACUUUUUAGUUUAAGUAAGUCCCAUUUGUUGAUUCUUGUUAUUAACUCUUGUGCUAUGGGUGUCCUAUUAAGGAAUUUGGAGCCCGACCCCACAAUAUGUAGAUCGGAGCCAACUUUUUCUUCUAUCAGACGCAGAGUCUCUGAUUUGAUAUCAAGCUCCUUGAUCCAUUUUGAGUUAACUUUUGUGCAUGGCGAGAGAAAGGGAUUCAGUUUCAUUUUGUUGCAUAUGGAUUUCCAGUUUUCCCAGCACCAUUUGUUGAAGAUGCUAUCCUUCCUCCAUUGCAUGCUUUUAGCCCCUUUAUCAAAUAUAAGAUAGUUGUAACUUUGUGGAUUAGUCUCUGUGUCCUCUAUUCUGUACCAUUGGUCCACCCGCCUGUUUUGGUACCAGUACCAUGCUGUUUUUGUUACUAUUGCUCUGUAAUAUAGUUUGAAAUCUGGUAUCGCUAUACCGCCUGAUUCACACUUCCUGCUUAGAGUUGCUUUUGCUAUUCUGGGUCUUUUAUUUUUCCAUAUGAAUUUCAUGAUUGCUUUAUCUAUUUCUACAAGAAAUGCCAUUGGGAUUUUGAUUGGCAUUGCAUUAAACCNUCUGAGUACCAUCCAGAGGAGGGACUUCCAGCUCAGUUGGUAGAGACGUUUAUUUUGAGUGUCACGGCUUUGUUCUGGCAGAAAGGAUAGUUUUCUUUUUUCCCUCCAGCUUUAUUGAGGUGUAAUUGACAGAUAAAAGUUGUAUAUAUUUAAGGGGGGCAAUGUGAUAUUGUGAUAUACAUAUAUAUUGACUUAAAAAUUAGUAUGAAAUAAAGAGACAUUAAUAAAAAUUGGUAUGAAAUAAAAGGGAAGAAGCUGAAUGUCAUUUGCAAGCUUGGACAUUUCAGUGUGUUUUGUCUUUGGGGGAUUAUUUACAGAAAUAUUUAGCAAGGCCAACCCUAUCUUGGUCUUGGUAACCCCAUAGUCAGAAUGUUUUCUUCCAGAGAUGGAUCCACUUGCCUUUAUAGUUUUAUGGUGAUAGUGUUUUUUUUUUUUCCAAUUAGAGAACUAAUACAGGGUUAUUGUGGAAAAUUUAGAACAAUAAGAAGGCAUUUUUUUUUAAAAAGUCACACGUGUUCUUAUCACCCUAGAACAUACAUGGUUAUCAUCUUGUAUUUCCUUCCCCAAAGAAGAUUUAAUGAUGAGUUUAAUGGAAACCAUAUCAAAGUUCUUGGGAAAUUAAAAGUCAAUUAUUUGAAACAGCAAAAAAUCCAACAACAAAUAAUCAACAAAACAAACCCUCCAUUAAACACUCUGAAGUACCAGCAGUAGCAGAAAGGUUAAAUUAUGAUCUUGUCAUAGAAUGGAAAUAUGAAGUGGCCAUUAAGAGCCAUAUUUUAAGAGAAUAUUUUCUGCAAUGGAAAAUGUUCCCAGUGUGAUGUUAAGGCUAUGGUGGGGAAGCCAGUGAUGCAAACAGGUGACUUCAAGGGCUCAUAGAGAUGCACUGGGAGGAGUGUGCCUGGGUUACUGGGGGGAGCCCAGGAGACUGGGCUUCUCAAACUGAGAAUUAGUAAAGGACACCAUGGUUGAGUCUUGAAGACUAAAUAGAAAUGAGCCUGAUGAAGCUGGCAGGGAAGCAUCUUUCCUGACUUAAGCCAUGCACAAAGGUGUGGAAUGGAAUGUUACAAGGUGAGACCUGCAGACAGUUCAGUGUUAUCAAAGCUCAUGGAAGGAGAGGCUGCAGAAGAUGGUCAAUUGUUAAUGAAUUUCUCUGUGGAUUUUUCAGAACCCAGUAGUGUUGGGUAUCACUACUUUUUGAAUUCACAUUGCUCUGUCUUAUUUCCUACUCAGUGUCAGCUCUUGCUGGAAGUGGCCUGGCCUCUGUUUAUCUUCCUGAUCCUAAUCUCUGUUCGGCUGAGCUACCCACCCUACGAACAACAUGAAUGUGAGUACCUGUGGGUCAUGCCUGAGACUCACUUCUCCCAUGAAAAAUUCAGGCAAUAAACAUGGUCUGAGUUUACCUUUCCCAAAGACUCCAGGAAACAACACAAAUAGCUUGGCACAGAACAUCUAGUCUUCUAAUAGUUUGAUUUUGAUCCCUAGUGAAUAGUGAUAAGAGUAAUGACAACAAUCGCUACCAUCUGUUUCAUACAUUUUUAAAUCAUGAAAAUAAAGUAACUUUACUUUAUAAAUAGAGUUCAGACAGUGGCCACUAAAAAGCAUCCUUAAGGCACUGCUCUCUUUGGUCCUGCUGGUCUUUACCACUGUAUUAAUGUCUUAAACAUGCAGUUAAAAUUAUAGAACAUAUAUUUUUAAGUAGCCUUUGUGCAGAACAUCUGACUGAUAUUAUUUGACUGAUAUUAUUUCAUUUGAUUCAGUCACAACCCCCUAGACUUUAUUAUCAUUUGUUUCAAUUUCUUGCUAAGUAAGUUAGGACUCACACAGAUGCAGGGACUUGGUAAUAAGGAUAGAGAUGGAAUCAGUUCAGGUCGUCUCUCAGUCAUGUGUUUUGAAGGACAGCCCUUUACAGUGAGAAGUGAUGAAGAAUGCAUGGUUUUCUGGGUUUGAAUCCUGGCACAGCAUUCACUAGGCUUACAUGGUGGGCGAGUAACUUUACUUUCUUGUAAAGGAGGCAAUAAUAAUACCCCUGUCAUAUUAUUGUUGUCUGUGUUGUCACCCACAGCCAUAGUCUUUCUCUGUGGCAUGGCUCAAUGGGUAGAUUGACAUGGCAGAGCAGUCCAAGUCUAAAGGACCGACAUUUAUGUAGGCGUUUAGCUGAGUCCUCAGCUCCACUGUCCUAGGGACUUUUCUUGCCACUAGCCAACUGUAUCUAUAUCUCCCACCAGACCCAUAAAUUUAUAGGACUCUGUUCUCCUAGGAAAGCUGUGGAGGCCAAGGCUACUUUUAAUUUUUUCUCUUGGUCUGGCCUCAUCUCUCACAGCACAGAGCAGAAGUUAUUUACAUGCUAAUUUGCUAAUACACCAUCAUACAUAUUCAAGUUACACACACAUACACACACACACACAACUGAAGAACUCUCCCUCAGGCAUGAUUUUCUUACUUCACCAGAAAGGAAUGGAACAUCUAAUGAAAUCUAUACUCAAUUUAUGGGCCUGUGAGGUAAUUCUGCUUUCUCUUUUACAAUCUCAAAGAGAGGUUGAUUGAUUAGCAAAUGGAUAUUUGGUUUUAUUUAAACAUUACCCUGAGCCCCACAGAAGUAUGUUUCAGGGCGUGCUCAGCAUUUUCAUCCCCUGGGCAGUUCUCUUUCUGGAAUGAUCACAAAGAGGGAAGGUAGUGUAAUGGAAUUGGCACAGACUUUGGCACCUGACAAAUGGGGUUUGUGUGGAUGCUGCCUCUGCUGUGCAGUGGGGUUGUAAUCUUGAGUAAGUCGUUGAAUUCUGACCCAAAGCCCUCUGACCCCAGACCAUAGAAUUUUGGAAAUCUGUGAAAUUCUUGAACAUAUGGAAGACAGAUGAGACUUUGCCCAUCCAUCCAUGUCCUUCCUGUUCUCACUACCUUCCUAGGGACCUAGUUAGAAAGGCAGGUUGAAAGCUAAAGUGAAGUGCAUGGACGUGUCUUGUCUUUGCAGUGGGAGGAGUGUGCUUGGGUUACUUACUAGGGGAGCCCAGGACAGUGCGCUUCUCAUUCUCCUGAGAAGACUCUGUCCUUGGGAACAAAGGGCUGGUGAUACAAUUCUUCCCCAUAAACCUCGGUUCAGCCCUAGUCAUCAAGGUCCCAUUAACUUCCCUGGGUCCUAGGAGUCCCUUAUGCUGUCAUCCUGUGCACCCAGUGCCUAGUCCUCAUCUUGCUUUGUUUGCAAAUGAGAUAGAAGACAACAUGCCAGAAAGGGCCUUUGCUUCCCCCACGGAAGGACAGCCCCAAAUACCUCAGGGCCUUGUGCUGCCUUUGGCUGAACCUAUCUGUUCUUAGUUCCAGUAUCUUCCGGAGUUGAAAGGGGAGAAUCCCUGGGUCCUUGGAGUAUUUGACUGGAUUACAUAAAUCUCUGAAUGAGGAGCAGCUGACUUAGGCAAGGGGCUUUGUUUGAUUUUCCUUGAACUGUUAACAGGGAGAUAAAGAGAUUAACUAAGUAAAUGUUCAACAGGCCAGAGUCCCUGCAGAGAGUGACUGCAGGGAUUGGAUCCUUGCUUUGGAUGUUGUCUCUGGUUGGAGUAUGGAGAGAAGAAAGAUAGAAGGCCCCUGAUUCGAACAUGCCAAGUGCAGCAAGCUCUGGCUUUGGGUUAACUUCUGGGAAGCCUCUGUUAGCCCAUUUGCAUGAAAAUAGAAGGAUGAAUAAAAUGAGGGUCCUACUUUGGAGGAAGAAGGUAGCUGUGAGACUGAAGGAGUAUUCUGGUUUGGCAACAGCAGAGGAACUACUACUGCAGGCUCACACCACAGGGCCUCCAGAGUCUGCACAGACCUAUUUGUUGAGCUUUUGUUCCGUGCUAGGCACUUUGCCAAAGUGCUCUACCUAGAAGAGCUCAUAUAAUACUUAGCACAUGCAUUUUUAUCACCAUUUUACAGAUGAGAAAACAGAGGAUUAGGGGGUCUGUCAGGGACUUGACCAAAGUUGUUGCUUAGCAAGUUGCAGGGACCCAAUGUGAAGCCCAGUUGGUCUGACCCAGAAGUCUGUGAAACUACAAGCUCUUCACUACCUAAAGCUGUGGUUCUUAAUGGCUGCCAACUCUUUGAGGGUCACAGUUAAUCCUGAGAAUCUGAGGAUAGCUGCAGCCCUGGCCUUUUUGUUCAAACAUAAAUAGGCCCUUGGGUUAAGAGUCCCUGAUCCAGGGCACAUUUAUCUUGAUCCCCAUAAGCAGUAUCCGUGGGUGACUGCCACAUGCUAACCUGGGCCUUCAAGACCUCGGAGCCAGCCCAGACAUGCCCAUUCAUCCUGUUUGUAAGAAGCUCCCACGAUGAGGGGAGAGGCAGGUGAGGAGCUCACCUGGUGGAUGGGGCGUCCUUAUUUUGACAAGUGACAAAACAAUAGCAGCGAAACAAAAGUUGCUUCAUGGAUGACAUCUGCCCCCAAGUCAGCAUGUUUUCGAGGUGCCCUUGAGAAGCUUUGGAGCUGGCAGAGGAGCAAACUGACAGACAUCUGGCAACCAAGGAGAGUACCAGAGGGAACUGUGGAGUAGAUUACAAAGAAGGCCACAGUGUGAGGAGGGGGCUGGGCCUGGGAUCAUGGAGAUGCAGGUUCCGCUCCUAGUUGUGCUCCUUGAGGGUUCUUCAUUGGCUGUCUGUCUUGCUAUAACUUCCUCUCAGAGUGUAAAGAAAUUGGACUAGGUCAUCCCCCAGACCCGUCUGGUGGUCCAAGGUGAACAAAUGGUGGCAAAACACUUGCUACUUGGUCGGCACUUCCUGUGCAUGGUCUAAUCUACUCCUCUCAUUACUUCUCCAAGGCUGAUGUUGUGAAUCCCACUCUACAGACAUGCCAUGUAGAUCAAGAACCAUUAUCUGAUACCAGGUUUCCAGCUCAGGGUCAGAUUAAUCCAGAGGAGGCAGGUCUCUGGGAUGAGGGGAAUGGGACACACAGAAUAUGGGACAAAGUAUUGGGUGGGGGGAGUCUCAAAAUGGCUUCAAGGAAUUAAUAUUUCUCCGUGUGUUUUUUUCUUCUCCUUGAUUUCAACAGGUCACUUUCCAAAUAAAGCCAUGCCCUCUGCAGGAACACUUCCUUGGGUUCAGGGGAUUAUCUGUAAUGCCAACAACCCCUGUUUCCGUUAUCCAACCCCUGGUGAGGCUCCAGGGGUUGUUGGAAACUUUAACAAGUCCAUGUAAGUACCAGAUCAGGUUUUCUUUCUCAGACUUGUCAGUGAAUACUUAUCCUUCCCUUCUUGCUCUCUGGAGAGUUAUGAAUGGCUGGAUUUGAGCAAAGUUGCUUCUGUAAAGGUUUGUGUGGAAAAGUCUGCAGAAUGAGGGAAGGGAGGCUCACUGCCAGGAUUUAAGACUGUGGGACCUUACUUUGAUGUCUUUUUGGAGUAACAGUAAUAUGUAACCUAAGCUGUCUGGUUGGAGGCUGUUCUUCUGCACAAAGACUGGUAAGUAAUGAAGGGACACACAGUACACUGGCGCCAUCUCAUAGUUAAUCUGCCUCACUCAGCAGUAUUUACUGCACAUCUCAAAUGGCUGGUUCUAGAUUUAGGGUGCAGGGGCAGGCACCAAGGUGCCCCCUGGAUGGGUUGUGACCUCCAAGGAGCUUCAGAUCCAGACUGGCAGAGCCCUUUUCUAUGUUCUCAGAUCCAUGCUCUUACCUCUUUCACUGCGUCUCAGUCCUCAGUGUCACUGUGUCUGCAGGUCUUUCUCUCCUGGGUGGGAGAUCCUGAGCACAGGAUUCUACCUUGGGUUUAUAUUCCUGGCUUCAAUGUGGACAUAAGUAUGAAAUUAAUAAAGCAUCUAACAAAUGAGCCAUUGAAGAUUCUUGAGAUAUCUGGAACCUUGACAUGAGUUAGAGUGUGCUAAGGACCCACUUGAAGACAAUUCUGAGGGAGCGGCAGCUGGGGCAGGCAGAGCCACAUUAUAAAGAUCAUGGACCACAGGCUUUGGGGCCUUCACGGGCCCUUUCGUCUGUGAAAAAAAUAUUAAAAAUUCCAUUUUAUGACUGUUGGCAUAAAAGCAAAUAUAAUCCAGGUAGAUUCAUUACCAAAUGUGCUUUCUUAUUAUAUUCAUUUAAAAUUUUGAUUUUUAUAAAAAGCGAAACCAUUUUCAUGAUCCUUUAAGAUUAUCGUGAGCUCACUGUGCCUUGUAGAUAAGUCUGCCCUGGGGGCACGCUGGUGUGUGUGUGUGUGUGUGUGUAUGAGAGAGAGAGAGAGAGAGAGAGAGAGAUGGGCUGGGCCUUUGAGGUUGAUUUGGGUCAUAGGAAGGGCAUCUUGAGGCAGGGAUGGUGGGUGGGAGCACAGGUUGUUAGUGAGGCCAGGCAAGGGGAGAGGAUGGGAUUGGCCUGUAGAGGGCCUGGAAACCAGGCUGGGGCAGGUGUAUGGUAGUCACUUUCUCGAAGCAGCAGCUGACCUAACCAGGGCUUUUCCACUUUUCUUGUACUCUUUACAGUGUAUCUCGCCUGUUCUCAGACGCUCGGAGGCUUCUUUUAUACAGCCAGAGAGACACCAGCAUGAAAGACAUACACAAAGUUCUGAGGACAUUACAGCAGAUCAAGAAUUCCAGUCCAAGUAAGCAGAGCCUUCCUGCGUAGCCUUUGGAAUUGGACAUUGGCCUGCCGUGGUGGCCUGGGGCUUGUUCCUUUUAGCUCUUCUUUAAGAGGUUUUUCUCAUCACUGGCUGGGAGCUAGGGCUUCUCUGAGCUGAGGGAGGCACUAGAAACAAAACUAGGGAAGCUGGUUGCCACAGUGAAUGGACUGGCCUUCUCUGGGAAGAGAAAUCCCUAGACAGGACAGCACAGGCUUGGUGAGAGGGAGUUAGGGGUGCAGGUUGCUGCCAACUGCAUUUUUUUUUUUUUUUGAGUUGGGCCAGUCAUAUGGUUGCUGUGAAUGGACAUAUUUACAGACAGGGGAUGCUUCUGUGUAUAUAAGCAGUGAGAGUUGCAACUUGAUACAGGUAAGGGAAAGUUGAGUGUUUACUUCUUAAAGGAAAACGCAAUUUAUCUUCCCUGUAGUCAUUUGAUUUAGUCUGUUAGGCAUUUGAACUCUGAUCUUUAAAAAGUGAAAUCUUUCCCUCUGAUCUGGUAAGUGCCCAGGCGGUUUAUUGCAUGCCACUGAAGUGUCCGAGGAGCAGGCGGUCUGCUGACCCAGGCAUUGGCCGAAGAAGUCACAGUGCAACCUCCCAGUCUGUGGCCUGCCAAGGGACAGAGGCCAGUGAGAACAGUCCACUGAGGGCAGGCAAGAAAGGCAUGAUGAUCUAGAGGAUUCAGAAGCAAUAAUGAAGUCUAGUGAAAGCUGGUUGGCUUUUUGUUAUCACCAUGGACAGUGGUUCCAAACCAUGUCAGGGAUGAACAGUCCUGGCCAGCAUGGGCCAACCGCUGCCUCUGUUCCAGGGAGGUACUUUUUACUUUUUUUUUUUUUUUCGGUGUCCGAGGAGAGAAUGGAGUAAGUUGACUUUUGCUGAGGGGUUCCCAGUUUGUGAUUCAUUUUGCAAAAGAAAAAAAUGGUAUAGAGUUUAAACCAGAUUUUUCUUGGGCAGACAGAGGUGUAUUCUCCUUGGGCAGGAAGAGGCAGUGGGCAAAAUGGGACCUGAUGACAAAGGGAAGCAAAGCUGUCUUGGGGAUGGUACAGAGGAUGUGUUGCUCCACAGUGGAGAAAUGUGGCUGUACUUGGGCCCCUGGGUCGGCUAUAAGUGGUUUCCCACUGGACCAUUGCUGACUCUAUGGAUGGAUCACCCUGGGUGCUGUUUCCUUGACCUGCAGGCCACUGGUCAAAGCCUCAGUCCUUCCUGAUGUACUAGAGGGCCCCUAUCUGGUUGACCAAGGGUAGAGCUGGGUUAUUUCUUGUACCACCCAGGGACAGUGUGUCACAGAGGAAAGAGUGUGAGCAUACUUUGCUUUGUAGCUAUGUGACUUUGCGAAUACGUUGGUUAGCCCCUUUUGGGACAUUUCUUCUUAUCUGUAAAAAGGAGAUAACAGAUAACCUAUCUAGGAUUGUUAGGAGGCAUAAAUGAGAUAAAACAUUUUAUUGCUUGAAAAUACGAUUUGACACCUAGGAAGUACUCAGUGAAUACGAACUAUGAUUGUUUUGGAUUGUUGGCAUCUCAGAUCACAGAUCUCUUUAAGACUUAAUUUUUUUUCAGCUAUAAAAUAACACCUAUUCUUGCAAUGUAACAUGUAAAACCCAAUACAAUGUCUGGCACUUUGGAGAUGCUCAAUAAGCAGGAGCCCGUGUUACUCUUAGAUGACAGUGAUGCCUUUUGACCUUCUGGUUGAGCUCUUCUGCCCCUCAAUCCAUGGGGCUAUUGAAAUUGUCUGAUGGCCUGAGUUGUCCAGCAUUUUCAGAUCUAGUAGAGACAACCUUAGAAAUGGAACUAUUUUUCUCCUUUGAGCAAUAGGAGAUAUGAGUUAGGUUGGAGAGGAGAAUGCAUGGCUGUACAGAGAGAACGUCUCCUGCUCCUCCCUCUUCUCCAGCUUGUCCCCUUUACCGCCCUGCAGGUACUUCUUCAGUUCCUACCAUCUUCUUUCCUUUGUGUUGCAAUGAAAAGCCAGAUCUCGUUCUACUGGGUAAUGCACAGUCUUGCUACUUCUUUCUUCCUAGAGGAAUUCAGUGAAUGUGUAUUGAUUUUGAAUAGCACUCUGUUUCAGAGAAAAUCUGCAUUGGGGAAAUGUCAGUUUUGAUCCCUUUGGGCGUGUGUUUAUCUGCUCUGACACCCUGGUCCUAGCAUGAUGGGCUUCACCCUAUGUACCAUUCCUCUCAGAGCUGGAAAGAUCCUUGGAGAUGAUCUGGUCCGGAGCUCUGCCCUGGUUCACCUUCUCUACCGCACAUAUCAUUUCCUGAAAUAGUGACCUAUGUCUCAGGACGAAGUGCAUUUUGGUGUCAACAGCUCUAUCAGAAAAUAUUCACUACCAUGUUAUCAUUCCAAGGGAACAAGUCCAAUUUUACUUUCCUUGGAAAGUUGAAGACGGCUCUACUGUUUUUUCCUUUCUUCCUGGAGCCUUUGAAUUUUCUAGGCUAAAUGUCCUCCAUUCUUUUUUGGAAUGCUUUUCCUUCCAAAUUUCUGCCUGUUCUCUGAUGAUGUCUCCAUUGUGUUUAUCUUCUUCUUAAAGUUUACCAGAAAUUACAAAAGUAUUCUGGUGUGGAAGAGAAAGGGACUUUUGGCUCCUUUGUUCUAAGUGCUUUGCUUCUGUUCACGCAAUCUGAGAUUGCAUUAGGCUCUUUGGCAUUCACCGUACCCAUUGACUCAUAACCCAUGUGUGGCCAACCAAAAUGGCAGAUUCUUUUAAAUACAGAAUUGCAAGUGGCUUGUUCUCCUUUUCUAAAUUGUGCAGUUGACUUAUUGAACUAAAGGAAGAAUAUGUAUCUUUUCUAAUUUCCAUUUUAGAUUCCCUGUGCCAUCUAAUCCUACCUCAACUAUUUUACAUUCUGAUUUUUCCAUGUGUUACAUCUGUUGCUGCUUGUGUCCUGUUGUCUAGGAAUAUGAUGAAUAACUCUCUUUGUUCUCAUUCAAGUCAUUGAUUACUCUAGGACCAAGGUUUGAGGCUUGGAUCAGUUGCCUGGAGAUUAUCAAACCCUUCAGACACUACCCCUAGAAUCUUAGAGAACUACCAGCUUUCCUUGUUACCAGUGUUGGUGUCACUGGGUCCUGUUUUUGGAGGAUUUACCUUUUCUUCAACAUACAUCUGCUGAAUCCAGUGGACUAUCCACAGAUAAGUUGUGGAUAUGGAAGUCUCUCCUCAAAUACUCUCUUCUAAUCUCAUGGUUUCCUGGACUAGAACAUCCUUUUAAUUUCCAUCUUUUGAAAGAGACCUUAGAGGCUGUUUAAUUCAUUCAUAGAUAAAUGGGUUGAUUGAUUCAAUCAUUCAACCAUGCCAAUCGCUGUUCAAGAUGCUGAGAUAGAGAGAUGUACAAAACAAUGUAAAACUUCUGUUGUGGAGAGUAAUCGUAUCCUAAAAGGUGAGGUGACUUCUCCAAGUUUGUACACCCCUGUUGCCCAUGCAGUUCUCCUUCUACAGUGCUAUCAUGUGCUGUUGUGAUAAUCUUCCAUUUGGGAAGGCCUCGAGUUUUGAAGAAUUAAUUCAUAGACGAAUCUUCUAAUUGUUCUGGAAGUUGUACUCAUGAGAAGCCCAAGAAAGGAGGCUAACAGAGGUGGCUAACCUAGUUUUCUUAUCAUGAGAACUUUUUGGUGAACUUUUUGGUCAUCUUAUUUCUGAACCAGAGAAUAACCACAAGGUUGAGGGGUGAACCAUUGAUGUCUGGGAGUCAGUGUAAGAAGAAUUCAUUCUUCUUAAAUUCCUGUCAUGACUGCAGCUCCAAGGAAAUACAAAAAAUGGCUUAAUUUUCAGAAACCCUAGAAAUGUCUAGAUUCUGAUCCUGUGAGAUGGAGAUCAACAAAGAACUCACUUCUCUGAGUGAGUUCUGAGUGAUAGCUGAGAUGAUUUCAGGCAGUGCAUGGAUGAUAUCUGUUAAUUCCAACUUAGACUGUAGUUUCAUAGAUAUUGUUACUAAAAAGGAUGUUAAAUAGGAAGAAAGAUAAUUAAAGAAAACAUCAUCUUACAUGGAUAUGGUAAAGUUUGCGAGAAUAAUUUGUGAAUCAUUGAAGACUGGAAAAUACUGGUAAAAGAAAGAGUUUUGAGCCCUGUGUAAAGAUUGUUUUGGUAACAAAUUCAAGCUCUAUCCCUCAUUAAAUAUGAACCUUUGGCAAGUUUAGAUUAUUUCUGGUGCUCUAUUUACCUAAAAUGUGGAGAUUAGCUAUCCUGAGGAUGGUUGAACGUUAAAUGAGAUGAUUUCUGUGGCUAUCUGGUAGAGAGCUCCUAACCCGUAGUUGACUCAUAAUUAUAAGUCUGAGCUGCUCCACUUCCCUGUUGUUCCUGGCUGUUUGACCUUGGCCUUGGCUAUACUUUGCCUGGACUACCUUCUCUGGGCCUCAGGUUUCCUUGCCUCAAAAUUGAGAUUUGGCAAAACAACCCAAAGAUGCUUGGAAACUUGGGAGGACAGUCAGGACCAAACCGUGUGCCUGACCUCUAGACUCUGUCCCCUUCAUAGGCCCUUUUUCUGGUUUUAUCCCAGGCACAGCACAAUAGCAGGUAGGGUAGGCAAUCAGUUCAUCUUCAUGGGAUGAAGCUAAGAGAAAAUAAAAUAGCUGCCCUUUCUCCUUCACACAGUGUUGAAAGGGUCAGGUGAAAUUGGUUACAAAAAUAAGAAAAUCCAGCACAUGUAAUAUUAGAAUUGAUUCCCUUGUAUGAACCCAGGUCAGCAGGGCUCAAAGUUAAUACUAGUAAUAGAAAUUCUUAGAACAGUCUCAACUUUCUUUCUUUCACAAAGUUUAUUUUUCAGAACUUUACCUUGAACCCAGAGGCAUAACGUGCAUUUACUGGGAAACUGUUUCACUUUCAUGGCCCCCUUGCAACCUGCUCUGAGGAGUCUUAGCAAUGUAUUUACACAUUCUUUCAUAAAGUCUGCCCCCACAUUGUGUCAUUUCUGGGCCUCACAAACCUGCAUCUACUCCUGCCAGGACACUGGGAAGGAGGAAGAACUGGCUCCUUCCUCAGCCUUCUCCCUGGCCCUGCCCUUCAGCCUCAUUCUCCACCCACAGCCACCUGCCUCACUGUGUCCCUGCUCCGAUGAAUCUGUCCUUUCCAGGCGGGAUUAAUAGCAGAAACUGGCCCAAGCUAAGGCCUUCCUGGUGGGGCUGGUGCUUCCAGAAUCAGGAUGGGGCUGGAAAAGGAGGUGUCCUUUUGUCUGUAAUGUCUUUACUGCUACUUUUCCUUUUCAGUGACUCCAAGUGCAUUGCUUAGUGAUGCCUAAUGGUCUCAUUACCCUGCUUCCUGCUGAGCAUUUCUGCUCAGGCAUCCAUUUGUCCCAGUGCUUGCUCCUCUCCCAAAUCCUGGAAUCUUGACUUCAGGCUCCCCUUCAACUCCAGGUGGCUCCAUGGACACAGGCCCCACUUGAGUGGGUACCUCUGUGUAGCGGUCAGGGCUUUCUGCUAGCCCUGGAAGUUGGAAAAUGCAUAUGCUGGGGCUGAGGCUUCUCGCCUCUCUGGGGUGGAUCAUCCAUCCUCUCGGUCUCUCUAGGAAGUUCCUCAAAUCCCCUACCCCCUGUUUCCAUAAUUAGCUGGGCUCUUGUCCAUUGCUGUGUCCCCCAUGGUGGCUCUACGAGUCUCACCAUUGCUUAUGCUGAUCUGGGGAUAGUUCCUGAGCGUUUAUGGGUCCUGUGGAGUUUUUCCAUCUUUUAUCGCUGUGACCAUAUGGAUAGGGCCUUGGGUUCUGUGAUAUGGCAGGAUGCCAGAUAGCCAAUCUCCCCUAUGAGUAGGACUCAGCCAAGAUCUUGGCUCUUAGUUUUUACAGGUGUCUGGCCCUGUCCCAAGUUAGGGCAACACAGACACCUUUUAACUACAGAAGACCAUUGGUUACUUUGUGGGAUUGCAGAUCAUUUUCUGCACCUGUGGAAUUUGGCCAUGAGGGUAGAUGCGUCAGCUGAAGGAUGCUUUCCAGCUAUACCCAAGGCUGGCAAGUUAUACAUUUCUGGAUGUGCAUGUACCCCAUGGUGCAUGUGAAUGGCACUUUCCAUGAGAAUUGUACUCUACAUGGCAUUUUUUUUUAAAAUUUUUUAUUCUAAUUUUUUAUACAUGACAGCAGAAUGCAUUACAAUUCAUAUUACACAUAUGGAGCACAAUUUUUCAUAUCUCUGAUUGUAUACAAUGUAUAUUCACACCAUUCAUGUUUUUGGUAAUGAUGUCCAUUUCAUUCCACCGUCUUUUCUACCCCAUGCCUUCUCCCUUCCCCUCCCACCCCUCUGCCCUAUCUAGAGUUCGUCUAACCCUCCCAUGCUCCCCCUACCAACCCCACUAUGAAUCAGCCUCCUUAUAUCAGAGAAAACAUUCAGCAUUUGUUUUUUGGGGGAUUGGCUGACUUCACUUAGCAUUGUAUUCUCCAGCUUCAUCCAAUAAAUGGUGUUUAUUGAAGGGCAGCGCCAUAUGGAUCCCAACAUCCUGAUUUUUCUAUCUCUUCAGCUAGGUUUUGUGUUGAGUCAAUGGAGUGGUUGCCAUUUUCCAUAUAUUCAGCAUACAAUCUGGCUUGUUUGACCUUUCUAAUGGUGCUCAAUUCAAGGUUGUUGUACAAGUUUUGCUGGACUUGACUUAGGGAAAAGGGUCAUAGUUUUCUGCCUGUCAAUCUAGGUAACACCUAGAAAUCAUGGUAUGGGCCUUUGAUUCUGCUUUAAUCUUUGAAAGCCUAGAAGAUAUGAGUUCCAGAGGGCCAGUGGAUGUGGUGACAUGGCAAGGUAGUUGGCUGUGGUCAGCAUUUGAAGAUAGGGCUAUAAAAUUAACAUGGUGUAAAUAUCCCCUAGGCUGUACAAUUUAGUGAAUUGACAUGGCAACGAGGCUGCCAGGGUUCAAAUCCUGCCUCUGGGUGCUGCUUACCAGCUACUUGCCCUUGGAUAAUUUCAUAACCUCUCUGUAUCUCAGUUUCCCCAAAAUGAGAUAACAGCACCUUCCUUGGGGAUGGUUUAGCAAAUAAAUGUAUUAAGAAGGGGAAAGCACUUAGUACAUGGUUACUACUAGGCUUCUGCCUUGAUUUACUGCAUUUUCACAGUCAUCAUGGAAUGUAGGGGAUUUAAUUUUUUUUCUACUCAAAUGAAGGAGCUGAAGUUCAGAAAGGCUAAGUAACUUGCCUAAGAAAGCACAGCUAGCAAGGGGCCACAAUAGGAACAGAGUUCUAGUCUUAAGUGCUGUGCUGUUUAUUAUAUCCUAAAGAGAGUUGCCCGGGAGAGCCAGAAACUUCUCUGAGGGGUCACAGGGCACUGGGUAUGAACAGGCUGUGGUGAGAAAGGAGACAGAGGGCCAGACUUCCUCCCCUUCCUGGUUCUAUGGGUAACAGGCACGGGGACGGGUAACAUGUCCCAAGGCCCAUCUAUAACGAACUUCCUGUGACUCAUAGCCACUUCUCCUUUCUUGCCUGAAGUCCCUCAUUCCAUUCAAGCAGCGGCUGAAGUUGAGGUUAUAGUUCUAAACUUCAUUUUCUGUCCUUGGGUACCCACCCCAUGUGUCAUCUCAUAGGGAGAUCUGAUGACAUAUGUGUUAGAAUUUGUCAUCAAAAUGGAAAUCCCUUGAAAUCUUUGGGUGGUUGCAAUUCAUAUUCUGCGUGCACUUGUCAAAAGUUUAGGAUGGAGGCCUUAAGAAUUUCAUGGUUUGAAACCUUUCCACCUACCAUGAGAAGGUUUUCCCAGACCUGUCAAAGCCAGGGCUGUGUCCCUGAGUACAGGCCAUUGGUUUUCAUCAGGGCAGGAGCCUGGCCCCAGCUGGGCUGUAAGCAGGGGGGUGCAGCGCUCCACUGCAGUGUUGAAAUAUUGCUUGAACUAAAUCAAAUCAAAGGUCAGCUUUACCCAGACGAGAAUAGAAAACACAAUUGCAUUCAAUUACAGAACGGCAUGUACCCCACCAAUAUCAGAUUGCUUUAAAACUUUUUUGAAUUGUUAACAUCAAAAACAGUGUUGCAUGUCCCCUGCUUUUCCAGUGUAAGAUUUCUUUACCCCAUAGGUGGCAAAGAGCCCCUGGGGGUCCGGUUUAUUUCUUGCUGAGAGCUUCCCCAUUUCUCAUUCUUCCAUCACUGUUGCAUUGAGGCACAAAAAGACAAUCUUAGAGCGACUCUUUGUACAACAGACCAGGUUGCACCAGGUAAUGAUGCUGUUUUAUGUCUUAAAUGGAUUAUUUAAUUAAAGGCUUAAAACAACUGGUUGGUGGUAUCAUCCCCAUUUUAUUGACCAUGAAACUGAGGCUUUAAAGGGUUCUGUCUGCCACCCCGGACCACAGAGUAAAGUUGUAAAUUGAAUCCAGGUCUGUGUGAUUCCAAGCUCAGCCUCUUUCUGCUAUGCUGUCAUGUCAUCCAACACCAGGAAAUGUGGGCAGCAAUACUAGCUUUCAAUUAAGCAUUUUUAGAGAGUGAAAAAUUCAUUUAAUUGCUAAUAAAGUGGAAGGGACCAAAGCUUUGUAGCUGAAGCUGUUUGUGUUGAAAUAUGCCACUCUCUGGUUCUGUGACCUUGAGCAAGAUGUUAACUUCCAGAUCUGUUUCCUUGCGUGAGACAUGGGAGUAAUAAUACCUUUCUUAUAAUCUUGCUUUAGGGAUUCUGGAGAAUAAUAUAAGGUGUCCAAGGCUUAGUAAAUAUGAAUCACCUUUCUUUCUCUGCCCACAAAAUACUACCAUGUCUUUAACAAGUGUUAUUAAUUUUAGAAAUUAGGAAAAAUUAAGCUAUUUGUACAUUAUGUAUAUUAACAAUUCUUCCUAGACCAGCCCUGGACAAAAUUCCAUUGCAGUCCCUAAUUUGUAGACCCAUCUUUCUUUCCUUCCUUUUGUUCCCUGGACCUUGCAGGUCCUCGCAGGAUAAUUCUAGCCCUGUGUUAUGUGGUGUUUGGAGUUCUUGGCCCCAUGUUUAGUCAGAGCAUCUCACCUGUGAGAACUGAAUGCCUCUAACUCUUUCUUCUCCCCAGCUCCUCUUCUCUCUGCCCCCUUCUGUUUGAUUCAGCCUUUCUCAUUUCUGGACUCUGCGUUUCUUCCUACUUUAGACUCUUACCCUCUCUUCACCCCUUUAUCUUCUGGGCUUCCUCUUUCCUCUCUCUGCCUCUCUGGUCUUCCCAAAGGGUUCUCUGCGUAAAGUUCUCUUCUCAGCUAUUGUGAUUUGGACCCUUGUUUCUUCCUGUCUUUCUGUUUAGGUUCAGAACUCAUUUGGGCUCAUGUGACCUCCUCAGUAUUAACUUUCUUUUCCUCCUGGGCUUCCCCCACCAGCCUGAGGGUGCUCACAGCCUUCUGUCCAGUGUGAUUUGUCAGAUUUAAGCCUUUCAGAUAAAGACUCCUUAUAGCCAUUCAGGUUCUUACCAGUGGACAUCAGUCGUUAUUCCAGUGGCUUCCAACAACCUUUCCUACCAGUCAGACCUGGGUAUUGUCUUAGUCGGUUUGGACUGCCAUUACAAAAAUACCCCAAACUGAGAAAUUUUACACAAUAGAAAUUUAUUUCUCUGGAGGCUGGGAAAUCUGGAAUGAAGGUGUUGCAGAUUCAGUGUCUGGUGAGGGCUGCUUUCUGUUUCCAAGAUGGCACCUUGUCACUGCAUCCUAUGGGAAGGACAAACACUGUGUCCUCACAUGGCAGAAGGGACUGAGGGGGACAUAACCUACCCUGAUAUUGAAGGUUCUGCCUUUAUGACUUAUUACCUCUUUAAGGUCCCACCUCUUAAUACUAUCACAUUGGUGGUGAAGUUUCAACAGAGGAACUUUCCAAUGUUCAAAUUAUAGCAGGUGUGUUACUGUCUUAGGAGAUGAAUGUGGGGAAAAAAAAUGAGGACACUUUCUACCCCUGAUUUCAGUGCUGCUGACAGACUACAAUGGCAGAUGGGGCUGGAGGCUCACCACUCUGCUUACCCUCUGCCUACCUCUUCUUGGAAGGGAAGGGAUUGUGCCUUCGUAGGACACCUCUUUUGUUACAGGGGCCUGUCUUUGGGCAACACUGAAAAAGGUCUCAUUCCUUUCAACCAAAGCACUGGGUACAGUAGCUAUUUAGGAGUUGGUUGAAUGAGUAUACAUUCACAUGCGUAAAAUUCUUUAAGAAACAUAUGGUUCUUAAGGCUAUAUCACUUCCAUUGGUCUAAAGAGAAGACUCUGGCUUCCCUAGUACGUUCUGCAAAGAUUCGGGGCACAUAACCACAAACAGUCUGGUUUCUCUUGGGAACUCUUCACAUAAUUGUCAUAAUGACUUUAUCAACCUUUUUUUUGAGCAUAUUUAAUUUUCAGCCUGAUUUUCUCUUGCAUUACAUGUGAGUCAGUAUUUAGGGUAGUUAACACACUUGGGUGCUAUUAAUGCUUGCGUAACCCACAAUCGGAGGAAGGUAGACCUUCAUUUACAAAUACAGAGGCUCAGAGAGCCUAACAAGUGACUUUCCCAAGCCCAUGAAACUGGAAAAUUCUGAAACUGAGAUUCGAACCAGGUUAGCCAGACUCCAAAGCCUGAGUUCUCUCAGGCCUUGAGAUUCCUCAGCAAGCCUUUACUGUAGAGAAAGAAACUAAUUCAGGUCCCAGAUGACCAGCAGGGAGCUCUAAAGGCCAUGUGCCCCAUCUCUGUGUGCUCCCUGUCUCCUGCCCCUGCCUUAGGGAGUCACACCAGGGAGCAGCCUGUCACUGCCUUUCCCCUUCUCUAGCUUGGAACAUCAAGGUCUUCCCAGAGAGGGCUCAGUCAUCUCACCCCCUGAAGAAAGUAGAGCCCCUGCAUUGGGAGAACAAACCAACAGAACACAAGGAUACCCUAGAAGACAGCAGAGCAUAUUUGUUGCCAGCCCCUUUGUAGCAGAGAAAUGUUCCAAGGUCUUGGUUUUUAGGCCAGACAAGUUUAGGCACAGCCAGCCUGUCUCCUCUGUGCCUUUCCACCCCUCCCCUGGCCAUAGUCACUGCUCAUCUGACAUGGCCAGGUCUGGGAGACCCAGCCACUCCAGUAUCUGGGCCUCCAGUGCUGAGUGAUCUCUUUCUUUGCUUCUCCUUUUUAAAAUUUGCCUUCUCCACCCUCUUCUCAAGCUGCUGAUUGCUGUGGUUCCUUUUCACGUGGAGCCCAAGGCUGGGGAGAUCUUGAAACCUGAGCUGGGUCCUGGAGGGCAUUGACCGCUAGUAACCCCAGCCAGCUCGCCUGCCUGAGGACGUCCCUCCUCGGCUUUCCGCUGCCCUCCCUUGUCCCCCUCCUCUGCUCCUCCCUCCCUCUCUUUCUGCAUCCCUUCUCCCUCAUGGCUCUCUGUUUCAGAGGUGGUGGCUGGCCUUGGCUGGGCAGGCUGCCUGGAGAGAAGGGAAAGAACACUAAGUGGCCAAGAAAGCAUCCCCUGGGGCAGGGCCUCGCCUCUCCACACCCCUUUUCCUGCCUGUGGAGCGCUUCCUUAGUGUGGGCAGAGAGGCCCGGCCUCUAUGGAUGGCGAGGAACUGAGGAUUCUGCCUAGCUCUUCCCCAGCCCACAACACACACAUUUCACCUGUUUGUUCUUUGUAGACACUGAGUUCUUUUUGGUUUUGCUUUUCCUUGCUCCUUUCCUUUGCUCUGCCACACUGCACUCAAGGCAAAAGUUUCUGGGGAAUUGGUAGGCCCCUAUUUGCUCUUCCAGGCAAAACCAAACCAAGAGGGCUGAGCUCAGUGGUACUUUGGUCAGUACUGAAGACACUGUGGUAGGAGAGCUGUCUUGGCCCUCUGCUGGAGAGCGACUUUCAGUCUUCCCUGAGGGAAGCAGGGACUCAGGUUUAUUUUAGCAAGUAUCCUGGCUCCCUGUCUCUGCGUCUGUGACAGUGGUCAUACCUUCUCAGUUUCCCAUGUAAAUACGUGAAGCCAGUCAGCCCUUCCCCAGAGCCAAGCACUUUCAUAUUUCUGAUUUUUGGUUUUCACAAUAAUUUGUGGAUAUUAUUAGCUUCAUGUUUACAUCCAAGGAAACUGAGGCCCAGAAAGACCAAGAAAAGGGGGAAAAGAGUUUCAUGUUACAGUUCAGCUCUUCUGAUGCUCUCUCCAGUUUUAAUUUGACCUUGUACUCCUCUCAGUACCACAAGUAAGAAUACCUCAGAGAUCCCACCCACAAGUUUUAUACACGACAAAAUCCAGGUCCAUGUUUGAUCAAACUUAAGUGACCUAGUACUGUCCUUUGCAUCAAGUAUUCCCAGUCGGCUGGGAAUGGCUGGUCUUUCUAGGUGGUCAUCUUCUACCUGUCUCCAUCCUUGCAGAGACCAGCAGAUAUGAUCGGUAGGAGUUGAUUCUCUGUAAAAUGCUAGAUUUAUUUGUUCUUUUAUAAAGUCCUGAAUAGACAAAUCAGUCUGCUUCAACCUUUCCUUUGCCUUGUAGACAGUAUCACCAGCAAGAAUUCGUCAAUUCUAUCAGCUCAGGAACUCAGCCAGGCAAAUACAAAAUGUGCCCGUACAUAUGCACACACAUACGUGUAUAAACGUAAUUGGACCAUGAAUUCAGCACGUCAGCAUAUUUGGCAGAGUCACUUCUCUGUUCCCAUCUCUUCUGCAUAUGCUUCCCUGACCUUCCCACCCUUAAACUAGGUUAGGGACCCUGUUCUGUGCCCCCAUAACAACCUGCAUUUAGGGUUAAUUUAGGUUUGAAUUUAGGAAUGAUAUUGGUCAUUCCUAGAAAGGCUGAUAAUAUCAUCCAUUCUUUUAUGGAGCAUCUUACUCAGUGUCAGGAACUAUCCUGGGCCUACAAGUAUGUUCUGUCAUUCGACCCCAAGCUCAGCCCAGUGAGGCAAAUGCCAGUGACAUUUUCAUUUCAUCAUGUAUUGACUCAGCCUCCCUCUGUUCUGUUCUCCGCUCUGCUCCCAGCUACUACUUAACCCGAUGUUUCUUCUCUUGACCUGCACUAAUGUGACCCAGUGGGCUUAGAGGAACUUGAGUUCCAUCUGCGGUAGCUUUCCCUCCAACCCUCCACAGUGGCAGUUUCCCAGAUCACAUCAAUUCAUUAAUUUAUUCACUCAUUUGUAUUUGUUCGUUUGUUCAUUCAUUCAUUCACCGAGUGCUCCUCUGUGCCAGUCAUUGCUGGCUUUGGAGUUACAAAUCCUGGUCUUCAACACAUUUUUAGUGUUCUGGGAGAAAGAUGUACACACAACUAAAGCUUUAGACAACUAAAGCUUGAUCUGUACAGUAUUUUGGGAAAAUGAAGUUGCUGUCAGGAGACAGAAGAGGGUUGCUAACCUAGUUUGAAGGUGGGAAGGUGGGAAGUUCAGGGAAGGCUUCCUGGAGGUGGUGACUCAUGGGCCCAGUCAUAAAGGAGUGAGAGAAGGAUGGCCGCUUCAGACAUCUGGUGUUCACACUAUUCUUGGCUUCCCCACUUGUUUUCCAGUAGGUACAGAGCCACCCUGCUCUGUCCUCGCACACACACCCGUCUCCUCUCUUCUUCCUCCCUACUUCUGAAAUCUUAAGUUUUGAGGAAUCUCUUCUCUUUAAAUUUAUUUGCUAUUUUAUUCAUUCAUUCAUAAACAAUUAUUGAGCACCUAUUGUGUGCACAGCACUCUGAGUACAUGAGUACAGGAUGACUUCAUCCUUGCCAUCAGGGGAGAUCUUACUCUUUCCUUAGCAGCUUCUGGGGAUUUUGGGCUGUUGGGUUCUUUCUAGAACUUGUCCCCUGCAAUUCCCAUGAAGCACUUGCAGAUAAACCUCACCUUGGACAAAUGCUUCUAUUAAUUCUCUUCCUUGGGCUUUCUUAUCUCUUCUUUUGCUCUCUCGAGUCAAAUGUGCCUCUUUGUCUUCCUCAUCAGCCCAGAAAGUUCCUUGAAGGCAGGACUGUGUCUUCGUCUUCUUUACAGUGCAUCGUUGUACAGUGGUAAACCUGAAGGAAAUCGUUUCUUCAAUAACAAAAUAUUACCACUUAUUAAGCACCUGUCAUGAGCCAGCUGCUCAUUAUUCAUGCUUUACAUAUGAAUCUCUCCAGUCCACACGUCUUCAAUAGGUGGGGGCUGUUACAUUCAUUCAUAGGCAGGAAAAUUCCAUCUCAGGAAGCUAAGUGACCUUCUGUGGUCAUAUAGCCAAUUCAUGGGAGUGGGUACUACUAAAUUUAGGCUUUUCUAGUUCUAACCCCUGAUUUUUUCCCCUCUGAAUAUUAUUGUUUUUCAAACUUGGUCAGAGUCACCUAGAAAGUUUUUUAAAAAUUCUGAUAUGCCUGAGUCUUACCCCUGGCAGUUCUGAUUAGGCAUUCUGGGGUGUGGCCUAGGCUUUGGGAUUUUUUUUGUAAAGCUUCCAGGUGAGUCUAGCAUGCAGCCAAGACUGAGAAUCAGCUUACAGUACCACGUUGCCUUCCUGUGUCCACAUGAGUGCAGCUGUCAGGGGCAAUGUGAGACUGAGCCAGCAUGUGUAGAUAUCCAUGUGACCAGACUGUGAGUUCUUCAUAGCCAGGGCUCUUUGGCCCUCUGUGCCGCUUCCCCACCCGGCCAUCCUCCCACACCACGCACGUGCACUGACAAAGGUUGUUGACUAUUUAACCAGCCUCUUGGUUCUUGUGCCUCGUCCAGGGGAUAGGCGGUUAGAGUUUGAUCACAUCCAGCUGUUUUCAUCCUCAGAGCCUGUUGACAUAACAGAAGAGUCUUAUAAACAUGCUGAGCACAUUUGCUGGUCCCAAGAGUGUUGGUGGAUGACCUAGACCCAUUGAAAGUGCAGUCUGGGUCAGCCUCCCACAUUUCUGCCGCCCUUUGUGGGAAGGAGGGGGUUGUUCUGCAGUUCCUUGGCACAGUGCUUGUGCGCUGCCCUGGCUCUGCUUGGGAGGAGUGUGUGGCUGAACCGGUUGAUGAGUUAGUUCACAUGUUUAUUUUGUUCUGUCAAGGGUUUAUGGGGACUCUUUUUGGCCCCUCAAUUUUGGGAGUAAGGCAGUGCAAGCACAACUAGGUGAAAUGACCUGGUAAACAAAGAUGCAGAACCCCCCAGGUUUCUGACUUGCUGGUGGUUUUUUUUUUUUUUUCUGUUGCUGUAGGAUAGUCGGUGUUGGCCUUCUCAUGCUAGGCCUCAACUGAAGUUGCCACAUACCUACCACUUUCCUUCCUGUUUACCCCUGUCACGGGUAAACAGGAAGUCCUGGAUCACUUUCUGUCCCUAGGAAGGCUGUUCUAGUGGCUCAAGGUCCUGGGGUAUGGCUUCGGGAUGGUCCUGACUUCCCUAGGCUCUUCCUGGGCUUGCUCAGAGAUGGAAGGAAAUCUGGGCUGUUGCUCAGAUACUUGUGAAUCUUUUCAGUCCUAAUCCCAUCUCCUGGUAUUUAUUAUUUAGCUGUCAUUCACUGAACGGUAAUUCUGUGCUGGGCCCUGAAAUGGGAAUUGGGGACACUAAUAAAACACAUAUUCUUUGACCUUAUGGGCAUGGUCUAGUGGAGAAGCAUGUAAGUAAAACAGUGUUUCUUAAAACAUGGCUCUCCGACCCCCUUCCUUAGAAGUACUAGGCAGUUAAUUAAGAUGUAGACUUGUGGGCCACCCUCUCCAGAUCCAUUUUUAGAAUCUGUAAGGAUUGGACCCCAAAACUGCAUUUUAGCAUACUCCCCUAAGUGAGUUUUAGGUGCAGUCUGCAUCAUGUGUGAGGGGGAACACCAGGCUGGCGGCAGUUUGCAGGAGAACCUAUUCUGAGAAAGACACUAAAAGGCCCAGGAAGCUUCUGGGGGUCAUGAGGAAUCCCUAGGAGCUGGUUACGUAGGUGUCAUGGAGAAUCAUUUCUCUAGAGAUGCGAAUCUUUCUUAGUUAUUUUUCUAGAACUCCAUACAGUAUUACUGAAAUUUGCUUAAGGCAGAACAUGCCUGGAUCACACAGCUCUAAUGGAAAUCAGCAUGAUAUGUAGGGUCCUAGCUGCUACUUUAUGUCUGGGCUUGACCCUCUUAGUGUAGGAUUAACUCACUAAGCCUCACACUGGAACCCUGUGGUCAGAUCGGACCUCUUCAGGUGAAUCAUUUGUGUUUGUAAAGUUUGCCCCCUAGAGGUCAAUUUAUGUCUGGGCCUGGGCAAGUGACUGCCCAGCCUGCCUUGAGGUCAUGAUGAGCUGGUUUUAUCUUGAUUGCAAACAAGAAUUUAGACUAUUAGGAGGAUGGGGUGGAAAGAGAAGAGGUAGACAGUCAAAUGAAAUAAGACUGGGAAAGUGAUAUUAUUUCAGAGUCAGAGAGCCCCUCCAGGCAUCUGCUUAGAAAUCUCUUGUUUUGGAGGUGAAGAAACUAAGGUUCAGAACAAUGGCCUGAAAUACCCAUGUGACAUGGUAUCAGAAACAGCCUCCAAAUCUAGGCUCUAGAAUUCCGGGUUCCUGACCAGUGCUUUUUCUGAUUUGCAUCACUGGAUUGAAGCUUUUUCUAAAUGUACCUGGCUGGAGAGCUUAUUGUUUAAUAGGAAUCUAUAUGAAACCCUUUAGCAAGUGAAUUAUUUGGUAGGGUGGAUUUAAAAAUAUAUGCCUAUGUAUUGUUCUAAGGCAUGGCAAGCCUGGGCUUUAGAGCCUAACAUCACAUGUUUUGUUUCUAAUUAAAAUGGGACCAGGAGAGUGCUUUGAUAUGCACCAUGUGUACACCAGUGGUCCCUGGCAGGCAGCAUCAAAUAUCCCCUGGAAGCUUGUUAGAAAUGCAGGUUCUCCAGCCCCAUCCCAGGUCCACUGAAUCAGAAAUUCUGGGGAUGGGGUCCAACCGUCUGUUCUGUCCCACUAGUAAUUCUGAUGCACAUUAAAGUUUGAGAACCAUUGCCAGCUCCAUGAGAUCUGCCCCUAUGGCUUAUGGAAUAAGCCUUUAAAUGGCUCAGAUUUUAGCUAUGGGAGAUGGUUCCGGGGAGACAGGAGUGGUGGGGGUUGAUGUCUCAAAUCUCUGGUGGAAAGGAUGAGAUCAUUUAAAAGAUUGGGCUUUUUGUUUGUAAAGCAAGGAGAGGCUGUGUGUGUGACAGCACUGUGGCACUGUGUGAGUCUGGGAGCAAGACUCCACUAUCAGAAGGCAGUCUCUUCCUGUCUCUCCUGAUAAGGCAGAGCUCCCCUAGCUCAUUUCGCUGUGUGCUUAAGCCAGAAGCCUGUGCUCAUCAAUCAGUUUAAAACAAGGCAAUCAAUAGUAUGAUAUUUUUCUCCACCUGCCUCGUAGUGCUUUUUGUUUUGUUUUGUUUUGAGUUACUUAUUAAAUGAAAACAAAACACCAUUUUUUUUUUUUUGAUAGGCUUGAAGCUUCAGGAUUUCCUGGUGGACAAUGAAACCUUCUCUGGAUUCCUGAAUCACAAUCUCUCUCUACCAAGGCCAACUGUGGAGAAAAUGCUGGGGGCUGAUGUCAGUCUGCAGAAGGUAAGUGGCCGCUUCACUUCCUCAGCCGGCUGAUGGCAGUUACAUUGUUUGCCUAGAAAGAAAGGAAUAAACCUCUCUCUUUAUAAUGAUGGUGAAGGAAGAAGUUAGCUCGAAUUCAUCUUCACCUAAUGUGACUUCUGGAGGAGGCUGGGCAUCAUGAAACCCUCCAGAGAGCAAAAUGUGCAGCCUGGCGUCAAGGGCCGGCUGGUUGAAAUAAAACUGAUUUACUGUCCGUUGGUUGGCAUUUAUGAUGACUUCCUCCCAAAAGGGUUACAUUUUAAGUUCAGAUGAAUUAAACUUUCUAAAAAAAUAAAUUUCACAGUUCUGAGAUAAGAACCAGGGUUAAGGAUUUUUGACCUGGAGAGAUUCUGUCUAUAUAAUCUAAGACAGGAGAUUUAAAAAGCAUAAUGCUGCUUUGAAAGAGAGCAAAGAUAUAUAAGGAGAGUUUUCUUUUUAAAUGUAUAAAAGCAGGAAGUAAUAUUAGAGUUUAUACGGAAUUUUAACCUUAGAUUCUUCGAGAAAGAACUUCCUGUGGCAUCGUUAAUUCUCAUGGAGCUCCUGCGCAGAUGACCUGGUAUCGAUUUUUCAGAGAUGCUUCUCAAGUGCAUUCUCUGGCAGGAAGGGAACUGCUUUCUUACCCGGUCUCAUGUCUGCAUAAUAUCUUGUCUUUACAAUAAGCAGAAGUAGUGGAAAUGUUUAUGUUUGAAAGUAAGGUCUUUGCUUCACAAGAUCCAGAAUUUUUAAAAUUAGAAAAAUGUGCUUACUGCUUGCCCUUAUGAAACUAGGAAAAUAUGCCUUGUGUUUACCAAUUGUGUGGCUGGGAGGUGGGCCAGAGGCAGCAAGCUUUUGAAAAUGGUUGUGUUUAGCACAAUUUCCAUUGUCCCCUGCCAAUUCCAUAUCUGUCACAUCCCAUCAGUUUAGAAUAAGGGGCAUCCUAAGCAUGGAGGUGGUCCACACAUGGUGGUUAGUAUUUCUGAGUUGUUGGUGUUCUUAAACACAGACACUAAAGGUAGACUGGCAGCCUGGCGGCAAGAAUUGGUUAAAGAAAGGAGUAAAACAGAAGUGCACUUGAGGAUCUGGCAUAGGUAAAAAUUUAUUGGAAACCGUGGCAGGCCAAAUACUCUGCAGUUUAUUUGAGAAGCUUUUGGCCCAUCACUCACAUUAGGUUGUUCUAUUAGCAAGACAGGCUGCAUUUAUUUAAACUAAUAGGGAAGUUAGUAACUCUACAUAUAAAAAAACAGCCUGUAUCAUUCAUUCAUUCAUUCAACAAAUCUUUAUAGACUCUAGUGUUCCAGUUCUAUGAAUACAAAGUCAGUACUGAAAGUCAAGGCCCUGCUUUUUACAAAGCCUUCUGUCUACAGGGGAAUAAGGACCAAGAAGCACAAUUUAUUCAAGACUAGGACAGCUAAUUAAGUAAACAAAAAAAUGACCAAGGAGAGGCUUCCUAGUGGGUUUGCUAUUCUGAAUAGAUAAGAAUGACUUAAACUGGCCUAUCAAUGAGAUGAUAGGAGGUCCAACUUUCCAAUAAAUUCCAGUAAAUUUAUUUUCCAGUAAAUUCCAAAUUCCAAAUUCUGCCUUUAGUUCUGUGCAUUGAUUAAAUAUCUAGACCUGUAGACAAAUCAUAUUUUUUUUUCAGAAUCCACCCCAAUCCCAGUUUAAGAAAUCAUAAAUUCCAAAAUAGCAAGGAUGUUUUACUCUAAUAAAAGUGGUUCCAGGAGUUCAGAUUCUGGAUUCCUAUUCACUGAAUCAUGUGUCCCAGCACUGAAAAAAAGAGUUGGAUUCAGAGUUGGAUUUCUCUCUGCAAGAGGGACGAGAAUGUGGAAGAUACUAAGUCAAACACAUCAUGCAGGUUUAAAAUGUGCUGUCAGAUCAUGCCAUGAUUUAUUCUGAAAUUCAGAAAAAAGACCCGAUGCCUUAAACUAUCAUCAGCAGUGCUCCUUUUAAGACCUUCAAAGCUGUACCUGUGGGAAGCACCCCAAGGGCUUCAAGGACCCUGCUUCCCAUCUUUGUAAUCCCAUUUCACUUGUCUCUCUUUGCAUGAAUAUUUCCAGGUAUUUUUGCAAGGUUACCAGUUACAUUUGACCAAUCUGUGCAACGGAUCCAAAUUAGGAGAAGUGAUUCGACUUGGUGAUGCAGAAGUUUCUGAGCUUUGCAGUCUACCAAGGGAGAAACUGGAUGCGGCAGAGCGAGUGCUUCGUUCCAACAUGGACAUCCUGAAGCCAAUCGUGGUGAGUGGACUUACUCUGUGGAAAAGAAGCUUCACGUGCUAAUAAUGCUAUUGGAAUGUGAACUUUUUCCUUGGACAACAUGUCUUUGUUUUUGUAGAAACAUAGGGCUGGCUGGGAGUUUGUGAUACUGUUUAGCCAAGUGGUAUUUUAAGUGUGAAUGAGGGAAGGAUGUGCAGGGUGUGGCUAAGUCCAAGCCCAAGGUCCCUUGUGCCCAUUUCAAUCAGAGAAGACCUGCUUUUUCAUGUUUUUCAUACUAUAACUAUGAGUCAGAGUUCUUUUGAAGAAAGCGUUCCCUGGAUUUUUUUUUAAGUCUCAAAACCAUUGAUGGGAAGAUGGCUAUUUAUAGGUGCUUUAAAAACACUCAGAAAGGAGAUACAGUAGGCUGUCACAGUAAAACCCUGGAAUUAGAGGGGACCACACCCAGUAAUUAGCUUAAUCAAUGACAAAAUUGUAUCCAAAGGAAAAAAUCCCAACAAAAUUUGAUCAGCUCAGGAAUCCAUUGUUCAGAGAAGCACUCCAUGAGAAUACACAUUCCUUUUUAACCAAAUCAUGUGGAUGAGCAUGAGCCUGUAGAUAGGAAUUCAAGAAUAAAAAUGUCUCUGGGUUUUCUGAGAGUUCUGGUGAAAUGCCCAGAUAUCACUUAAUGUUCAGGAUUCAGGUUUCCUACUUAACAGAGAGUAAGCUGAUUUGUCAGUAAGUUCUCUUAAAACCAGGAAAAGAGCCCUGGAAUAAGAAUGUGCCUGAAAAGAGAGAUUCUUUAUUAUUAGAAAAUGAAAUUAUAAUUCUCUUGGACUUUGUGUGCCAUGACUUCUCUAUAGAGAGUUGGGUCUUCCCUGGGGAGGGUGGUCCUAAGAAUAUGCAGUUUCUGGACCCUGUGCCUUGGAUGUGACCUUAGAAACACAUCUCAGGUUAUGGACUCUGGACUGACCAUUGAGAAAUUCUUAUAUACUGCUCAACCCUAUGAUGCUGCAGCCCCUUCCUGAGGAGAAGGUUGUAGGAACACUGUGAGGUUCUAGGUGCCUCUUGGCGGACACUCAGCUCAGUCUUUAUGACCAGCUUAUGCCUGAUGCUUAAGAACACCUUUUAUUUUAUUCCAGAGGUAGUACAUUCUAUUUCAGUUAAAAAAGAAAUAAGCUUAGUGCUUUGUUCAAUGGUCUGUGAUUCUCUUGGCUAAUGUUUCUAUAUUAUAAUUUCAAGUAAGAUCUAUUUUUUUCUUUUCUUUUUUGGUACUGGGGGUUGAACCCAGGGGUGCUUAACCACUGAGCCACAUCCCCAGCUCUUUAUUAUUUUUUUAAAUGUAGAUAGGGUCUCGCUAUGUUACUUAGGUUCUUGCUAAAUUGCUUUGAACUUGUGAUCGUCCUGCCUCAGCCUCCCAAGCCAUUGGGAUUAUAGGCGUGUGUCAAUGCACCUGGCUUGAUCUAUUUCUUUAUGGGGAUGUUUGAAGCCCCAAGUAACAUCCCUAAAUUUUAGAUAAGCUCACUUGUGCAGAGAUUUGCAGCUUACUAGCAUUUUUCACUGUGAGACAUAGAAAGUCAGGGUUAUUACAAAUGGUACAAAAGGUUGGGGUACAAAACCUUUCCUUGGACUGCUUUUGGCUUCUUCACUUCACUACAAGACAGGAAUGUUCAUCCUUCAUAUUUUAGAAAGAUGAGUGUUUUUACAAGACAUAGUAAUUUAUUCUGGUGCUCCUUCAUUCUGUUUUACUUCUGUUUACUCACUAAACACCUGUUGUAUACACAACCCCAGUACAGAAAUCCACCCAAUCACAUAAUGUCUGAAUUACACUCAGAGAAGAAUGCUGACAAUUAACAGCUCAGCUUUCAAGUUGAAAUUCCUCUCCAUUUGGGACAAUCAGCAACAUGACAAGUACCUGGAGAGGGACCUUCAAACCUGUCAGCCGCGUUGCAUCCCAUCUGCUUGUGUGGUGGCUGUACAGGUGUUGACUAAGGUGGCUGGAGGACGCUUGCAGCACAUCUCCUGGGUGUCCAGAACAUCUGGGGUUCUGCUUCUGCCCCUCUGCUCUUGCGGAGAAACCUGUCUUCAUAAAGUCAGAAGAUGGGUUAGUGAUGAGUUAUUCUGAGUGGUUUGGAUUGUUCUGUGGAAAGAUGAUUUUGGAGGUUGCCUUUGAAAUAAAAUGACUUUCUAACAUUUUGGGAUGUUAUUUAUUGAAUUAAGCCCAGUGUUAAUUGGAGUCCCUGGACUGAUAUUUGAUUUUCAGUAAGCAGGCUUUUCUUCCUGUCACUUGGUUGCAAUUUUAACAUUUGUGAUGGUAGAUGUAUGUGACACGUGACAUCAUCGAACGUGGCCAGUUAAUUAUGCCAAGAACUACAACAGAAGCAGCAACCAGAUGCCAGGGACAGCAUCAUGGGGGGAAACUUCUGUCGAUAUGUGUUUCUGUACCAAAAGGGAAUCAUCAGGAGGGACAUAUUUUGAAACAUUUUUUCUCAUUUAAUUAUUUUUUAAUGUGGGUGUUUCCUCAUUUUUCAGCCAAGGGUAUUCUGAGUCUUUUUCCUGGGCCUCUUCCAGUCUCUGAAUGACUUCUGGAAAAAUAGUGUUGGGACAAAAUGGGGAAGUGUGGCAGAGUUGGAAGGGCUGUGGGCUUGGGGUCAGCUCACCUGGGCUCAAGUGCUGCUUCUGCUGUUUCCUGGAAUUGACCUUGAAAAGAUUAUUUUAACCUCAGUAGGCCUCAGCUUCCACUCCUUUUACUUGUAGAUAAAUAUAUGCUAAUCUUUGCUGUGAUUAUCGGCCACAUAUAUGAAGAGCCUCGAAUGGGACUUGGUACAUAAUAGGUGUUCAAUAAGUAGAAACUGAUCAUUUAAUUGACACAAUAUUAAUUAUGUGCUGAAAAUAAUUGCUGGUAAGAUAGACAUUUCCUUCCAUAGAUCAGUGUAGGGAAUCAUAGUUAUACCAAGGAAGGUGAUCCUGGAGAAUAUUUCCAUGAAAAACACAUUUUUUGUCCAGAUAUUACCCAAACCUCUCACCCUAUAGAGCCUUAUUUAUAUCUGUGCUGCAAUCCACACCUCACAUGAAAAUGAAUCCUGGAUGGUGGAGUGCUUCAAGUUUUCUACGGUUAAGAGAUGUUUUUAAUUAAUAUUUUUCUAUUUUUUACUUAAAAAAUAUUCAUUCAUAGAGUGAUAUUUAUUGCUUAUUAUGUAGCUGGAUUAGCUGAGAUCCUCAAAAAAUAUGGCUUUCUAUAUCAAUGUUUAUAGAAACAUAAUUCACAGUAGCUAACCUAUGGAGCCAGCCUAAGUGCCCUUCAACAGAUGAAUGGAUAAAGACAAUGUGGUAUAUAUGCACAAUGGAGUAUUACUCAGUCAUAAAGAAUGAUUUUAUGACAUUUGCCAGUAAAUGGUUGAAGUUGGAGACUAUCAUGCUAAGUGAAAUAAGCCAUUCCCCAAAGUGAAAGGUAGAAUGUUUUCUCUGAUAUGCAGAAGUUAAUCCAAAAUAAGGGGGGUGGAAGAUUUUAAAAAAAAAGAAUAGAAGAAAAAUCGGUGGAGUAGACAAAAGUGAAUGAAGGGAAGGGAGAAGGAAUGGGAUAGGGAAAGACAGUGGAAUGAAUCUAUCCUAACUUUCCUAUGUACCUAUGUGAAUGUACCACAGUACAUCUCACCAUAUAUGCAUCCACAAGGCACUAAUUUAAAAAAAAAAACUAUAAAAAAAUAGAUCAGUAUCGGAGAGGGAAAGGAGGAGGGAGGAGGGGAAGGAAAGAGGAAGUACUGGGGGCUGAAUUAGAACAAAUUAUGUUACAUGCUUUUAUAAUUAUAUCAAAAUGAAUCCUGUUGUCAUGCAUAACUAGAAAGAACCAAAAAAAGAAAAAGAAAAGAAAAGAAAGAAAGAUGGCUUUCUGAUGGGUGGGUUCAUACAUGAAAUAUUACCUCUGGGUCUAAGGAAGGCUCAUGUCACUGAGUGUUUUUCCUGUAGUAGGAGCUCAGAGCCACCUGGCAACCACAGGUGGCCUUCUCCCGAGGUCCUUCCUGAAGCAGCACACAUCUUUCCCAGAGAGCAGACAGAAGUGUUUGUGGGGACCUCCCUAUGUUGCCCCUCAGUCACCUCCACUCCGUUUUGGAUGGCGGGAAGGAGCCAUAAUAGUGGGUCAGCAAAUUUUAGGAGGAGUGAUUUAUUUGUUUCUCUUGUUGAGGUCCUUGCUGGUUGUAUUGGUUUAUCUCUUGCUGUUAUAAUAAAUUAGCAUACACUUGGCAGCUUAAAGCUAUUUGCAUUUAUUCUCUAACAAUUCUGAAGGCCAGAAGUCUGGAUUCGGUGGAGGUCCACCUGUGAUCAGUUAGGAUCUCACUGACUGAAAUCAAAGUGUUCUCAAGGGCUCUGCUCUUCUCGGAGACUCUGAAGAUGAAUCUGCUUCAGAGCUCAUUUAGCCUGUCAGCCAAAUUCAGUUUUUGGUUGUUGUUUUUUUUUUUUUUGUAGCUGUAGGAAGCAGUCCCUGUUUCCUUGCUGGCUGUCAGCUGGGGGGCUGGGCUUUGCUCCUGUAGGCACCAGUCCCUUCUCAUCCUUUUCAUGUGGCCCCUAUUCAGCAGGUGGGUUGAAUCCUCUCACACUUUAACUCUUACUUCUCCUUCUGCGGAAUCUUUCUGCCUCUAGUCAGAGGAAGUUCUGUGCUUCUAAGUUUUCAUGGGAUUAGCCUGCCCAUCCAGAUAAUCCAGGAUACUCUCUUUAUUUUAAGGUACACACUUCAAGUACAUCUACAAAGCACAUUUUGCCCCAUAAUGUCAUGCAUUCACAGAUUCCAGAGAUUCAAACAUCCUUGGAGGAACAUUCACCUGUCACAAAGGCCUUUUGAUUGGAGGGUGUAUCUCAUUAUGUCUUUGAAGUGUUCCUCCGUGUCCUAGACUUGUACUGAUUCCUUGUCAGCUCUCUACUUUUUCUUGCCCAUAUUCUGAGAGUGACAAAUUCUACCCAGUAAGGUUUUUAAUGCACAGAACAAAGAGAGGUGGGAAGCAGAGCAUGAGAACCAGGCAGGAGAUUUUCAACCAACAAAACCCAACGAAUGUUCCUGGGAUGCUGCUUUGCACCAGGCACUGUUUAGGGACUGAAGGUACAGCCAUGGAAAGGCAAGUGACACACAUAUGGACCCUCUAGUAGGCACUGAGAACUAGCUUUAAGGCUGCAACUGGGCAUUUGAGGAAUUCUUCACAGGUUUUGGGGGUGUGAUUGUGAGGACUGCCCUCUCACUCUACUUUCAAUGAUGACCUCCCAGCCAACUCCCUGAUGGCAGUCUUUGACAACAUGGGACACUGAGAUGCAGCGGGAAGAAUGUGGGAUGGGAGUUAGCCAGGUUUGGGUGCUGGCUCGCCAUUGUCUCCAUGAUGUGAAAAUGGUGUCUGAUCCCUGAGGGUGGAAGGACAGAUUUAAAGAUUACCGUCCUUCAUUGCAGUAACAACUCAGAUAUUGCACACACAACUACAUGCACUGAUUGCCUUGACCUCUGUUGGUACCUUCUGCCUUUUUAAAAGGGAGAGUUUUGCUUCUUUGGAACAAAGAGUUCUGUUGGAGUGUCCUUUGGUGCCAGCAGCCCACCCCAGCAGGGCAAAAGGUGUCUCAUAAGUGAGGGUCCCCUGAGGCCCCGGGACCAGUGGUCUCACUGCUGGGCUGUGGAUAGGUUGAAGGGGUAUAUGGGUAAGGGAUGGAUAGUCAUCCUUUUCUUGAGGGGUCUUUGUUCAGACUCUUCUUUACUCUUAGACAAGGACUUGGAAUCUAGAUGGGGCUUGGGUUACCUUCUGUCUCAUGGCUGCCCAGGGCCAGAUCCCUCACCUUGUUACAUGGCUUCUUGCAGGGGAGAACACUUGCUUUUCCUCUCCUCCUGCCUGAAACUCAGAUACUUGUGGACAGGAUCAGAUUUUGUUCGGCUUUGUUUGAUUUUACUGCCCACCUGUUUACAAAAUAGGAUUUUACCCUGGAAGCAAUUGCGGUCCUCAUCAUUGGGUGUCUGGUGCAGCAACAUGCAGUGUGGAUUUAUUCCUUAGCCUCUGUGUUCACCUGAUUCCCACGGGAGAAGGAGAACAAAGAACUGAGGGAUGAAGUGGUGAAUUCAGCAUUUGUGUUGGUACGACUACUCAACACCAUCUGCACAUUUUUGCCUCAAUUACAUUAUUUUGGUCCUUGAAAAAAAAAAACCUAUCAUUUAUAAAAUAAAGGUUUGAUUUUUGUCUUGAAUCAUGCUGGUAAAUACACCUAAUCGUGUUUAGAAGCAGCACAAAGAUGAAAUAUUUUAAUGCAUGAAGUACCACAAAGGUAAAAGUUGAUAUUUAAGUUGUUGAGUUGUUUUUUGGAAUAUUAAUACCUUCCUCAGACAUGACUUUUAUCAUUUCCUACUUUAACUAAAAAAAAAAUUAAGAUAUCCCUCAAAGGAAAUUUUGCUGUCAUAGAAAUCAUUGGAAAGAGACAGUGACAGUCUUUGUACCUGGUAGGUGACUGACUUAUUUUCAUUUUGAACUAAAACAUAUUAAAUCCUAGCCCUAAGUCGGAUUUUCUGCAUAUGGAAAAAAAUAAGAAGAGAUUUGCAUUUAUUUUGUGAAGGUAUUUAAGGGAAAUUGGAAAUGUCCCAGUGAUCACAUUGUCAUGUACGAUUAUAGGAGGAAAACAAAAUUGUAUUGAAAAUAUGAUUCAAAUAUAUGCACACUUACAUCUCACUUUAUUUAGUAGCGGAGUUUCUGAAAAAUUGGGAUGUGGAUAUGAUUUUGUAAAUUGAAAAUAGUUUUCGAUUGCAUUUUAAUUUCAUGGAUGUUCUGUCCUCUAUUUAUAUUUGUGUGACUUCUAAUGCAUUGGCAAUAUUCUUUUCCAGUUUUCAUUUUAUGUAGUGGUAAUCUGUAAACAAGUUCCUUCAUUCAGCCAACAUUUAUUGAGUCCUAAUCAGUGCUGUACAUGGGGCCGGGGAGGCAGUGGUGUGGAAAUAUAGCUCUCUCUGAAUUUCUGUUCUGUGGGACAGACUAGGAAACGAGCCCAUGCUGUGUAGGGCCACCGGGGCUCAGCUAGGCGCUGUACAGGGCCUCUUAACCCAGCUGCAAAGGAUCAGGAAAGAAGCAUCCUCUACUUAGGCACCUGAAGAGUAGAUCUUAGCUGGGUAAGGAACAGGGAAUAGAAUGUUCCAGGCAAGGACCUGGUAUACACAUGGGUCCAGAGGGAGAGGGGAGAGGGGAGAGAAGGUGGCUUUCAUGGGGAGCUGCACAUGAGAAUGAAGAAGAUGUAGCUAGGGAAAGCUUGUAGCCAGGGGAAGGUGGCACAUGGCAGUUUGAAGCAGGACUGGCACCAGCCCAUCUAUCACCUCAUCGAGGUACUCUUCCCUUCCUUUUAACUUUUCUUCUGCCCCCAUUUGCUGGGUGCCUGGCUCUGAUACUUAGGUGAUGUGUCAACGGCCCUAAAAUAAAAUAUCCACUCAAAAUAUAAAGCAAAAUCGACUUUGCUAGGUUAUUGCCUUCUUCCACUUUUCAAUCUUCAAUGACUUAACUGUUAAGCUAGUGAGGAUAGGAAGAAUAUAAUGAAGUCAGUGGUGAGACCCAGGAAGGAUGGAGCACAGUGGCCUUUGUCAUGUUGGGGCAUGGUCAUCCUAUUAGUAAAUGUUAUUCUGUUGUGAUGAACAUAUUUUGAAGAAGCGGGUGUGGAUUUUUGAGUAAUACAAUAAGCAUUUGUGUUUUAUUCCCCUGAAGAUAUUAUGGUGUUUAGUUAUAAUGUAAAUAUAUUAGAUAAUAUACGAAUUCCUGUUAGCACAGGAAGUAUAGUCCAUACAUAAAGGUCUUGUUCCCCCUAAUCCCCUUUCUUUACUCCAUACAAGAAAAUCAUUUGCCUCCUGUGCACAGUGAGACCCCAUGCAUGAGUUCAUAGCGUAGAGAAUGUUUUUGGUUAGGAAAAAAUAACAGGAGGAAUUUCAAGUUGUGAAUUAUUGACCAGAGCACUUUGAGAAUAUGAUUUGGCAUGCUUUGUCCCCUUUGUCAAGGAGGAGUGUGUGCCACAGACCACAGUUAAGAGUGGGUGCCGACAUGAUUCUCGGAUUUUGUUUUGUAAUCUAGUUUCAAGGCUUGAGUUAAUUCCUGGGGUUAAAUUUUCUUCAAGGAGCCCGGCUGUCUUUCAGGUCUGAUGUGUGCUCAGGCCAACAUAUAUUCUUUACCCUUCCUGCGUUCCUAUCCAAGCAUCUUCCUUCUGUUAGCCUUUCAUUGAAUUAAAAAUCAGGAAAUAUUUUAAACCUAUAAAACAGUAUAGAGAAUAAUAUAAAGAAUACCCUUAGAUUACCAUUCAUCAUUUUGUCACCCUUGCUUCAGAUUCUGUUCAAGAUAACAUGGUAGAUUCAGCUGAUUCCACCUGUAUAUAUCCCUGUCUCUUUCUUCAGAGAGAAUCCCUGUCUGAGCUGCGUGUUUUCAUACUUCAUUCCAUAUGUACUUACAUUCUGUCAAUAGUAGAUAAAGCCUUGGCUUGCAUGCAUUCACAUUGGGUAAAUGUGAUAUUGAUCUGCCCUGCCACUGGUCCUUUUUAUUAAAUAUUAUCUUUUUGAGAUUUAUCAGUGUUGAUAGAUGUAGCAUCUGCCUCAUUUUAUCGGUUGCAUGGUAUCCCAUUUUUAUUCUAAAAAAAAUAAAUCCAUUCUUCUAAUCUUCAGUUUGUUUUCUUAGGUGUCUUUGUUUAUGUAUCUUUUGUGUAUCUAUUGUUUAUGGUAUCUUUUGAUGUACAGUUUUUACUUUUAAAAUGUGGAUUCAUUUUUUUUUCUUUUUGGUUGGGGUUUUUAAUAUUUUGUUUAAGAAAUUCUUCCUUUCCCCAACUUCAUAAGUUUAUUAUCUAAUAGUUUUUCCUAUAUAUUUUGAACUUUUCACUUUUACUUUUACCUCUUUAAUCUAACCAAGAAUUUAUUUUUGAAUAGGAGUGUGAGAUGAAAAAUAUUUUAAUUUCUCUUGUACAAAUAGCCAGUUGACGCAGCAGUAGUUAUUGAAUAGCUUAUCCUUGCCCUGUCAGUUUGUAGCAUUCAUUUUGAUGAUUUGUGUCAGCCUCUUCUCUGUAUUUUAUAGUGUCCAGGCACAGAAAAGUAAAGUGAAGUCUUGAGCAAAAUAUCUGAAUAAUCCCAGCUUGAAAUUUGAAUUUUGUCAACCCAUGCCUCUAUAGGUAGCUCCAAUUAGCACACCUUUAAACAUGGAAAUUUGCAUGUAUUGUCACUACUGUUGAAGAAUACUGAGCAUUUUUUCUUAAACAAGCAAUUAGUGUAAAAGGAUCCUUAUAAUGGUGUUGACUGCUCUACCUCAUUAUUUAUGGAUAGGCUCAGACACUUCCUUUGUUUAGAGACCAGAAUCAAAAUCAGUCCAUCAAACAAGCCAACAGAGCAAAGUACAGACUAGUGACAAUAAAACCGUAUCAUAGGACAUGGUUUCCAUAAAGGUCUGACGUCGACAGCAGAUUUAGUGAGGUUCUUGUGUUGAUAUCCAUGGUCAGUUACACUCCUGGGUUGAACAGUCAUGUAGUAGGUCUGCUGUGUGCAUGGAGUGUGCUGAAUUAUGGUACUUUUAAAAUGAGCAUAAGUUAAGGCAUUCAAAUAAAAUCCUUGAAGAAAAAUCAUUACCUAUGAAAAUGUAAAUGCAGAUGGAGAAAACAAAGUCUGAGAGUGACAGGAAGUGCUCACUGAUAAUACCCUUUCGGGGACAGAUGCCUGGUACUGGUGAUAGUGGGCCAGUAUUGGGUCUGAGGUUUUCAAACAUCUUUUGUGUUUGGUGACUUGUACACCUAAUUGGCAUGACACAUAUGGUGGGACCAUCUUGGAGUCUCCUCAGGGCCAGGUGGGCUGACAACCUUUUCUUUACUGCUUCACAGUUCAAAGCAGAUGGUGGUGUGGAAUGCACAAAUCCCACAGUCAUGCAAAAAGCACUCUGAAGGAGAGGCUCUGUGAACGUUGUCCAAUGCUGUGUGUUAGUGGUGCACAUGGAUAUACACAGAAAUGAAGGUGUGUGUUUGUGCGUGUAUAUAUGAUUAGGUAAUGAGUUGUCUGUCAGGGUUUCAAUAGAAAUGUUAACUUCAAUUCAGGGCAGUGUGUGUGUGGGAUAUAUGUAUAUGUAUAUAUAUGGUACAUAUGUGUAUAUGUAUAUCAUAUAUAUGUAUAUUAUAUAUAUGUAUAUAUUAUAUAUAGUAUAUAUCUCUGUGUGUUUAUAUAGAGAGACUCAUAUAGAUAAUGUUAAGUGCAUGAAAUGUGAAAUAUUUUAUCCAGUUAACAUCAUCUUUUCUUCAUAGUUUGGCACACACCGAAUAAAAGACAAGGGCUACAGCAGAGAGGAAGGCAUUUUAGCCCCAGCCUGUGGUAAUUAGGGUGAGGAUAUCUAACUUUGCAGUGAGGAGUGUUUGUAAUUUUAGAAAUAGCACGUUGGUAUGUGUUUGAUGUGCUGUGGGAUGAUAACUCUUGUUCUCUGCAUGGUGUAGGGAGAGUAUCCUAACAGGAAAAAAGGCCUAGUUAAGAAACAGAGGAAGGAUUUGUUUUUUGAAGAACUGGAAAAGUCAGCCUGCAGAUAGGACCCUGCCAGUAUUGACAGUAAUUUGUGUGUGUGUGUGGGUAUCUGUCUGUCUGUCUAUUGGGGGAAGGUACUGGGAGAUUGAAUCCAGAGGCUCUCUACCACCGAGCCACACCCCCAGCCCUUUUAAUUUUAUUUUGAGACAGGGCCUUCAUAAGUUGCCCAGGCUGGCCUUGAACUUGUGAUCCUCCUGCUUCAGCCUCCUGAGUUACAGGCCUACACCAUCACUCCUGCUCCACGGCAAUAAACUUUUGAAGAAGGAAAGAAAAAGGCAGGAGAUGAAAUUGUUUAUAAUUGAGAGGACUUAAUAUGUGCCAGACAGUGUACAAGGUGCUGUGUACAUAUCCUCUAAUUCUGUGUUCCUGAAAACACUGUGAUGCAUGCACAGCAUUGUUAGCUCUGCUAUACAGUUGGGAAUAUGGAAGGACAGGGAAUUCAAGUCAUUUGCUCAGGGUUCUGUGGCCACCCCAGAUCCCCAUGACCUGAGAAUAGGAGACAGGGGUGAGUGACAAGAAAGAAGUAUAAGAAUCUUACUUCCAUUCACACUUGAUAAAAGAAAUAGAUCACCUACCACAUUACAGAUUACACUUAAAAGUCUCAAAUUUUUACCUUAAGUGAAUUUGGCAUAUUUUGUUUUGUCCUGGUUUGCUUUGGUUUUGCUCUACAAUCCUGAACAUUCAUCAUCCUGUAGACCUCCUGGUAAACAUUUUACCUCCUGUCGCUUCCAAUUAAGAUUUCUCCAUUUGUAAGAGUUUCCCUCACUGCAAGUUUUUUGGAGGUUCAACUUGCAGUGUGAUAAUCUCCAGUUAGGAAGUGAACCUAAAGGGGGAAAGUGAAAACAAAACACCCCACUGUUUCUGCUCAUGACUUACUCCCUCUGGAAGGAACAAUCGUGGAUGCCAUCUGCGAGCGGCUGCAGAGAGACCUCCCUGCGUGGAGCAGUUGUGGGAGAUGUUAGGGCCCUCUGGGGACUGAGUCUGGGAACACUGGGACUCUCAUGAAUAAGCCAUUCCACAGGAGUCCCUGCAUCGGGCUGGAAAAGUUCUUACAAGAGAACUAUUAGGCACAUUUUUUUCCAGAAAUGUACAGUCAGGAUUGUGCUUGGAUAUUAUGGUGAUUAAGAUGAUAGUAACCCAACCCUCUGCACUUGGAGAUCUUCUUAAAAGAACACAACCCAGGAUGCUCUUUCUCAUAGUCCACUUCUAGCCAUAUUCUGUGUGGUCGACAUUAUAAGUUCACAGCAAUGUCUGAUAGGACAAAUGUCCUCCUGAUUCAACCUUCUCUAGAGGGUGUCUGAUAUGAUAUCAAAUAAAACGAGGCCCAUAGAAACACCAGGGAGAGGUACGUUUUCCCUGGAGAGUUUUUCUUUCCUCUUUAACAAAUGAGAAAGAUGAAAUUGACCUAAUAUCUUUUUUUAUUUGGAUGCCUAAAAACUCACAACCAAUCUGAAGCUUCUCAACUACAGCUAUUCUGGCUUCAGAAUCUGUACAUUAUUGUUCUUUCUUUUUUCUUUUCUUUUCUUUCUUUCUUUUCUUUUUUGUGGUACCAGGGAUUGAACACAAGUGUGCUUAACAGCCACAUCCCGACCCUUUUUAUUUUGAGACCAGGUCUUGCUAAGUUGUUUAGGGCCUUGCUGAGUUGCUAAGGUUGGCCUUGAACUUGUUAUCCUACUGCCUCAGCCUUCCAAGCCUCUGGGAUUACAGGUGUGUGUGCCACCAUGCCUGGCUGUGUUCUUUCUUUAGCAUAAGCUUGCUGCUCUGACUUAUCUUUCCCUUGAACCUAAUUAGUUAUUUUCUUGUAUUUACCCUGGUCAUAGAUAACAGCAACUAAAUGAAUUAGUAAACAUAAAGCUUUGACUCAAACUAGACAUAAAACAAGUGUUCUACUUUGAAUUUCCAGCGUUACAGUGCUGACUUGAAGAGAGCAAAAAGAGACAAUUGCUUCUUCCCCCAUUUUGACAGCUUUAAGCUUUACAUUUUCUUCCUUUUCUGUGAGACAUCACACACUUGCUUCUCAAGGCCAUUCCCACAUGUGUGUCUUGUAGAAUCGUGACUUGGGACAUUGUGAUCAGAGCACGGUCACACACACUCACGCGAUUUUUAUCCAUUGCACGUUUGAUAGCUCUUUUAUUCUAUAUAUUUCCGCAGCAUUUACAACCAUUUAUCAAAGAAUUAGAAAUUCUUAUCUGAAGAAAAAAAAGUCACACAGACAUACAACUAGAAUAAUUGUUGUGUCCUUUUUUUUUUUUUUGGUUAGGAGUUGGUUUCUUAUUCUUUAAUUCAGGAUUGGGCAUGGUUUUAAUUAACUUGUUUAUUUUCAAUAGAGAUUUCAGGCUUCCAUUUGAACUUAGGAACAAAGCGUUGUUUUUCAUUCCAGACAGGACUGAACUCUACAUCUCCCUUCCCAAGCAAGCAGCUGGCCGAAGCCACCAGGACUCUGCUGGAUAGUCUCGGGAGUCUGGCCCAAGAGGUAAGUCGUGCCUUCCUAGCACCAGCAAGUGGACCAUCCACUGUGGUCAGUUCCAAGUUUGGCUAAGAGGGUCCUUUAGAUUGGAAUAUCAUGUUAGAUGCCUUAGUGUCAAUUUUAGAAAUAUAAGUGAUCAAAAAGCAUCAUCUGUUUUAAUCUUCUUACUUUAGAGAAGAAGAAACCAAGACUCACUGAUAUCUCAGAACUAAUUAGUGGCUAAAGGGUCCAUAACUAGUCUUGAACCCACCCCCUUAUCCCCUACCCCGUUCCCUCAGUCCCUGAUAGUCACACACUUGUGAAGAGAAUUCUCUUCUACCUGCUUUUGUCUGACCAGAAACUUCUCUAUCUCUACACUGUGUAUUCAGUAGCAAGAUCCUUCAGUCAUUUUAUCAAAAUGUGUUUGCUAAUAAUGAGAUCAUGAGCUAUCUCUAAUCCAGCUCUUUCCCUUAUAAAAUAUGGCCUCUGAGCUUCAACUUGGGGAAUAUGGUCUCUUAAGGAACAUUUAGUUGAUUUGGCCUUUUAGGUCCACACAUUGACAGAUGUGUCAGAGUAAUCUUUGUCCUCGGACCAUAGGGCCUAUAGAUGUUGCAAAAUAUUUAACCCUUCUUCUGAUUCUCAGUUUCUGACUCCCAGGCUCAGUUCAAGUUAGACUGGGCAAGGAGGAGCUGUUUGGAGCCAUCAUGCCUAGUGGCUGAGCUGGGCAGUGGUCAUCAACAAUGUAGGCUUUAAUGUAUAGGACAUAGGAAAAGAGUAAUAUGUGGAGACAUUUUUUUCAAACUUGAUCCGGUCUUGUUUUUAGCUGUCUUUGACUCAUUUUUAAAAAUACUUGGACCAUUUUUUCAAAUAUCAUGAUUUAUGUUUUCAGACAACAGCAGAAUUGCAUGUUCAUUGUGGAAAAUACAGAAAACCCCGAGUUACCACAUGCCAACCCUUUAAUGUAUGUCUUUCUUUUAAUUCUGCCCAUGUGUCUCUGACAGCAGAGGCUUGGCUUUCGGAGCAGCCUCCUUUUAGGAGCACCUCUCUUCCCACUUGUUAUUUGUACUUUGGUUAUGAAGGCUGGUGACCUUUGGCUAGGUGGAAAGGCUGUGCCAUCUGGGGCUCUUCCAGGAGACAGAAAGAGAAAGAGAAACUGCUUUGCAAGCCUCAGCUGUUUCCCCAGGGCCCUCCUGAUGGACGUGGACAUGCCCUGCUUUGCUCUGGCAGGUUCCUUCACAGCCCUCCUCUACCCUGUUCAUUCCUGUCCGUAGAGAAAGCAGAGCAGGGGUAGUAACAGGGAGGCUGCCUCGAAACUCAGGGUUUGUUAACAGUUGUUUUCAUUUACAUCACUGGCCCUAGUUUUUGUCUGGGGUAAAAAAAUAGUUGAAAACACAUAAUGUUCCCGUUGCUGAUGUGGUGUCAACAGCCGACAAUGUGCAUUUCCCUUGGCAACUGCUUCCUGGGCUCUGCUUGCUCUGGUCUAGGAUAAGUGAGGGGCACCUGCUUCUCUUAAUAGAACACCUUCAAAUCACUUUGAUCACAAGUUAUUCAUUGUCUAACUUGCUAUUUCUGUGAGACAAAUGGGAAGAAGAUAAAAAAUGCACUUCUGUGUUUGGUCAGUGUUUGGAAAGAAGGUUAGUUAUUUUCACCAAAACACCAGCUUUGAAAGAAAAGAAAAAGGGAUCCUGCAUAUUUUGAAGAUCUGCUUUGGUUCAGGCAUUUUUACUUUAUUUCCCUGGAUGAUCUGCAUGACAAAUGUUAGGUGGAUUUUUUUUUUUUUUUUUUUGGUACUAGGGAUUGAAUCCAGGGGCGCUUAGCCACUGAGCCACAUCCUCAGCCUUUUUUAUAUUUUAUUUAGAGACUGUGUCUCACUGAGUUGCAUAGGGCCUUGCUAAGUUGCUGAGGAGGGCUUUGAACUCGAAAUCCUCCUGCCUCAGCCUCCCGAUCUGCUGAGAUUACAAGUGUGCACCACCACGAGCAGCAUCAGGUGGAUCUUCCUGUACCCAUUAUACAGUUAUGGAACUGAGGCUCAGAAAAAUGAGGCAACUUUCCCAAAGUCGCCCAGUGAGUUAAUUUCAAAAGUGAAAUUUGAAUCCAGGAUUGUUGGAUUCCAAAGCUCAUGUUCUCAUUUGUUCCUUUCUAUUUCAAUAAUUUGUCACAAACCUUGAUAGUAACUAAGAUGGAAAGGAGACUCUUCAAAGAAAGAAGAUAUUCAUUAGCAGACUUGGCAGUUGGGGGACUUUAGGAGUGAGACGUGUUGGGACUGACGUGAAUUUCACACCUGGAUGAUGGGGAAGGUGUGCUGGACAAGAAUGAGAAAGCAGGACAGAGAAGUGGUGUCUGAGACACCCGCACAGUACCAGUCAGGGGCUUGGCAUUGCUAGAUGUUGAGGACUCAGUAGUGAACACAGUAACUUCUCUGUCCUCAGGGGUUUGCAUGGGGUGGGAGACAGAAAUAAUCAGGUCAGUGUGCAGUGUGACAGCAGGGAUAUGUGCAAGAAGAUAAAUCAGGGUAAGGGGCAUAGAGAGCGAUGAGGUGCCAUCUGAAAGGGAGUGAUGAGGAUGGGUGGGGGGACUAUCUGCAGGAAGAAGAGCAGAUGCUAAGUACCUUGACUCCAGGGCAUGCUUAAGCCCUUAGGGACCUGUUUAAAGACCAGGAAGGAGAUCAGUGGGGUUAGAAAAACAUGAGCUAGUGGGAGCAUGACCAGAGAUGAGAUGAUAGAAGCAGUUGGGAUUUUCACCACUCGAGAUGGGAAGCCAGUGGAGGGUUUGGAGCAGAGGGGGCUGUGGUGUGACCUGGGGUUUAUAGACUUGUUUACACUCUGACUGCCAGUCUGAGAAGAAACUGGGGCUGGGGCAAGGAAGAAUGAACACCUUGCAAUGGAUUGAGAAAGGAGGAAGUUGGUGGCUCGUUCAUUCACUUGGGAUGGUUAUUAAACACUGUCAGAUACUAUUGCCAUCUGUGGGCUGGAGGACGAGUGGCCACCCUCCCUGUGAGUCAGCAGGUAGAGGAGAAUGAGCAGGAGUCUGCCCCUAAGGCAAUGCUGGGAAAAACCGACAGUUUGGAAUAACUCAAUAGUUACUCCAUCUUUGUCUCCAAAGGUGUGCUGGCUUUUUGUGGGAAGCAUUUUUGUUCUUGAGGUUGGGAGGUGGCAGUGAGGCAGCCUGUGGAAAGCUCAGUCAGUGGCUUUGAUUCCUUGUAAUUUUAAAAAUCCCUAGGGAUGGUCCAUCGACUGACAAAGGGAAAGGUAGCCUCUCCCUGACUAUGUGUCCCAUACAGGUUAUGAAAAGGUAAAGCAAGGAAUAGCUGUUCCCCUAAUUGUGUUCUUGGGGGAUAUACUAGAUGCUCCCUCUAUGGAGAGAAAUCUUUGUGACAUCUGACCUACCCUGGAGAAGCUGGUUCCCAUCUGGAGGCAGAAGGUAGUCUAGGAGCUACCAUGUCCUAGACUGUAUUACUCACAGGAACCAGCAGCCUCAGAAAGGUAGAAAAACUGGGCAAAUGGAGUUCUUCAGGGUGGGUGGGAUCCUGCAGCCUCUCCCACUGUUCUCCACAGCGCAGUCUUCCCAGGUGGGGAGAACAUACAGUGACCUUUCAAUGAGUUAGGAGUUUAUUAAUGAUUUAUUGUGAAAUAUGUGGAAAUACAAAGUACUCCAUAUAGCAGUUGGGCCAAGAACCCCAUGAGGUGCUGGAGUACAUUUGCAUGUGAGACCAGACACUGGCUAUGUCGCUGAUGCUUAUUGACUAAGUCUCAGUCACAGCCCCUGACUGCCUAGCGCUUCUGACUCAUCCUGUUUGGGACUUUUCUGUGCAAUUAUUCCUUACCAUGCUGUUUUAUCUUUGUUGUCUUGAUGAGAAGUUGGGUCCUCAGAGACAUGCAAUGACUUUUCUAAGGCUGUAAACCAGUGAGGGUUGUAGCUAGGAUUCAGACUCAGAUCCCCCGCCUUAAACUUUUUCCAUUGCCUAUCACGUAACUGAGACCAGGAUAGGGAACUUCAUGCCCUCCCAGAAGAGGGCUCCUCAUUUCCUCACUGAGUCAGCAGCCAACGACGGGACUCAGCCAAUGAUGGGACUCAUCCACCGUCAGGAGUAGCUGUUUAAAGAAAGCGUUUUCUGCUAUAAGUCAUCCUAGGGGCUCCAUUAAUUUCUCUGUUUCUCCAACUUUAAUGGGUAUUUUAAUGGGUCAUUGCUUGGGUAUCUGGUAAAAAUUCAAGUGUGAAUUCUGCUGCGGUGCAGAGGGGUCUUGUAAUCUGCAUUUCAAAUAGUCCAAUGCAGAUGCUGCUGAUUCUAGGGCCACAGACAAGGUAGGAAAGUUCUAGCAAGCCCAUCACAAGGCUUUGAGAUGAUGUCAGACAACGUAUGUUCUGGGACAUGGAUUUUAAGAGGUCAAGAGAAUAAAGUGUUUCUUUCUCUUCUCUGUCCCCAACCCUGGCUGUGCCCUUGGCUUGCCUUCCCCUUCCCUCUCCUCUUCCUGCCUGUCCCUGACAUCAGCUGUUCAGCAUGAGGAGCUGGAGUGACAUGCGACAGGAGGUGAUGUUUCUGACCAACGUGAACAGCUCCAGCUCUUCCACCCAGAUAUACCAGGCUGUGUCCCGCAUCGUCUGUGGCCAUCCAGAGGGCGGGGGGCUGAAGAUCAAGUCUCUGAACUGGUAUGAGGACAACAACUACAAAGCCCUCUUUGGAGGCAAUGGCACUGAGGAAGAUGCUGACACUUUCUAUGACAACUCUACAAGUGAGUGUCUGUGCCACCCAAAGCCUGUCCCCACUCCUCACGUUUACCUUGGUCUCUGUAGCAGCCUUUGACAUUGACGUGUCUGGUUUCUCCUAAUGAGCUCAGGAAGGAAUCUUUUCUUAGACCAGCUCAUUUCCCCUAGUUCUUUGAAUGGGGCCUGACACAUCUUAGGUGCACAGUGGUGUUAAUCAAAACCACCCAAAACCAGUCUCCCUAGCUUUCUGGAGGAUGUUGGAAGGUGGCUCCCAGAGUAAUCAUGAUGAGAUGCUGGCAGAAAGAAAAUUCAAUAUGAUCUCACUUACUUGUAGAAUCUUUGAAAAUCAAACUCAUGAAAGAGUAGAAUGGAAGCUGCCAGAGCCUGGGUGUGGAGGAAUGGCAAAUGUUGGCCAAAGGGUACAAAGUUUCAGUUUUAUGCAAGAUGAAUUUAUGCAAGAUGAAUAUAUUCUGGAGAACUAAUAUCUAGUAGGGUGACUAUAGUUCAUAACACUGUGGUGUAUACUUAAAAUUUACUUUGAGAAUUGAUCUUAAAUAUUCUCACCACACACACACACACACACACACACACACUCUCAAGAUAACUAAGUGAGGUGUGGAUAACAAGCUGAAUUGUGGUAAUUGCUUCACAGUGUAUGCAUAUAUUCAUAUAUCAGGUUGUAUGCCUUAAAUAUAUACCAUUUUUGUUAAUCAAUUAUACUUUGUUAAAGCUGAAAAGAAUUUUUUUAAAAAGGAUGAGAUGAUGGUCUUUUAUCAUUAUUAUUACAAAUAUUACCUUUGAGUUAUGCUUUAUAGUAAAAACCAAAAAAAUCAACCACAGUAAUAGCCGUAACAAUAAUUAUACAGAAUCUAACAUGUAGGCAAAAUUUCUUAUGCAUCAUGCCUUCUUUGUAAAUUAUCUCAUUUCACCCUCACAAUAACCCUGCAGGGAAGGUUCUAUAACCCUGCAUUUCACAGGCUCAGAGAGGUUGUGACUUGGUCAAAACCACAUCAUAGCUAAUUCAAAAGAGCUGGGAUCCAAGCCCAAACUCUCCUGGCUCUGGGCCUUUUCCUGUAAACCACACUGCUUUUAAAAUACCUGUUGGCAUGUGUGUACCAUCACACUUGGGCCGUUUGAUCUGCUGUUUGUUUUGCGUCCGCAGCCACAGGCAGUGUUAAAGAACUUUGUAACUCCAUAUCUGCUUGCCACACUCGGGCAGUUUUAUGGGGAUGUGAGUCUUGCACCAGGGGCAGCAGGGAUCCAGUGUUAGUUUUCAACAAUGGCAUCCUUUUCUCUGAAAACAUGAAGCAACUGAGCCUUUCUCCAUUUCCAGCCACUGGUGUGUCUUUCAGAUAGUGAGUGAGACAACUUUUUGUGCAUUACUGUAACACUAGAACCUUCUAUUCUUCUCUGGAGUAAAACACUCCAGACAGUUGCAAGUUGCUUUACCAGCCCUAAAGAAUGGUAUUAAAACUGCUUUAUGAAACACCACGGCCUCUUCUCUCCCAGCCUGCAAAUCAACUCAGGAGAGGAUUCAUUUGUGCAAUAGUUGUAAUUGGGAGAGUAUCCUCUCCAUAAAAAAUUCUGGGGCUGAGUAUGCAGCUCAGCAGUAGAGCACUUGCUUAGCAUGUGCGUGACCAUGAGAUGGGAUCCCCAGCAUACCAAUUCUAUUAUCUUUGAAGCAUAUAGAAGUUACUUGGUAUCACAAAACCAAAAUGAAAACGAAAACAAAUUGAAAAACCCAGAAUGAACUUUUAAAAAAAUGUCAGAGAUAAACCCCAUUGGUCUGUUACAACUUUGGAUUUUUCAGUUUGGGGUUUUUAUAAAUGUCAGCAUACUUGUGAUGAGGUCUGUUAAUUAAAGGGAUGAUUUUGGCUUUUCUUUGAAAACUAAAGUCUGAAUUCAGGCCUCUGGUUGCUCGUUGGGAAUCUUGUUUAUUUUCAGUGAAAAUAGAGUUCAAGGGCUGGCAUGAGAGUAUGAUUCUAGAGUUAUGAGGUCUUGUACAUGGUAAAAACAUUUUUCUAGAUCCGCACAGUUGUAUGUUACAAGAAGCUCUGAUUAUUUACAAAACAUCAUUUUAGAGGCUUUACUGAAAAUGUCUCAGAUAAUCCUCCCCACAUCUCUACCAAGUAGCUGUUAUGAAGUCUAUUUUUUUACAGAGUAUCAAACUGAGACUCAGACAAGUAACAUUAUGUUUAUGUGACUGUUACAUGGUAGUGCUGGGAUUUGAAUCCAUGACUGUCUUUCUCAUUCCCAAACCUUUGUAAAUUCCUACCAGUAUAUGACCAGGUAUACGAAUGAGUAUCUUCUAUCAUCUUUGUAGCUCCUUAUUGCAAUGAUUUGAUGAAGAAUUUGGAGUCUAGUCCUCUUUCCCGCAUCAUUUGGAAAGCUCUCAAGCCUCUGCUUGUUGGGAAGAUUCUGUAUACACCUGACACUCCGGCCACGAGGCAGGUUAUGGCAGAGGUAAGCUGCCCAGACCCAAGACUCCCUCCCCAGAGUUCUGUUAGAAUUAGGGGCAAAAAUAAUAAAGGUGGGUUCAGAUGGAGUGUGCAUAUGCUCUUGGCCUCUGGGACUUUUAAAUAGUGGAAACCUCAAGUCCGAUCCAGCCCACAGCUGUGUGGGGACCAGCUCCCCAAGCCUAGGUAUUUGAAUGAUAGCUUCAGGCAGGCACUCCUUGGGGAUGAGAGAGGACUGGGCAGGGGCUGCUAUGAUGGAAUGUCUUUUUAGUGAGCACUCCCUCACCAUCUCUGCUUCUCCUCUUCUGUGGCCCCUGGCUCCCUACCUGACUCCAGGUGAACAAGACCUUCCAGGAGUUGGCUGUGUUCCAUGACCUGGAAGGCAUGUGGGAAGAGCUCAGCCCCAAGAUCUGGACCUUCAUGGAGAACAGCCAAGAAAUGGACCUUGUUCGGGUGAGUGUCCCUCUGAUUGCUUUUUGCCUGGCUUGAUCCUGGAGAGGUGAGUUUUCGGUCAUUUUGCCAGAAGCCACUGAGAUGAGAAUUAUUUCAUCGGUUGAGAUGUAGUGAGCAUAGCUCAAUCCACAGGGCUGUCCCCCAUCCAGAAGCAGAGGCCACAGUGUAGCGAUAACUCUGUGCACUUCAGCAUCAAUGCCUCGGGUGGUCAAAUACCUGUUUCCUAAAAAAUGUAGAAAGGACUGAUGUUGGGAAAUAGUUUGGUGAUUGCGGGACCCUAUUUUCAUUUCUGGCUUCAUUCACUGGAGGUAGGUCUUGGAAGGAGGUGUGGGAGCAAAAGCGUCAUCUGACAUGCAGACUUGCUGGAGAUGCUGGUCCCUGAGGUGCUGCAUGAGUGCAGAACUGCCACUGCUGCGUGGAACAGGAAUUGCACUUAAUGCUUCCGAGCCCCUUGAAGGAGAUAAGUGCUCUGGAGACAAUUAGAUUGAAAAGCAGAGCAGCCCAAGAAGAACAGAAUGUCUGCUUUGCUUGAGCCCGAGAGUCAUUUAAUCAUAUCAUCCCUGCCUUGGGCUGAGUCAGAAUCUGUGGAUUAUUUCCUGUUCCAUGGUGAGGGAGUAUGCUUCUUAUUGUCUCUGCUGCCUUUAAGAGGCAAAGGAGACUCUUGCCAGUUUGCUUGUUUUGCACCUCAUUGACCCGAGGGGCGUGGGGUUUUGGAAGCUGUACCCAUCUGGAGGGAACUCCUUUGAAGUUUAGAACUAUCCCCUUGAGGGCAGGUUACUAAGGAAGAAGCAUCCUGUGAUGGAGAAACCCAAACCUCCUGUGCUGCACUAAUCCUGUCACACAUGUGCAAAAUUCUUAUAUUGGGGCCUUUGAAAACAUGGGACUCGAGUGAGAAAAACAUGAACAGUGAUUGAUAUGGGCUGAUACUGAAUAACAGGAAUAGCUCAUGUCCCUUAAGCAUAGCUCUCUGUUGGGCUUCAGUCCAUCUCCUAAAAGGGAGUCACAUGAUCUAUCCACCAGCAGUGCUGUAGAGCUAAGUGUGGUCUCAAGAGUUCUUCUCCCUGGUCUUCUUCUUGGAAUUUAUAUUUCUAUUAGUUGGACUUGUUCUCUCUGGUCUCAGAAUGAUAAAGAGCCCAGUUGAAGGGAUUCCAUGAGCUUUAAUUUGGGGGGUAAGUAGAUGUUUCCCUGCUCUUAAAUUGAUAGUUUGCCUUGGAAUCUCCAACUGCUUGUAAGCUCCCAGUUCUUAAGGCAAAAGACCCUUGUAUACACAAUGGUGGUCAUGUUGGCGUUUGGGGUAAGGUCUGCCCUGCCCAGUGUAGCUUCUUAAGGCAGUAUGGCCAGAGAGGGCAGCAUGACCAGAGGGAUGUGCCCAGUGAGAUUACCAUGUAGCAGCAGAUCUGGGGACUUGAGAGGAUCAGGAGCUCUAAGGGCAGCUUCAGAAAUAUGACCAGGAGAAUCCAAGAUGUGUGAUAGGAAGCAGGGGAGUGGAGGCUGGAGAGAAAGGCAUAGUAUGCCUUGGAGGGCCUUGUGUGUUAUGCUCUGGAUCUUUAAGCUUGCGGGGGGCAGUUAUGAAAGGAUUUUAAGCAAGUAGAGACAUAGAUGAAUUAUUCUGAUAUGACAUGGAUUGAAUAGGCAAGAUGGGAGGAUGGGUAAACACGAGGGCAGUGUCUGUGCAAGUGAGUGGCCAAGGCAUAGAUAGAGAGGGAGGCCUGCUGACUGCUUGGUUGAGGGACUAGGAUGAUUCUUGAUUUCUGGCAGGCUGGUGGGAAUGUCCAGCAGGCUGCUGGCUGCUGGGAUCACAGUGCAGGAGGGCAGUUGGACUAUGGACACUGACUUGGAAGUUGUCAGUCUGUGGGUUGGAAUCACUGGAACCUUGUCCAGUGGCUUUCUUCUCUGGACUUAAGGAGUGUUUCUUUAACUUCACAAGCAUGGGAUUCUCAGUCUUCAGCACCUCCUGCAGCCUGGCCUCUGGUACAUGAGUCAAUGCCUGAGGCUUCUGCUUCUGCUGGGGUAGCUCUUCUCUUUCUGUGGUCUCUGGCUCUGUCUGCUCCUAUUACAUCACCCUGUAGAUCAGGAGGUACUUCUCUUUGUUGAGUGCCAGCAACCUUUGAUGCUGAUUUGCUCUUUACUGAGCUGCCCUUGGCAUUUCAUCUCCAGGCCCUGGUAUGUCUCUGCCUAUGCUCCAAGGGCACUCUUAAGUCUCCUGGUCCUCUCAAGCUCCCAGAACUAUUACAUGGUCAGUGAUGUCACUGGGCACAUCACUCUGCUCUUGCCAUCCUCCUUGGCCAUAUUGCUUUAAGAAGCCACAUCUAAUAGGGCAGGCCUCACCCCAAAAUGCCAUAUCCCUUUACUCUACUCUUAUUUGUCUCAUGCAUCCAAAUAAAGUAGUUUCAGAAUUGCCUCUGUGCACUUCUGGGAGGUACAGUUUUGUAUCUGUUUGCAAAAAUAAGUACUAAUCUUUACUGAUGACAGCAUAAAUUGUUAUUCCUUAUUGAAAACAAUUUUGAAUGAAGGUUUCAAAAACCAUGCCAUCCAUGUACCUCCAUUUCAUAUACCCUCAGGGAUGUAUCCUACAGAAAUCAUUUUAAAGACGUCACCAUAGGAAAGAAAAUAUUAUUGCUGUAAUAAUUGCUAUUGCAAGAAAUCAGAAAUAGACUAAAUGUUCAGAAGUUCAGGAAUAGUUAAUGAAAUUACAGUAUAUGUACUCUGUAAAAUCAUUAUGAUGUGACAGACACCAGGGCCUGGAAAUGAAGGGCCACAGAGGAAAAGCUUAUAAUGUUAGUGAAAAUAAGAUUGACUUUCAAGGGUAGUUUUCAGACCCUCGGAGAGCCAGUCCAGUCCAAGCCAGGGCUUCCUCUUCCCUCUUGAAGCUGUGUUGAAAGCUGCGAAUCUUUGCCAAGCUUACAACUGCUUUAUUUUCCUGGCCGCAUACCUCUGCAGACCUCUGCAGACCUCUGCUCCAGCCCUGCUUGGAUGUGGGUCUGCUGUCUGAGCACCAGAUUGACUUACCCCUCUCCUUCACACUGACCCACACAAGCAACCAACUGGUGAGGGAGGAAUAAGGAAUGGAAAAUGGGUCUCCUUCGCAUCAUGAACCAUAUAUUGCUGAGAUUGGAAAAGACUGCAUUUGUUUUAACCAGCAUCGUCCCCCCCCCCAUCCACUAAAUUAAGCAAUAAAAGUGGGCUUAGUGUAGAUUUAGGGGUUUUAUUUGGGUAAUCAGACUAGUCCUCAAAAGAAGAAGGUAUUCAAUAAAAUGGGUGCACUAUAAUCAGAGGACUUUGCUACUUAUUAACUGUGUCUUUAUAUGAGAGACAAUUUCCCUGAACCCGAGCUUUCCCCUGUGUGAAAUGGGGAGUAUUAAAAAGUUACCUCCUUCAUGGAGCUAUGUGAGAUGUAAAGUAUAUAAGUCACUCAGCAUUGUCUUGCUAUCUCCAUUGUUACAGUUAAUAUUGGAGGCCUGAGCUGUUAGGUACAGUGGGAAGCAUGUGGACUGUGAAUUCAGACUGAUCUGACUUUGAGUCAGCCCCAUGCCUAUUAGCAUGAUGACCCAGCUGUGGUUAAGAUCAUUAUUUUUAAACUUCAGUCUUCUCUCCUGUAAAAUGGGGACACCAUAACAUACCUCAAACAUUUUUUUGAAGUCACACAGAGAGACAGUGUAUAUGCCAGGGUUUGGUGCAUUAUGUAAGUGUUCAUCCAGAUGUAGUUGUAGAUCACCACUCAUACGUUCCCUCUGGAAUGGCAGACGCUGUUGGAUAGCAGAAGCAAUGACCGCUUCUGGGAACAGCAGUUGGACGGCUUAGAUUGGACAGCCCAAGACAUCGUGGCAUUUCUGGCCAAGUACCCAGAGGAUGUCCAGUCUGCCAAUGGCUCUGUGUACACCUGGAGAGAAGCUUUCAACGAGACCAACAGGGCAAUCCAGACCAUAUCUCGCUUCAUGGAGGUGAGGAUCUGUUGUGUGUAUCAUUUAGAAAAAGCUUAUGGCUCUUUUCUUUGAUGUGUUGUAAUAAAGUCAGAGGCAGGAGGAAAGCUUUGAGUUGGUGUCCAGACCCAUUUCCAGCAGUAUCCCUCAAGCCUAACAGUUUGGGGUACAAAAGACAUUCUAUAAAUGUUGGUUAAGUCCAGCUUUAUUCUUGUGUGGAUUCAAGUGUUUCCAUCCAUUUUCUUCUAGGUUUCCUGGCAUCCGNCUGCUGGGGUAGCUCUUCUCUUUCUGUGGUCUCUGGCUCUGUCUGCUCCUAUUACAUCACCCUGUAGAUCAGGAGGUACUUCUCUUUGUUGAGUGCCAGCAACCUUUGAUGCUGAUUUGCUCUUUACUGAGCUGCCCUUGGCAUUUCAUCUCCAGGCCCUGGUAUGUCUCUGCCUAUGCUCCAAGGGCACUCUUAAGUCUCCUGGUCCUCUCAAGCUCCCAGAACUAUUACAUGGUCAGUGAUGUCACUGGGCACAUCACUCUGCUCUUGCCAUCCUCCUUGGCCAUAUUGCUUUAAGAAGCCACAUCUAAUAGGGCAGGCCUCACCCCAAAAUGCCAUAUCCCUUUACUCUACUCUUAUUUGUCUCAUGCAUCCAAAUAAAGUAGUUUCAGAAUUGCCUCUGUGCACUUCUGGGAGGUACAGUUUUGUAUCUGUUUGCAAAAAUAAGUACUAAUCUUUACUGAUGACAGCAUAAAUUGUUAUUCCUUAUUGAAAACAAUUUUGAAUGAAGGUUUCAAAAACCAUGCCAUCCAUGUACCUCCAUUUCAUAUACCCUCAGGGAUGUAUCCUACAGAAAUCAUUUUAAAGACGUCACCAUAGGAAAGAAAAUAUUAUUGCUGUAAUAAUUGCUAUUGCAAGAAAUCAGAAAUAGACUAAAUGUUCAGAAGUUCAGGAAUAGUUAAUGAAAUUACAGUAUAUGUACUCUGUAAAAUCAUUAUGAUGUGACAGACACCAGGGCCUGGAAAUGAAGGGCCACAGAGGAAAAGCUUAUAAUGUUAGUGAAAAUAAGAUUGACUUUCAAGGGUAGUUUUCAGACCCUCGGAGAGCCAGUCCAGUCCAAGCCAGGGCUUCCUCUUCCCUCUUGAAGCUGUGUUGAAAGCUGCGAAUCUUUGCCAAGCUUACAACUGCUUUAUUUUCCUGGCCGCAUACCUCUGCAGACCUCUGCAGACCUCUGCUCCAGCCCUGCUUGGAUGUGGGUCUGCUGUCUGAGCACCAGAUUGACUUACCCCUCUCCUUCACACUGACCCACACAAGCAACCAACUGGUGAGGGAGGAAUAAGGAAUGGAAAAUGGGUCUCCUUCGCAUCAUGAACCAUAUAUUGCUGAGAUUGGAAAAGACUGCAUUUGUUUUAACCAGCAUCGUCCCCCCCCCCCCAUCCACUAAAUUAAGCAAUAAAAGUGGGCUUAGUGUAGAUUUAGGGGUUUUAUUUGGGUAAUCAGACUAGUCCUCAAAAGAAGAAGGUAUUCAAUAAAAUGGGUGCACUAUAAUCAGAGGACUUUGCUACUUAUUAACUGUGUCUUUAUAUGAGAGACAAUUUCCCUGAACCCGAGCUUUCCCCUGUGUGAAAUGGGGAGUAUUAAAAAGUUACCUCCUUCAUGGAGCUAUGUGAGAUGUAAAGUAUAUAAGUCACUCAGCAUUGUCUUGCUAUCUCCAUUGUUACAGUUAAUAUUGGAGGCCUGAGCUGUUAGGUACAGUGGGAAGCAUGUGGACUGUGAAUUCAGACUGAUCUGACUUUGAGUCAGCCCCAUGCCUAUUAGCAUGAUGACCCAGCUGUGGUUAAGAUCAUUAUUUUUAAACUUCAGUCUUCUCUCCUGUAAAAUGGGGACACCAUAACAUACCUCAAACAUUUUUUUGAAGUCACACAGAGAGACAGUGUAUAUGCCAGGGUUUGGUGCAUUAUGUAAGUGUUCAUCCAGAUGUAGUUGUAGAUCACCACUCAUACGUUCCCUCUGGAAUGGCAGACGCUGUUGGAUAGCAGAAGCAAUGACCGCUUCUGGGAACAGCAGUUGGACGGCUUAGAUUGGACAGCCCAAGACAUCGUGGCAUUUCUGGCCAAGUACCCAGAGGAUGUCCAGUCUGCCAAUGGCUCUGUGUACACCUGGAGAGAAGCUUUCAACGAGACCAACAGGGCAAUCCAGACCAUAUCUCGCUUCAUGGAGGUGAGGAUCUGUUGUGUGUAUCAUUUAGAAAAAGCUUAUGGCUCUUUUCUUUGAUGUGUUGUAAUAAAGUCAGAGGCAGGAGGAAAGCUUUGAGUUGGUGUCCAGACCCAUUUCCAGCAGUAUCCCUCAAGCCUAACAGUUUGGGGUACAAAAGACAUUCUAUAAAUGUUGGUUAAGUCCAGCUUUAUUCUUGUGUGGAUUCAAGUGUUUCCAUCCAUUUUCUUCUAGGUUUCCUGGCAUCCGUAAUGGCAGUAAAAAUAUUUCCUUAAAAAAAUCAUUAUUUUUGAAAGAUAGCUGAGCUUUAAUUAGGGACAGAUUAAAUAUUAGAAAUAUAAUCCUGAAAAUUAUGGCAUAUUGUAGGGAUGAAUAAAGAGUUUUGGGGAUCUGUUUAGUUGGUUAUUACUAUGACUCAACAGAGGAAAUAAGAUAUAAUGAUUGCUUCAACUUCUGUUCCCCCACAAAAAUCAAUAUAAGUAACUUUUCUCCAGAUUCUUCCAGCAUUUCUCUUAAAUGUCAGUUAAAAACGAAAAGACCCAUUCUUGGUUAAGACUGGAAAAGUACUUUAGAGAGGUUAGAUCGUGAGGGUUUAAGUCACGCAAUCAGUUCUUGCCUCUCGGGGUGGGGUCUGCCUGGGCUACUGCUUGCUUCCUGGCCCCCAGUGUUCUCAUGAAGCCUGUUUUUCCAUCAGUGUGUCAACCUGAACAAGCUGGAACCCAUACCCACAGAGGUCCGGCUCAUCAACAAGUCCAUGGAGCUGCUGGAUGAGAGGAAGUUCUGGGCUGGUAUCGUGUUCACAGGAAUCGCUCCAGGCAGUGCUGAGCUGCCCCAUCACGUCAAGUACAAAAUCCGAAUGGACAUUGACAAUGUGGAGAGAACAAACAAAAUCAAGGAUGGGUAAGUUGAAUCCCAUAACACUAGCCCAGUCUCGGGGAAGUCAAGACAGCUGUUAUGUCUAGAGCUUCUUUAUUUGAAUUAAUAAUUUAGUAGAAAUUUCAAGGGAAAAGAAAAUCACUGGUUACAGUAUGGUACAUUCAUUGCUGGGGGCUAUGAUUUCGGAGGUCAUAAAAUAUUAGUAACUUUUGAUUCAGCAUUUCCACUCAAGAGAACUAAUCUCAAGAAAUUAAGAUAACAGAAGAAAAGGAAAAAAAGCCUUUAGGUUCUUCAUGCUAACAGUGUUCAUUUUUCUGAAAAGGAUCAAACAACCAAUAAGAAGGAAAUGGUUAAGUAAAUUUUGGCUUAUCCACUCAAUGCAGUGUUAGGCACUAAAUGGAAGGUGGAUAAAAACCAAAGUAGUCUGUUUAUUUUGCUUGUGUCUAUUUAAAAAUAUGUGUACAUAUUGACUGAAACCAGAAAUUAAGUUAUGGAAAUAAAAAGAGUGGCUUGACAAAGGUGGUGGGAUUGUGGGGGAUGGGAUUUUCUUAUUGGAGGUUUCUGAGCAAUGUUCAAUCACCUGUGGUUUGGUUUUAGGUACUGGGAUCCAGGUCCUCGGGCUGACCCCUUUGAGGAUAUGCGGUACGUCUGGGGGGGCUUCGCCUACUUGCAAGAUGUGGUGGAGCAGGCAAUCAUCAGGGUACUGACGGGCACUGAGAAGAAAACUGGUGUCUAUGUGCAGCAGAUGCCUUACCCCUGUUACGUCGAUGACAUGUAAGUUACCAGCAAACUACCAGCUUUAUUUGAAUAUUCAGUUAACUCUGUUCCAGGUAGAGAGAAAGAGAGAGAGAGAGAGAGAGAGAGAGAGAGAGAGAGAGAGAAAGUGAAAAUAACUAGCCAGAUAUAAGUGGUCAGUAAUUCCAUUCACAUGGCAGAGAGACACAUAUGUACACACACUUAGUAAUCCUCCUUCCUUUGUCAUCUGUGGUUACCAGCACUUCUGUUUUUUAUACUCUUUUUUUACACUUUUGGUCAAAAAUUUACCCAAUUUGCAAAAUUUGUCAUGACAAACACAUGCAAAUACAUAUACGCACAUCCUCCCAAAUUCAGAAUGGCAGAUCUGUAAAAGCAGAUUUCCUGUGAAUUUGUCUGCUUCCUCUGAAUGAUUGUUGCACCACAUUUUGAAACAAUGCAUGUGAGACUGAACAAAACCUAUUUAUCUUAGACUUUUUAGAUAGUCUUUUAGCACUUAGUCACUAUGCAGCCAAGUUCUCAUUAUGGGAACUGUGCCCUGGGAGCUAAUGAUUUCUCAUAAAGAAUGGGCAGAGGUAGAUGUAGUUAUUGCAGGCAUCUCAAAUAUGUCAAGUCUCCAAAUUCUGGAUAGUUUCUUAUUCUGUGGUGUGUGUGUGUGUGUGUGUGUGUGUGUGUGUGUGUGUGUGAAGGAGCAGUAUUCCUCUUCUGCAUUUGCUCUCUCUUGCAUUGAACUACCCAUUUCCUUGUAUAAUGAACUCUAGCUUUUCCAGGCCACUAGAAAUUCUGUUUUUUUUUUUUUUUUUAACCUGAAAUGAUUUGAUAGAAUUUUUCAAAGGAAGACUUUUCCAAAGAGCCCUACACCAAGGCUUACUUUAGGAAGGAUGUCUUAGGAUGAGGGUACUGGAGUUCAGAGGUACUAAGGGCCUUUGCCUAUGGACAUGAGUAAGUUCAUAAGCAGUACAGAGGGGAUUUGAGCCUCAGCUUUUGGGAUCCAAAAUCUGUGCCCCCUUACUUUGUAGCACUGUAUUUCCUGUGCUAGUUUGGAAUCUGAAAUGUUACUGACAAGAGCCACUGGAAAUGCUUCCCUGCAGUGUGUUGAGAAUUAAACUAAGCAAGUCAGUCGUGAGAUGACCUUGGAGAUUCUGAACCUCUGUCAGAGAUUGAGUUGGGAUUUUAUUUUUUAGCUUUAGCUUAACACCAUCUCACAGCUAUCAAGUUACUAAAGCAAGUCUCCAAAGAAAUUUGGGUUGGCAAUACUUCAUUAGCCUAGCUUUUAUCUCUAUGUCAAACCUGUAUAUAUUGGAGUCUAGGGGCCUGCCCCAAGUGGUCCAAAUGCGGUGCUUCUCUAGCAUACAGGCUCAGAGGCCUUGGCCUGUGGCUCACACCUGUCUCUUAUUCUUCCCUGCUCCUCCUUGCUACCUUUAGCUUCCUGCGGGUAAUGAGCCGCUCAAUGCCCCUCUUCAUGACGCUGGCCUGGAUCUACUCUGUGGCUGUGAUCAUCAAGGGCAUUGUGUAUGAGAAGGAGGCGAGGCUGAAGGAGACCAUGCGGAUCAUGGGCCUGGACAAUGGCAUCCUCUGGUUUAGCUGGUUCAUCAGUAGCCUCAUCCCUCUACUCGUGAGUGCCAGCCUGCUAGUGGUCAUCUUGAAGGUGAGGCUGCUUCACUGCUCUUCCUGGCCAGGGAACUCCCAAACAGCCCAGUAUGAGCUAAAGGAGGGGAAGAAUAAAAGCCAAAACUCUAGGAGGGAAGGGGGAGCCUUACCUGCCAUCCUCUCAUCUUAGUGUUAGAGAAAGGGAGGUCCAGAGAGGGUCAGUGACUUGCCAGGGUCCACCUAGACGAUUAGUAGCUAAGGUGUACCAGAACCCAGGACAGGCAAACAUCUAACCGCACCCACUGUCUGUUUUACAGUGUAGCUGUGCCUUUCCUUAGAUGUAUUAGGUGGUGAUUUGAGCCACUGAAAAUACUUCUCUGCAAUGUGAUGAGAAUUAAACUAAGGGAGUCAGUCGUGAGAUGACCUUGGAGAUACUGAAUUUCUGUCAGAGAUUGAGUUGGGAUUUUAUUUUUUAGCUUUGAAGUAGCCCACCUUUAGCUUAACACUUAAACUCUUACUGAAUUUAUAAAACCAAUAAUCAGAAGGACAACUGUUGGUGCAGUUAAAGUUGUCUGGAAGCAGAGGCUGAGACAGAGUAUGGCACAUGGGAAUUCAUUAGGGAUCAACAGCUGUGGAAGAGAUGAAGCCUGAAGAAUUGGCAGAGGGAGGAGUGGAGCUGUGAUGCGGGGCCAGUGUCAUGGGGCACUCUGGGGGGGCAUCCAGAUGCAGGCAUCCUGCACUGAGCCGAAGUGUCCGGUUCUUUAGCUUACCCAUGAUGUUACUCAUUGGAUAUGGACCACCCUGGGCAGGCUGUGCCCCAGGGCCAGGUGGCUCUCUCUAGCUGUGACAAACCCAGAGAUGCUGACACCUGGAGGCCACCUUGUGACAGCCAGAUAAUAAACCCUCCCUUCAAACUGACUGGGCAGUGCCGUUCUGUGUUUGUCCCAUACACUAACGUACUUCCCAGUUUUCUUUCUCCAUACUUAUUUAUAUAAUGAUAUAUCAUGUAAAAUUAAAUGUUUGUAAAGAGUGGGGAGUGCAACGGGACAGGAACUAACAUUCACUAUAACACUGACUACUGUCUGUUAUGCAUAAGUAGCUACUGACACCAGACAUUGUUUAAAACACAUUCCGUGUGCUGCCUUAUUACUUUCUCAUUAAAUGACCCAUUUAGCAUGCAAGGAAAGGAGGCUAAGGAAGGUCAAAGCUUCUCCAAGGCCCACAGCAGGACUACAGAAUCAAGAUUUGAUUGCUUUCUCUCUCAGUCAAGAAUGAUGAUCCCGCAGAUCAUGCAAGUGAGUUCUUGGGCUUGUGGAGGCAGCACAUUUAACGAGUCUUUUCCUUUCCAGUUAGGAAACCUGCUGCCCUACAGCGACCCCAGCGUGGUGUUUGUCUUCCUGUCUGUGUUUGCUGUGGUGACCAUCCUGCAGUGCUUCCUGAUUAGCACACUCUUCUCCCGAGCCAACCUGGCAGCAGCCUGUGGGGGCAUCAUUUACUUCACGCUGUACCUGCCCUAUGUCCUGUGCGUGGCAUGGCAGGACUAUGUGGGCUUCACAGUCAAGAUCUUCGCGGUGAGUAACUUUGGCCUUUCUGCAGCGGUUGUAGUCACAGCCACAGCAGGUGUUUGACCUCCCCUGAUGUUGCCCAUGAAUCCAAGCAACAAGCUGUGAAUACAAGAUGAGAGAGUUGUUUUAUAAAAGGACUUGAAUCUUAGUUCUAGAUCCUAAUUCCUUUGAAGGCAGGGACUAUGGGUUAUUAAAUUGUUUAUGUUUAGUUCUCUCCGUGAAUGCUGGUUGGAUUGAAUUGAAUGGAAUGUUUCCUGGAUCAGACUGAACCUUAAACCUGCUGGGGGUACAUUGGGGAAUGGCUUUCGGCAAUAGAUGCCAUCUCCACCCUCAACCUCCCAGUUUUGUUGGCCAUGUUUAAACUGGCUGCAAAGUCGUAGCCACAAAUAGACAUGAAGCUUCUUGAGGUCAAAGAUGGCUCAUUCUUGACUCUUGCCUUCCUCGUGUCCGGUGUGGUGUUUGGCUUGAGUAAUGUUUUAUGAACUGAGGGAGACUUAGGAGCCAGUGCACCACAAAUCCCUGAGUUAGAUAUUUCCUUUCCUUGAACAGAGUAGGAGUAGGCUUUGAGGGCAUGAGAGCCCCUGUGAGAGCAACUUGCCAGCUGCCCCCUGAAUCACUUAUAAGGGAAACUGACUGUCACUCAUAAGGAGCUUCAGGUGCCUCAGUCUGGGCCCCAUAGACAUCUGCAGCCCCAAACAGGCUAUUAUACAAGAUCCUGAAUGUUCCCUGGCUGAGCAGGGAGCCCAUAAAGACCUUGAUGAAUGUCACUAUGGGUAGGAGGUGGGAGUAGGGGACUGGAUAGGUGAGUCUUGGAGCAUCCUUGGAAGCAUAAAAUCCAAAAAUUUCACAUGCUAUCUUGCAUGAAUUUAUAAAAUGUGUGUGCAUAAUGAGUAGUUAUAAAUGGAAUAAUUUAAUAUGCUGUAAGGAAGCCCACUCCCCUAAAGGGACUCUGUAGGUGAAUACUUCUGUAUCCUAUAAUUGAUCUAUUUUGCAAAUUCAAAUUUCUCCAAGUGUGGAAUUUAUAUUAUAAGUUAUGGGAAAAUGAGAGAGACAAGGAAUGAGAUUAAUUAGAUAAGUGACUCUUGCCUCUUUCUCUCAGAGCCUGCUAUCUCCUGUGGCUUUUGGGUUUGGCUGUGAGUACUUUGCCCUUUUUGAGGAGCAGGGCAUUGGUGUGCAGUGGGACAACCUCUUUGAGAGCCCUGUGGAGGAAGAUGGCUUCAAUCUCACCACUUCAGUCUCCAUGAUGCUGUUCGACACCUUCCUCUAUGGGGUGAUGACCUGGUACAUUGAGGCUGUCUUUCCAGGUACACUGAGCCUCCUCCCUGCUUUGGCAUCUGUCAGGGAAAGAAUUCUGGCUGCAGAGCUUCCCUUUCUUUGUGCUGGAAUUUCUUCAUGGCAUGGGGCUCCCUGGAAAGUGGUUUGGACUUUAGACCUACGGCAAACAAAUAGUUCCAGUAGAGGAACCAGUGCUGAAAAGUACUACUACUAUGGCAAUCAUUUCUUGAGUACUGUGUGUUCAGCACUGUGAAGUGUUUGAUAUACUGUGGUUCAUUUAAUUCCCAAAAGACUACAUAGAAGUUUUACUGUUAUAACUGUUAUUUCUCAAAUGAGAGAACUAUGACUCAGAGAAGUUAAGUAACCUGCCUGAGGUCACUCAGCUCCUAAGUUCUGGUGCUCAGAAGUGAACCCAGUUGGGUUAUACUGGAUCAGCAAGCCAGGAGAUUCCUCCCUGUGCUGACUCAAUUCUGUAAUUCCAUGUCUCCAGGGAGGGUAACUUUACUCUGAUUACAGUUUGUGAAUAAUACAAUCUGUUGGCUCUAAGCCUUUACGUGUGAUUAAAAUAAAAUUAAUAUUAAAUAAAAGCUCAUUUUGAUACUUUCAUUAACAAAUCCUCUUGACCAAGUCCAAGAGGAACCAGCCUUGGGAUAUGUUUUCAUACAAGAUGAAACUGUGGGAGAGUGAAGGUUUGCUCCAUGUAGUUCACCUUCUCAUUCUCCUCUGAGGAGGUAGACAUGAGAUGUUUAUCACCCCUUCCUGAACUUCCUUCACUGAAUAUGCAAUUCUGCAUCAUGCAGAUCUGGAUUUGAAUUCUGAGUCCUUCACUCAUUGGCUGAGUGUCCUUGUGUAGGCUGCUUACCCCUCAAAAUGAGGAUGGUGCCUCCCUCAGGGAGUUGUUGGGAGGCCUCAGAGAAAAGCAGAAUGUACACUGUUUUUAGUAGGUUUCAGCGAAGGUUACCUCCCUUUCCCCCCAUUCCAUUCCAGUCUAUUCCUUCUCCAAAGGGUGUGUCAAGGAGGGAGUGGGCUGGCUGGGACACCUGAGGAAUACAGGAAUGGUGCUCAGCUUGGAUCACACCUGUGCUUUGCUUUCAGGCCAGUAUGGAAUUCCCAGGCCCUGGUAUUUUCCUUGCACCAAGUCCUACUGGUUUGGUGAGGAAAGUGAUGAGAAGAGCCACCCUGGUUCUAGCCAGAAGGGAAUAUCAGAAAGUAAGUAUUGCUGUCCUGCCCUCCUCCAACCAAGUGCUAACAGGGGCAAGUGAUGGAUGGAUCCUGCACUUUAUGCUGAAGUCACUUUAAAUAAGCCAGUCCUAAAAAACCAAAGAUCCAAUGAUUUCUCUGAUAGGUGGAAGCUAAACACAACAAGGGGAAGAACACAUAUGCAAUAGAUUAGACAAUGGGGAAGGGAGGGAAGGGAGGGGGGGAUAAGCAAAGGAAAGACAGUGGAAUCAAUAGUUUUCCCAUGUACAUGUAUAUGAAAAUAACACCGUGAAUCCCACCACCAUGUAUAUCCAUAAGAAUGGGACUCUAACUAGAAUAAGAUGUAUUCGCAUUUUAUGCUUCUAUAAUUAUGUCAGAAUGGAUUCUGCUGUCAUAUAUAACUAAAAAGAAGCAAUAAAAAUAAAAUAAAAUAUUCAAAAAACGAAUAAAUACACGAAUGCACAUAAAAAAACGAAAUUACUUUAAAGACAAAGAAAUCUCACACAAUGUAUCCCUUCCAAAUUGUCCCACACCAUUCAUGUCCAAAGCUAUGAACUUGAUGGGUCCCUGGGGAACAUUUCCUGUUUUCUUGGCUCCUUGCAAAGUGUCUUUUGAUCACUGAACUUUCACUUAUUGCUCUCUUACUACCAUGCUGUCCUAACAAGCUAGCAGGAAGAGGUAAAGGAAGCCUCGCUGCCUGCCUUGUCCUGGCAACCCAUAUAAGAGUCUGUGUAGGUGGGCACCAAGUGGCUACCCUCGAGCUCAGCCUGUUUCUUUUUUUUUCUUUCUAUUUUGUUAUUGGAUCUUUUUAGAUAUACAUGACAGUAGCUUGUAUUUUGACAUAAUAUACAUACAUGGAGUGUAACUUAUUCUAAUUAGGAUCCUUUCUUGUGGUUGUACAUGAUGUGGAGUUUCACUGGUGGUCUUUCUUAAUAUUCUCACUGGUCACUACUCGGAGGCCUGCCGCUCCCAGCGGCAGGUGGAGAUGUCCACAGCUCAGCAGAGGUUCUGCCUUCUGGGUUCUCUGUUUAGGUUUGCGCUCAGUGUGGAUCCUUCCCAAGUAGUUAGUAGGUCCCUCUUCAGCUGAUCUCUUGUGUGUCUGUCCCCUGAUGGCCAGUGGUAAUUGUACGAAGCUCCUUCACAUGCCACUGUUCUGCUUCUUCUCCUGUUGUUCCCACUCUCCUUCCCUGCCUCCUCUCUGCACCCAGCUCCUGUCAGCCACUUCUGGAACUUGACACAUUGUUCUCUGUCUUGGUACCUUUGUCUGUACUGUUUCCUCUGGGGGGCACCUUUUCUCCUGCUUUCCUGCUGUUUAAACUCCUAACUCUUCAAGGUCUGGUCAGUAUUUCCUUCCUGGAGCAGCCCUCCUAGAGUCUCCUUCCUCUGAGCUUCUGUUGCGUGUAAAACAACACAUAUGCACACACACGCACACACACACACACACAUACACACACACAUCCUCAACAUUUUCAUAUUAAAAUAAUUGUAGAUUCACUGUGUGAAAGGGUUCCCUUGAAUCCUCCAUCCAGUGGUGGCACCAGGUGUAACUAUAGCAUAGUAUCAAAACCACGAAAUUGACACUAAUACAAGUCACACACCUUCAUAUUCCUCUAGUUUUGACAUGCACUCAAUCGUGUGUGGUUUUAGGUCUGUAUAGUUUUAUCAUGUGUACAUUCAUUAGCUCAGUCAAGAAGCAGAACUAUCCCAUUACCACAAAGCUCUCUCCUGUUAUCACUUAACAGUCCCAGCCAUCUCCCUUCUUUCUGGCUCCCUGACACCUGUUAACCUAACCACUCAUCUGUUUCCAAAUUCUCCAAUUUUUUAAAUUUCCAGAAUGUUAUGGCAAUGGAACCAUACAAUGUAAAUCAAUCUCUCUCUCUCUCUCUCUCUCUCUCUCUCUCUAUAUAUAUAUAUAUAUAUAUAUAUAUAUAUGUAUAUGUAUAUAUGUGUGUGUGUGUGUGUGUGUGUCUGUAUAUAUAUAUAUAAAAUCUCCCAGCAGAAUUUCCUAGAGAUCCACUCAAAUUGUGGUGUGUAUCAACAGUUCAUUCCUUUUACUUGCUGAGUGGUAUUCCAUGGUAUGCAUGUCAUAGUCCCAUGGCAUUUUCAGAUGUCUUUUUAAAACAGCAGUUAGCAUUCUGUAUUUUAAUUGCCAGUCAAGUCUUUCUUCCUCAAUAGGCUGCAAAUUUUGCUUUACCAUUUAAUUCNGAUCCUGAAUGUUCCCUGGCUGAGCAGGGAGCCCAUAAAGACCUUGAUGAAUGUCACUAUGGGUAGGAGGUGGGAGUAGGGGACUGGAUAGGUGAGUCUUGGAGCAUCCUUGGAAGCAUAAAAUCCAAAAAUUUCACAUGCUAUCUUGCAUGAAUUUAUAAAAUGUGUGUGCAUAAUGAGUAGUUAUAAAUGGAAUAAUUUAAUAUGCUGUAAGGAAGCCCACUCCCCUAAAGGGACUCUGUAGGUGAAUACUUCUGUAUCCUAUAAUUGAUCUAUUUUGCAAAUUCAAAUUUCUCCAAGUGUGGAAUUUAUAUUAUAAGUUAUGGGAAAAUGAGAGAGACAAGGAAUGAGAUUAAUUAGAUAAGUGACUCUUGCCUCUUUCUCUCAGAGCCUGCUAUCUCCUGUGGCUUUUGGGUUUGGCUGUGAGUACUUUGCCCUUUUUGAGGAGCAGGGCAUUGGUGUGCAGUGGGACAACCUCUUUGAGAGCCCUGUGGAGGAAGAUGGCUUCAAUCUCACCACUUCAGUCUCCAUGAUGCUGUUCGACACCUUCCUCUAUGGGGUGAUGACCUGGUACAUUGAGGCUGUCUUUCCAGGUACACUGAGCCUCCUCCCUGCUUUGGCAUCUGUCAGGGAAAGAAUUCUGGCUGCAGAGCUUCCCUUUCUUUGUGCUGGAAUUUCUUCAUGGCAUGGGGCUCCCUGGAAAGUGGUUUGGACUUUAGACCUACGGCAAACAAAUAGUUCCAGUAGAGGAACCAGUGCUGAAAAGUACUACUACUAUGGCAAUCAUUUCUUGAGUACUGUGUGUUCAGCACUGUGAAGUGUUUGAUAUACUGUGGUUCAUUUAAUUCCCAAAAGACUACAUAGAAGUUUUACUGUUAUAACUGUUAUUUCUCAAAUGAGAGAACUAUGACUCAGAGAAGUUAAGUAACCUGCCUGAGGUCACUCAGCUCCUAAGUUCUGGUGCUCAGAAGUGAACCCAGUUGGGUUAUACUGGAUCAGCAAGCCAGGAGAUUCCUCCCUGUGCUGACUCAAUUCUGUAAUUCCAUGUCUCCAGGGAGGGUAACUUUACUCUGAUUACAGUUUGUGAAUAAUACAAUCUGUUGGCUCUAAGCCUUUACGUGUGAUUAAAAUAAAAUUAAUAUUAAAUAAAAGCUCAUUUUGAUACUUUCAUUAACAAAUCCUCUUGACCAAGUCCAAGAGGAACCAGCCUUGGGAUAUGUUUUCAUACAAGAUGAAACUGUGGGAGAGUGAAGGUUUGCUCCAUGUAGUUCACCUUCUCAUUCUCCUCUGAGGAGGUAGACAUGAGAUGUUUAUCACCCCUUCCUGAACUUCCUUCACUGAAUAUGCAAUUCUGCAUCAUGCAGAUCUGGAUUUGAAUUCUGAGUCCUUCACUCAUUGGCUGAGUGUCCUUGUGUAGGCUGCUUACCCCUCAAAAUGAGGAUGGUGCCUCCCUCAGGGAGUUGUUGGGAGGCCUCAGAGAAAAGCAGAAUGUACACUGUUUUUAGUAGGUUUCAGCGAAGGUUACCUCCCUUUCCCCCCAUUCCAUUCCAGUCUAUUCCUUCUCCAAAGGGUGUGUCAAGGAGGGAGUGGGCUGGCUGGGACACCUGAGGAAUACAGGAAUGGUGCUCAGCUUGGAUCACACCUGUGCUUUGCUUUCAGGCCAGUAUGGAAUUCCCAGGCCCUGGUAUUUUCCUUGCACCAAGUCCUACUGGUUUGGUGAGGAAAGUGAUGAGAAGAGCCACCCUGGUUCUAGCCAGAAGGGAAUAUCAGAAAGUAAGUAUUGCUGUCCUGCCCUCCUCCAACCAAGUGCUAACAGGGGCAAGUGAUGGAUGGAUCCUGCACUUUAUGCUGAAGUCACUUUAAAUAAGCCAGUCCUAAAAAACCAAAGAUCCAAUGAUUUCUCUGAUAGGUGGAAGCUAAACACAACAAGGGGAAGAACACAUAUGCAAUAGAUUAGACAAUGGGGAAGGGAGGGAAGGGAGGGGGGGAUAAGCAAAGGAAAGACAGUGGAAUCAAUAGUUUUCCCAUGUACAUGUAUAUGAAAAUAACACCGUGAAUCCCACCACCAUGUAUAUCCAUAAGAAUGGGACUCUAACUAGAAUAAGAUGUAUUCGCAUUUUAUGCUUCUAUAAUUAUGUCAGAAUGGAUUCUGCUGUCAUAUAUAACUAAAAAGAAGCAAUAAAAAUAAAAUAAAAUAUUCAAAAAACGAAUAAAUACACGAAUGCACAUAAAAAAACGAAAUUACUUUAAAGACAAAGAAAUCUCACACAAUGUAUCCCUUCCAAAUUGUCCCACACCAUUCAUGUCCAAAGCUAUGAACUUGAUGGGUCCCUGGGGAACAUUUCCUGUUUUCUUGGCUCCUUGCAAAGUGUCUUUUGAUCACUGAACUUUCACUUAUUGCUCUCUUACUACCAUGCUGUCCUAACAAGCUAGCAGGAAGAGGUAAAGGAAGCCUCGCUGCCUGCCUUGUCCUGGCAACCCAUAUAAGAGUCUGUGUAGGUGGGCACCAAGUGGCUACCCUCGAGCUCAGCCUGUUUCUUUUUUUUUCUUUCUAUUUUGUUAUUGGAUCUUUUUAGAUAUACAUGACAGUAGCUUGUAUUUUGACAUAAUAUACAUACAUGGAGUGUAACUUAUUCUAAUUAGGAUCCUUUCUUGUGGUUGUACAUGAUGUGGAGUUUCACUGGUGGUCUUUCUUAAUAUUCUCACUGGUCACUACUCGGAGGCCUGCCGCUCCCAGCGGCAGGUGGAGAUGUCCACAGCUCAGCAGAGGUUCUGCCUUCUGGGUUCUCUGUUUAGGUUUGCGCUCAGUGUGGAUCCUUCCCAAGUAGUUAGUAGGUCCCUCUUCAGCUGAUCUCUUGUGUGUCUGUCCCCUGAUGGCCAGUGGUAAUUGUACGAAGCUCCUUCACAUGCCACUGUUCUGCUUCUUCUCCUGUUGUUCCCACUCUCCUUCCCUGCCUCCUCUCUGCACCCAGCUCCUGUCAGCCACUUCUGGAACUUGACACAUUGUUCUCUGUCUUGGUACCUUUGUCUGUACUGUUUCCUCUGGGGGGCACCUUUUCUCCUGCUUUCCUGCUGUUUAAACUCCUAACUCUUCAAGGUCUGGUCAGUAUUUCCUUCCUGGAGCAGCCCUCCUAGAGUCUCCUUCCUCUGAGCUUCUGUUGCGUGUAAAACAACACAUAUGCACACACACGCACACACACACACACACACAUACACACACACAUCCUCAACAUUUUCAUAUUAAAAUAAUUGUAGAUUCACUGUGUGAAAGGGUUCCCUUGAAUCCUCCAUCCAGUGGUGGCACCAGGUGUAACUAUAGCAUAGUAUCAAAACCACGAAAUUGACACUAAUACAAGUCACACACCUUCAUAUUCCUCUAGUUUUGACAUGCACUCAAUCGUGUGUGGUUUUAGGUCUGUAUAGUUUUAUCAUGUGUACAUUCAUUAGCUCAGUCAAGAAGCAGAACUAUCCCAUUACCACAAAGCUCUCUCCUGUUAUCACUUAACAGUCCCAGCCAUCUCCCUUCUUUCUGGCUCCCUGACACCUGUUAACCUAACCACUCAUCUGUUUCCAAAUUCUCCAAUUUUUUAAAUUUCCAGAAUGUUAUGGCAAUGGAACCAUACAAUGUAAAUCAAUCUCUCUCUCUCUCUCUCUCUCUCUCUCUCUCUCUCUCUACAUAUAUAUAUAUAUAUAUAUAUAUAUAUAUAUAUAUAUAUAUGUAUAUGUAUAUAUGUGUGUGUGUGUGUGUGUGUGUCUGUAUAUAUAUAUAUAAAAUCUCCCAGCAGAAUUUCCUAGAGAUCCACUCAAAUUGUGGUGUGUAUCAACAGUUCAUUCCUUUUACUUGCUGAGUGGUAUUCCAUGGUAUGCAUGUCAUAGUCCCAUGGCAUUUUCAGAUGUCUUUUUAAAACAGCAGUUAGCAUUCUGUAUUUUAAUUGCCAGUCAAGUCUUUCUUCCUCAAUAGGCUGCAAAUUUUGCUUUACCAUUUAAUUCUGACAACAGUGCCAAGAGGGGCCCUAAAUAAAUAUGUAUAGCUUCCUGCUUGCUUAUAAAACCAGAGUGGCUAUGGACAAAAGCUGUUCUAAGAGUCCAAGUGCAGCCCUCUGUGUCUUUACAUUCUACUUUCAGUAUAUUCUAUGGGUUCAUUCCUUUCUCCUCUCUUUUCUCAUAGUCUGCAUGGAAGAGGAACCCACCCACCUGAAGCUGGGUGUGUCCAUUCAGAACCUGGUGAAGAUUUACCGAGACGGCAUGAAGGUGGCUGUUGAUGGCCUGGCACUGAAUUUUUAUGAGGGCCAGAUCACCUCCUUUCUGGGCCACAAUGGAGCAGGGAAGACAACCACCAUGUAAGAAGGGGAAGUGGCCAUAGAGUCUACCACUAGAAGGUUCUGCAGUGUACUUAGAAAUUCAUAGCUGAGGAAAUUGGGGUUGGUUGCUAGGGCAAGGAUAGAGCACAUGAGGGGGUGAUAAGUGUAAAACAUCACAUAAUCACGAGUGUGCUUUCCAAGGGUUAGUCUUUGCUAGAUAUUUUUUUCUUCAGCCUAAAGCAGGGUGGGUGUUUUGAUGACCUUUCCCAGGUAGGGCUCAGAAUUAUGCAGUGUUUUUGGAAUCUGAGGCUAUGACAGCUUUGAGAAAGGGUCUCCUUCUGAGGUGGUUUGGUCAGAACUGUAAAGCAAAAGUCUGGAAAGAAAGAUUAGACACUGGAGGGAGAUGGCAAUUUCCAGGAACUCUGUCUCUAAGCAGAUGUGGGAAGUGGGCUGUUGGCUCCCAUUGUCUUCCCUGGCACCCAUGAGGACCUUCUGCCUGACAGCUUCCGGAAUGGGUAAGGGCCCCAAAACACUAGUUAGCCUCAGUGGCUUUCAGUAUGGCCUCUCAACCAUUCCAAAGGGUAGAUCUUCGAGGGUGAUGUUCUUUUCUUGUUUUUUUUUUUUUAACAUAAAAUCAAUAUAUUGUGGGUAUAGCUGCUGAAUAUUUUUUAAAAGACACUUGAAAAUCUUACCAUCUAACACAAACAUUAUUAUUAUUACUGGUAUCAGGGAUUGAACCCAGGGAAACUGAGCCACAUCCCCAGCCCUUUUUAUUUUUUAUUUUGAGACAGAUGCUGAGGCUGGCUUUAAAUUUUCAAUCCUCCUGCUUCAGCCUAUUGAGCUGCUGGGAUUAUAGGCAUGCACCACUACACCCAAUUUAAAACAGAUAUUGUCUUUUUAUCAUUGAAUAAUUUGUUUUGAUCUGUCUGUUUUUCAUGGAUAUAACCUUAGGCAUACAAAAUACAUAUUUUAAGGCUCACUUUCCAUUGUAUAUUAGAGGAUUCAUUUUCCAAAUGCUCAUAUUUUGCUUUGUUGGGGAUCUAUUAGGGUCCAUCAGAAAGGAAUAGAAGCAGGGUGUUGGUACCCCGUGCUCACCGUGAUGGGCUCUGCAGUGGUGGGGUGGGCCAGCCCUGAUGCCUGCAUUUGUUAAUUUUGUCCUCAGGUCAAUCCUGACUGGGUUGUUCCCUCCUACCUCUGGCACGGCCUACAUCUUGGGAAAGGAUAUUCGCUCUGAGAUGAGCACCAUCCGGCAGAACCUGGGGGUCUGUCCCCAGCACAAUGUGCUGUUUGACAUGUGAGUACCACAGCAUAUUGAGAAGAGAGGCCCCUUUUUGGAUUUAGAAGUCAUGGGUGAAAUGGGAGUUAGGCAUUUUUGCCUUCUUUGGAGAUAGCAGUUCUUAUCUCUUUAGACACAUUGAGAUCUGUUUUAGGCAGGAGAUGUUACUUCAGUCCAGAUGGCUGAUGGGGGAUUGGGAAGCAAUGGACUUCAUCAUGUGCCUCUGGAGGGUCUUUCAUCCCAUCCUUUCCCCUGCUGCACCUGUCCCUAAAGUUCUAGUUCAUUGACCACCCCCGUCUCCACCGCCAAUCCCCUGGCAGGGCCUAAGGACACUUGGUACCAUGGUCCUGUGUUCAUUGAUCAUGACAUUUGCUCCCACUCAGCUUGUCCCAUCAGCAGGUAAGACCCCAGAGAGCCCUUGUAGUUGAUCAGAGAAAACCCAUUUUUUUUUUUAAUCUAAAAUGAGCAGUUUGAGCUUCUGGCUCCCUAGGAACCUGCUUUUGCUCAGAGUCUGAGGUUCUUUGAGAUUCAGGGGACGCUUCUCCAGGUUAAUGCUGACCCAGCAUGGUUGAUGGAACUAUGGGUGAGACGUUUGAGGACCUGAAAAAUAAAUUGCAAUUGCUGAUGCCUGGUGGCCAGCCCUGUGAAGAGUAGGUUGGAAAUGAUCUGUUACCUCUAAGUUUUGACUUCCUGAGAAGCUCAUGUUGUUGUUGUCUGUUGUUCUACCUUGAAUCUUUCCUUUUGAUUAUAUUUUUUAGAAAUUUAAGGGGAUAGUACUGGGGAUUGAUAUGGAUAAAAAUGAUAUAUGCAUUUAUGAAUAUGUCAAAACAAAACCUGCUAUUAUGCACAACUAUGAUGCACUAAAAAUAAAAAUAAAAGAAAUUGAUAAGUCAAAAAAGAAAUGUAGGAAUGAAGUGGGAAAGAAGAAAAACAUGCACAUUGUUUUCUGUUCUGGGUCAGGAGACACUAUAUCCUGGUGUGUCCUGUAGGGCCCAGAGCUGACCUGCCCCUCUGUCCCCAGGCUUACUGUGGAAGAGCACAUUUGGUUCUAUGCCUGCCUGAAGGGGCUUUCCGGGAAGCAUGUGAAAGCAGAGAUGGAACAGAUGGCCCUGGAUGUCGGUCUGCCGCCCAGCAAGCUGAAAAGCAAAACAAGUCAGUUGUCAGGUGAGGCCCUGAGCACCUUCCCUGUCUUUCCCCUUCCUCCUCCACCUAUCCAUACACAGAGGAAAAGCUGCCCAGGGUCCCAGGCAGGGUGGAAGGUAACAGACCCUUUUCCUGGGCUAUGUCCCCAGAUGGGUGCCUGUCUUCAUCUCUCACCCCCUCCUCCUUCAUUCACCAUCUGGGGCUGGUUCUGGAGCCUAUCUUUUGCUCUGUCUUAUAGGUGGGAUGCAGAGAAAGUUGUCUGUGGCCUUGGCCUUUGUUGGGGGGUCCAAGGUUGUCAUUCUGGAUGAGCCCACAGCUGGUGUGGAUCCCUACUCCCGCAGGGGAAUAUGGGAGCUGCUGCUGAAAUACCGACAAGGUAACCAAUGUGUACUCUGAGUCACGGAUUUGGGGAGAGAAGGGUUAUUGAGAAGUAUGGCUGUAUCUCAUGGGGGUAACAGAAUUGCUUCUCAAAGAAAAAAAUGGAACUUUUUUUAAAGCUCAGUGUCUUCUUUUAGUAUGGAUAUGGGAGACCUGGUUGUAAGAUACUUGAAGUUUAUGCUUCAUUACCUAGGGGCCUGCAAGAACAGAAAUGGUAUAGACUUACACGGGUGUAUCGUGAUUAUACUACGCUAAGAUAGAUUCCUGAGAGCAGAGGCUCUGUUCAUUGUUUUGUCCCUAACUUGUUGCACUAAUUUUGUUUGUUGAAAGAGUGGAUGAAUAAAUUAAUGGAAUGGGAAAGGACAAGAACGCGUUUGGCCGUGUGCUUAGAGCUUGUGCAGCCCUGAUGCUUUGGAAAAAAAAAUCACUUAGCUUGGCCCCAUUUCCUUAUCUGUAAUAAGAGUGGUGCUUACCUCAUGAAGGGUAAAAUUAAUUAAAGAAUAUACAUAAACCACCUAAUAUGCUUUCUGACACCUUGCAAGUUCCAAAUAAAUGUGUUGCCAGCCUUGGGGUCAUGGCCAGAGGGUUGAAGUCAGCUUUCAGUCUUUCUUGCCUACACCCCUGCCAGUGUCUCUAUAGUCCUUGCUACUACAAUCAAUGAGAAAAGACAGGACUCACGUGUCCCACAUCCUUGUAUUUGUGUCUGGCAGGUCGCACCAUUAUUCUCUCCACACACCACAUGGAUGAAGCAGACAUCCUGGGGGACAGGAUUGCCAUCAUUUCCCAUGGGAAGUUGUGCUGUGUGGGCUCCUCCCUGUUCUUGAAGAACCAGCUGGGAACAGGCUACUACCUGACACUGGUCAAGAAAGAUGUAGAAUCCUCCCUGAGUUCCUGCCGAAAUAGCAGUAGCACUGUGUCAUACCUGAAAAAGGUGAGCUGCAGUCUCAGUGCUGGGCUGGGCCGGGCCGUCAGGACUUAUUGGCUGCAGAUGGCUUGUUCACCUCUGCCCCAUUCACCCAAGUUGUGGCCACUGUCUCCCUGCUCUGUACCCUUUCACAUCAUACUGCCUAUGUGGAAAGUUCUAGAGCCCUCUGUUCUCGUAGUGCUAGUUUUGUUGAGUCCCAUUUUUCCUUUUUCCUAUUCAAUGAGCAAUGGAGAAUGUCCUUUCAGGACUUUAUUAUGUCGCAGAAAAGAGACUAGCUAAGAGGUAAGAGUUGGCUACAAAAUGUCCUGCUAUUCCUGCUUAUUAUCUUUAAAUCUCAUCGAUCUUUACUUUUAAACUAUAAAACACAAAUAUUUAUGAAGCACUUAUUUCAGACCACACAGACUGGGUGUAAAAGAAAAUAAUGAUAAUAGUUAUUGUUUUGUCACAAUUUUUUUUCCCCAUCUGGCAUCUCAGAGUACAGAGCAAUCCUAGGAAGACAGUACAUGAUUACUAUCCUAGAUGAGGGAAGUGAGACCUGUAGGGAUUUGUUAGCUUAUUACAGGUCAUCUAAAAAAUAAAUAGCAGGUGGGACUAGAACCUCCAAACCAGACAUGUUCUCUCCUCUAUCAUAGUACAUGCCUGAGAUUUNCUCAGCUUGUCCCAUCAGCAGGUAAGACCCCAGAGAGCCCUUGUAGUUGAUCAGAGAAAACCCAUUUUUUUUUUUAAUCUAAAAUGAGCAGUUUGAGCUUCUGGCUCCCUAGGAACCUGCUUUUGCUCAGAGUCUGAGGUUCUUUGAGAUUCAGGGGACGCUUCUCCAGGUUAAUGCUGACCCAGCAUGGUUGAUGGAACUAUGGGUGAGACGUUUGAGGACCUGAAAAAUAAAUUGCAAUUGCUGAUGCCUGGUGGCCAGCCCUGUGAAGAGUAGGUUGGAAAUGAUCUGUUACCUCUAAGUUUUGACUUCCUGAGAAGCUCAUGUUGUUGUUGUCUGUUGUUCUACCUUGAAUCUUUCCUUUUGAUUAUAUUUUUUAGAAAUUUAAGGGGAUAGUACUGGGGAUUGAUAUGGAUAAAAAUGAUAUAUGCAUUUAUGAAUAUGUCAAAACAAAACCUGCUAUUAUGCACAACUAUGAUGCACUAAAAAUAAAAAUAAAAGAAAUUGAUAAGUCAAAAAAGAAAUGUAGGAAUGAAGUGGGAAAGAAGAAAAACAUGCACAUUGUUUUCUGUUCUGGGUCAGGAGACACUAUAUCCUGGUGUGUCCUGUAGGGCCCAGAGCUGACCUGCCCCUCUGUCCCCAGGCUUACUGUGGAAGAGCACAUUUGGUUCUAUGCCUGCCUGAAGGGGCUUUCCGGGAAGCAUGUGAAAGCAGAGAUGGAACAGAUGGCCCUGGAUGUCGGUCUGCCGCCCAGCAAGCUGAAAAGCAAAACAAGUCAGUUGUCAGGUGAGGCCCUGAGCACCUUCCCUGUCUUUCCCCUUCCUCCUCCACCUAUCCAUACACAGAGGAAAAGCUGCCCAGGGUCCCAGGCAGGGUGGAAGGUAACAGACCCUUUUCCUGGGCUAUGUCCCCAGAUGGGUGCCUGUCUUCAUCUCUCACCCCCUCCUCCUUCAUUCACCAUCUGGGGCUGGUUCUGGAGCCUAUCUUUUGCUCUGUCUUAUAGGUGGGAUGCAGAGAAAGUUGUCUGUGGCCUUGGCCUUUGUUGGGGGGUCCAAGGUUGUCAUUCUGGAUGAGCCCACAGCUGGUGUGGAUCCCUACUCCCGCAGGGGAAUAUGGGAGCUGCUGCUGAAAUACCGACAAGGUAACCAAUGUGUACUCUGAGUCACGGAUUUGGGGAGAGAAGGGUUAUUGAGAAGUAUGGCUGUAUCUCAUGGGGGUAACAGAAUUGCUUCUCAAAGAAAAAAAUGGAACUUUUUUUAAAGCUCAGUGUCUUCUUUUAGUAUGGAUAUGGGAGACCUGGUUGUAAGAUACUUGAAGUUUAUGCUUCAUUACCUAGGGGCCUGCAAGAACAGAAAUGGUAUAGACUUACACGGGUGUAUCGUGAUUAUACUACGCUAAGAUAGAUUCCUGAGAGCAGAGGCUCUGUUCAUUGUUUUGUCCCUAACUUGUUGCACUAAUUUUGUUUGUUGAAAGAGUGGAUGAAUAAAUUAAUGGAAUGGGAAAGGACAAGAACGCGUUUGGCCGUGUGCUUAGAGCUUGUGCAGCCCUGAUGCUUUGGAAAAAAAAAUCACUUAGCUUGGCCCCAUUUCCUUAUCUGUAAUAAGAGUGGUGCUUACCUCAUGAAGGGUAAAAUUAAUUAAAGAAUAUACAUAAACCACCUAAUAUGCUUUCUGACACCUUGCAAGUUCCAAAUAAAUGUGUUGCCAGCCUUGGGGUCAUGGCCAGAGGGUUGAAGUCAGCUUUCAGUCUUUCUUGCCUACACCCCUGCCAGUGUCUCUAUAGUCCUUGCUACUACAAUCAAUGAGAAAAGACAGGACUCACGUGUCCCACAUCCUUGUAUUUGUGUCUGGCAGGUCGCACCAUUAUUCUCUCCACACACCACAUGGAUGAAGCAGACAUCCUGGGGGACAGGAUUGCCAUCAUUUCCCAUGGGAAGUUGUGCUGUGUGGGCUCCUCCCUGUUCUUGAAGAACCAGCUGGGAACAGGCUACUACCUGACACUGGUCAAGAAAGAUGUAGAAUCCUCCCUGAGUUCCUGCCGAAAUAGCAGUAGCACUGUGUCAUACCUGAAAAAGGUGAGCUGCAGUCUCAGUGCUGGGCUGGGCCGGGCCGUCAGGACUUAUUGGCUGCAGAUGGCUUGUUCACCUCUGCCCCAUUCACCCAAGUUGUGGCCACUGUCUCCCUGCUCUGUACCCUUUCACAUCAUACUGCCUAUGUGGAAAGUUCUAGAGCCCUCUGUUCUCGUAGUGCUAGUUUUGUUGAGUCCCAUUUUUCCUUUUUCCUAUUCAAUGAGCAAUGGAGAAUGUCCUUUCAGGACUUUAUUAUGUCGCAGAAAAGAGACUAGCUAAGAGGUAAGAGUUGGCUACAAAAUGUCCUGCUAUUCCUGCUUAUUAUCUUUAAAUCUCAUCGAUCUUUACUUUUAAACUAUAAAACACAAAUAUUUAUGAAGCACUUAUUUCAGACCACACAGACUGGGUGUAAAAGAAAAUAAUGAUAAUAGUUAUUGUUUUGUCACAAUUUUUUUUCCCCAUCUGGCAUCUCAGAGUACAGAGCAAUCCUAGGAAGACAGUACAUGAUUACUAUCCUAGAUGAGGGAAGUGAGACCUGUAGGGAUUUGUUAGCUUAUUACAGGUCAUCUAAAAAAUAAAUAGCAGGUGGGACUAGAACCUCCAAACCAGACAUGUUCUCUCCUCUAUCAUAGUACAUGCCUGAGAUUUAUUCAUGGAUUGAAACCAGUGGCACCUAAUACAUCUUAAUCCUAACCUUGAACUCUGUCCACUUACUUACCUUUUAACUAAAGCCUCCUUACUUAAGUGUGGUGUGAGGACCAGCAGCAUCAGGAUUAGAAAUGCAGUAACUUGGGUCCAAUUCAGACCUACUGAGUCAGAAUCUGCAUUUUAAUGGGGUCCUAGAAUGGUUUAACAUAUGUUAAAGCUUAGGUUGCAUUGAAUUAGACAAGUAGCCAGAUAAAUCCCAUGCCUGCAAUGAUUGGCAAAUCCUGGUUGCACCAGGAUUCCUGCCAAGCCACAGUUCUGUUGAUAGCUCAUAACUCACCCCAGGAAGAGAGGCUGUCCACUUGGCACACACAUCACACGGUGGCCUCUAAAGCCCUGGCUUCCAGCUUCAUGCACACCAGGAAAAGCUUUUGCUGCAGUUCUUACACAAUAGAGCUUCUGGAAACCCUCGCUGGCAAAGGUGGUGGUGGCUAUACCUUGCUUGGUCCCUGACCCAUUCUCACCUCCUUCUUUGCCAUCAGGAGGACAGUGUUUCUCAGAGCAGUUCUGAUGCUGGCCUGGGCAGCGACCAUGAAAGUGACACGCUGACCAUCGGUAAGGACUCUGGGGUUUCUCAUUCAGGUGGUGCCUGAGCUUCCCCCAGCUGGGCAGAGUGGAGGCAGAGGAGGAGAGGUGCAGAGGCUGGUGGCGCUGACUCAAGGUUUGCUGCUGGGCUGGGCUGGGCUGGGUGGCUGUGGGAGUGGAUGCAGCUUGGUGGUGGUGGCCUAAUGCUUGCUGGGGGGCCUGGGGCUUGGUCUGGGAGCUGGCAGGGCAGUGUCCCAGAGAACUGAGAUGACUGGGGUUUGGGGAAUCCCUUAGGGGAGUGGAUCUGGCUGGACACCGGAUGAGCCAUUGAGUGUCAAGCCAGCAGGGAGGGAUUUGAGCUUAGUAUAUAAGGAAGGUGAGAGCCCAGGAGAUAAGAAGCAGCCUUUUAGGCUUUUCUUGGCAGUGCAUAUGGGAACCCAGUGUCGUCAGUAGCAUGUGGAACAGAAAUCAUAACCUGGCCAUCUCUGCUCAGUUCUAACAGCUGGCUUUUUCCAGGAAGACUUCUGCUUCUAUGAACUGUUUGGUUAGCCUCUAUUGAGGUAAAUAGAGGGAAGCUCCCUUUGAAAGAAAGCUUAGGAAAGGCUGAAAAAUCUCUAUGAUUUUUCUUACUCAAGUUUUCUACUAAAGAAUCCCAGCGUAUAAGCUGUAGAUACCAGAUCUUCAACCUCAGCAAGUCAUCCAUCCAUCUAUAACACAUGGAGUACCCACAGUGUGCCUAGUUGUGGUGAUAUAAAGUGAAUGAGUUACAGUUCUUGUCCCCUGGAAAUCUUAGAGUUGAACAUGUGGAAUGGCUAAAAUAUCUUGGACAGUAUGGUGUAUAAGCAGCAGGCUUCUGAGAAGUAGGCAAAGGGGAUGACUGGCCUUUGCUGUGGAGCCUCUGAAAUGACUGAACCAUCUUUACACUGUGGUCCUUGCAGAUGUCUCAGCCAUCUCCAACCUCAUCAGGAAGCAUGUAUCUGAAGCCCGGCUAGUGGAAGACAUUGGGCAUGAGUUGACCUAUGUACUACCAUAUGAAGCUGCUAAGGAGGGGGCAUUUGUGGAACUCUUCCAUGAGAUCGAUGACCGGCUCUCAGACCUGGGCAUAUCCAGUUAUGGCAUCUCAGAGACUACCUUGGAAGAAGUAAGUUGGGUGGCUGACUGUCAAAUAUAGCAGCCCCAACCACCUCAAGGUCAGACAGGAAGGAAACAGGAUCACCAUGGGGUUGGUCAUUGAGAUUUUAGGUCAUUGAUAUCUAGGUAAUGUUGGCAGCAGUGAACCAAUUAAGAUCAUAGUGGGAGAUAGCAGGCAGGAAAGAAGUACUAGGAUUGCCCCUGGUGUGGUUGUGUUAACUGGACUUAAUGCAUCAUAAGAAAUGACCAACAUUUAUAGUCUACUAGGGCCAGGUACCAAGCUGUACGUUUUUGGUGUUUCUUUUUGAUUUGCUUUUUUAAAUCUUUGUAAUCUUGUGUAAUCCUCAUAACAAGACAAGAAAAUUAACUAAUCAGGGAUGUUGAGUUGGGAUUCAGCAUGGUAAGUUUGGGCUUCAAAACCCAGGUUGUUUUUAUGAAGUAGUAAUUCCUCCCUUUAGAGACACAUCACAGACUUUGAGGGCUGGAAGGGCUAUAAAAGUUGUCUGGCCUGGUGAUUCCAUGCUAGAUUGUGUAGUAGCCAUGUGAGGAUAUUACUGACAAUAAAAAUUCCAAGUCUCAAUUCUAGUGUCUUUGAAUUAGGAUUUCUGGAAGUAAGGCCUUAACUCUGUACUUCCACUGCAUAUGUCGUACACAGUGGUCUAUAGACAAGAGUUUGGAAAUCAGUGGCCUCAUUCAGAUUCUCCUCUGAUGUUUGGACCUCUGCCAUGAUAUUUCUACUUAUGGGGAGUCCAUGUCUUCCUGACCAUUCUGUCUUGACUAACUUAGCACAGUGCUGUUCUGCUUAAAGAUUUGAAGCCACAGCCUGAAAGAAACCACUUUACUCAUUCCCUAUAGGUUCCUAACAGAUUUCCUUUGUCUCAGUGUCCUGAUGUCAUAGCUGUAUUUUGAAAAUGAUUGUCUGGACUGAUAGUUCUCACCACUAAGGGAAUGUUUUCUGGCAAAAAUACCUCCCAAAUAACUCUGAUCAAGUGUUAUUAAUAAAUGUAGCUUCUACUUUCUUUGUCUUAGAGGUGGUAAUAUGCAAGUCAAUAAUGUAGUCAGGAUAGUGAUGGCUAUUCUCAUAAUGUUGGUACUUAUAUUGUCACCAACUCUAAUUUUUCAGAUAUUCCUCAAAGUGGCUGAAGAGAGUGGGGUGGAUGCUGAGACCUCAGGUAACCCUUUUGAGAGGGACUAUACAGUCUGGCUAGAGUCUUGAGCAGGCAAACUUCACUCACCAGUGUUGUACCUUUCUCUUCAUAUUGUUCUUUUUAUUUUUUAUUUUGUUUUUUUUUUCCCUUUACAUUGUUCUAAUACAGUCCCAUUUUUAGAGUAUAUGUUUGUUACAGGUAGAGAAGGUUUGUUUUGUUUCAAAUAAAGUAAAAUGAGGGAUUCCUUCCUUUUGCCUUCAGAUGGUACUUUGCCAGCGAGACGAAACCGACGGGCCUUUGGAGACAAGCAGAGCUGCCUUCGCCCAUUUACUGAAGAUGAUGCUAUUGAUCCCAAUGAUUCUGAUAUAGACCCAGGUUCGUUUGGGCAAGAUCUAGGUUCUAUUGUUUGAAGAAGAAUUUCUCCUUUAUGUUCUUCUCAGCUGUUUUCUUUUGAUGAACAAGAUGAUAGAUUCCCUGGAGGGUCCAGAAGGAAGUGGAAAAAUGAGAAAAGCCGCUUGUCUUUUUCCAGCUUUGUGCAUGUGUUUAGGUCAAACAUGAAAGAGCCCAUCCUCAUCGUUCCUUCAGUUAGCUGAGAUCUUAAGAUGCACAUAUUAAAAAAGGACUGCUCUUUUAUUGUCUUUUCUGUAGGGUUCAAGUUUCUUGCAUACAUUAAGUGUUUUAUUGUUGAAUAAGUAUUUAUUGAAUGGAUGAAUGAUUUUGAGAAAGUCAGGGAGGGUAAUUUGCUUUCAGUUAAUGUGCCCUUAGAUGUAGGUAUUUUGGAUGACUGUGUCCUUGUGUGUUUGAAAUGAAAAGGAGAGGUAAGAAAUCAAACAAAUUUGAUGUCAGAGUGUCUCUGUUAGGAAUCAUUCAUUUCAGACAAGAAUUUCUACAUAAUUUUUAUGAACAGAGAAUUUUCUCACUGUCCCAGUCCAUGGCACAUGAGCAUGUGGCUCUUAUGUUCUCCCUGACUUCAUGCAUUGUUAGUACUUAGAUCAUUUCAAAUGUGUCCAUUUUUUUAACAAAAAUAUAAAAGAUUAGAGACUGCCAUUGUGUGUUCUCAAGUGUGUUCAUCUGCAUACAUGGCCUGUUCCAUAGAAUAAUCUGUAAGAAAUCAGCAAUGUCUCCACUCAUCUGAAUGAUGUUCGGUAACACCUAGGUAAGAAUAUGUGAACAUCUCUGCAGUAGUCUCAAGGCACCUUCAUUCUUUGUACUCACCAAACGAGGACUAAAAGGCAGAGACUGCUCCUGUUGGACAUGUUGAGUCAUUAGUUUUUCUUGAAUAUAGAGGUAUCAUUAAAACCCUUUACCUCUGUGAGAUACUUUCAAUUUCAAACACAAGCCUCCAAAUGGUUUCUGAAGAUCUUAGAAGAAGGAAUACAUCAUGUCAAAAACACCUAACAUAAUAGGUGACCUUCAGUAUUGGCUUCUUGCAGAAUCCAGGGAGACAGACCUGCUCAGCGGGAUGGAUGGUAAAGGCUCCUAUCAGGUGAAGGGCUGGAAACUCACGCAGCAACAGUUUGUGGCUCUUUUGUGGAAGAGGCUGCUGAUCGCCAGACGGAGUAGAAAAGGAUUCUUCGCUCAGGUGAAAUAUGCUGGUUUCUGGCUUCAUGGGUGGGCUACACACUCUCUGACCAGUGAAAGCAGAAUGCUGCUGCAGUCAAGAUAUAGAUAUUGGAGCUAGAUUAUCUGUAUUUCCAUCCCAGUUCUAUUUCUUGCCAGUUUUGUGUCUGCCAGCAAAUGACUUCUCCAGGCCUCAGUCUCCUCACCUGAAAAAUAGAGAUAAUAAUGUGCCUAUGACACCAUGUUAUCCUGAGGAUAAACAUGAAUAAAUGCUUAGAAUGGAGUCUGAUGCUUGGGUUUAUGGGUAUGUAUGUGUGUAUGUAUGUAUGUCUUUUAUUUUAGAGAACAACAUAAAAGGGUAAGCGUUUAGAAAAACUGUUAGGUAAAUUCAGCUAUCAUAACAUAAGUGAUGUUAUGCUCAGAUGCACUUGACAUAUGCACUUAUUAGAAACAUGAUUUUUCUCUAAGUUGAUGUUUAACUCAAAUGAUAAAAAGAUACCCAGAGAGAUCAGAAUGUAACUGGCAAAUAGAGAAGACUCAUACUACUCCCUUCAAGUCAGAGUUUGUAUGCUCACUUGCUUAGUUAGAAGAGUUAAAAUUAUUUCACUCUGUAAAAAUUAAGAAAUGUGGAGAAAAGUUUAUAGAGAGUCUUCCUUACAGACUGUAUGUAUGAUACUAAGAGUAUGAGUUUGGGACAUACAGACCUGGAUUUGAAGUCUGGUUGUGUUACUAGCUGGCUUUGUGACCAUGAACAAGUAACUUGACUCUCUGAUCUUUAAUAACCAAGUUUUUGGAUAGUGGCAAUGAUAGUAACACCACAAAUAACAGCAUAGGGUAGUAAUGAUAAUUAAGAUAAUUAUCAUUAGAGUACUUUCCAGUAGAAUUGCUCACUUAAUGAUAAUUUUCUGCAUUGAAGCCCAAGAGCCAGAGUCAAUAUGAAUUGACUUUUUAAAGGAUAAGUUUCUCAGCAAUAAAUGGAAAGACCUUUGAGUUUACUUGUAAAGUGUGUAUGAGUCAUUGUUUUCAGAGUAGGUUUGUAGAAAGUUUGAGGAAUUUCAAGAAGGAGUUGCGUAUUUAUGCUUUGAGAGGUGAUCAUGGCAGACAAUGGCUGCUAUUGCUUGUGACUGGAGUCACUGCUUUUAAGAACUGGUUUCAGGAUUAUGGGAUCUGAUCUCUUCUCAGUCCUCAGAUUAUAAUGAGAAUACUGAGGCCCUACAGUGGUGAUGUCAUGUGGGUACACUUGUAUUAGUGUCAGACCCAGGAUUCAGGACUUGUGGCUCCUAGUCCAGGGCUUGUUCACUCAGUUUUCUUCUGAGCUGAACUGCGCUCAUGACCCAUUGUGGUCUUUAUCAUCUUCAUGGGAAGAAAUGCAGGACCCAGAAUUCUGAGUCACCCUAACGUGGGGUUGCUCUUUACUCUGUGAAGUUCCUAGCCUAGUGCUUCUGCCAGGUGACUAGAGACUCUGGCAUUGUGCUGCCAGAUUCUAGAAAGUCCUGGAGGGAAGAUGUUUAGUGUUCAGGAUCCAUUGCUUUCACUCUGCCCACAAGGCCUUGGGCCAGCCAUGGGCCCUGUCACCCUCCUUCUUGUGCUGCCUGGUCUGGGAACCUGGCUGGACUUGCAGGGAUUUGCUCCUUGGACUUCUUUCUAACCUUAUCUUUUCCUGCCAUCCCCCUACCCCCUCCAUUGCCUGGUUACAGAUUGUCCUGCCAGCUGUGUUUGUCUGCAUUGCCCUGGUGUUCAGCCUGAUUGUGCCACCCUUUGGCAAGUACCCUAGCCUGGAACUUCAGCCCUGGAUGUACAAUGAGCAGUAUACGUUUGUCAGGUACGUGUUUGUCUUCUGGGCCCAGGGGAGAGGAGGGUUCGAGUAGAUCAAGGGUGAUCACUGUGCUGAGGGUCAAAAGAAUAGAGUCAAGAAUUGCACAGUGGAAGGGGUUUUACCAGCUGUGCCUCAGGCCCCUAUGUAAGCUACUACUGCAUGCCAAGAACAUCAGUGAGCUACCCUUGACUUAGCAGCUAGUCCUCUCUCGGACAUUUCACCCCUUCUCCUUAUGCUGUGAGUGUCAGGACAACCCUGCAUAUUUUAGAUGAUAUUCCCUUGAUAAAAUCUAAAAUUGUUUUAAAAUAUUUGUAUUUUUAGAGUUAUGUUUUAAUUUUGUUAUCUAGUCAUAGGGCUUCCAUACAGUGUCAAAACAGAAGCUUCACAUUCUUAUUUUCUAUAUAGUAUAAUUCAUGUAAUUAUUACCUACUCUUUAAAUUUAUGGUUUUGGCUAAUGUUAACGUUUGGCAAAAAUACUUUCUACUCCAUAGUAAUCCUAUGCAUGAAAUAAAAGGACAAAGGAAUUUCUGGAUAUUGUUUGGCAAAGGUUUUCUGGGAUUUAUAGGUGUAUAGAUAGGAGAGAUAUAUAAGUGAUAUCUAGAAGAGGUUUAAAAAUGAAAAUAACAUAUACCAAACAUAUGAAUUUGUCUCUUUUUCUCCAAACUAUGCUUUCUUCUUAAUUCAGGUUUACUUGCCUUUUUCCCUUCCUAGCUGUUGACCUUGUAUUGCCUAUAGCUAUAAAAUAUGGCAUGUGUUUGUGACCUGUGCCUAUUAUUUCUUGUACUUUCGAGUUGUCUGUGUACACAGUCAGUAAAAUCUGCCUGUCCUUCCUGGAAAAUACUGGUUAUCUGGGCCAAAUGGGUAAUCAUGAAAGUAAUUUUGAAAUACUGAUCCUUAAUGAGUCUCAUUACUUCAAAUUACAAUAUAUAUGUAAAUGUGUGUAUAUGUGUGCAUAGGUACACACAGGUACACACAUCUUCAUACAUAUUCCAGUUUGGGGUGCUCUAUACUACCCAGAUGCUGAAUAUAUGGCCAGAGUCCAAGCUCCUCAUACCUAGUUUCUGUAUUUUAUUCAUUUUUCUUUUAAGAGCCUAGAAUCCAGGAAGUACUUAAUAGAGUGUUUAAUUUAGAAAACUUUUCUUUCUCCCUGUUCCUGGUUUAAAUGAAUUACUGAGAUGGUUGCUUCCCAUGUACUCACAGUAAUGAUGCUCCUGAGGACACUGGCACCCAGCAACUCUUGAAUGCCCUCACCAAAGACCCUGGUUUUGGGACCCGGUGUAUGGAAGGAAACCCAAUCCCGUGAGUGUCACUUUCGCCAUAAGUUGUCUUCUCAUGCCUGCCAUCUGGUUUGAUUUCUGAUAUACUGCAUUUAUCAAUUGCAUGCCACAUUGUAACCACUAUUAUUUGUCUUUUGAAUCACUUUUUAUUUUUAAAAAGUGAAUAUAAUAACCUAAUCAGACCCAUCUAGGAACAUUUAGAGAGACUUCUAACAUCCUGCAAAGGAAAUCAUUAAAGACAUUUGUUUACUUCUUUAGAACGUUAAUAUUUAAUUUAAAUAGCACUUUAUACUUACUAAAUGCUUUUAUCACUUCUGCCCCCAACUCCUGUAUUUUAGUGCAACAAUAGGCUGCCAUCGUAUAUAAUUUGCAAUUUUGCUCAUCAGCUUCUUCACCUUAACAACCUGAAAAGAUAAAAUAGAUUUUUCUAAGAGGGGACACUUUCUUGUUCCAUUGCAUAUUUUUUCUUCAGGAUAAUGCUUUAUUCUUUUAUUAAACAACUUUCAGUGUAAUAAGUGUAUAUUUGUUAUGUACCAAAUAAUCACAGUUGUUAUGUCUUUCCUUAAUACUCAGAUAGUCCCAUAUUAAGCAAAUGGGAACCCUUUCAGGUUAGCUCCUGUGUCCCUUUAAACCAGUGUCAGUACUUGAACAUUCAGGAACAUUUGACCUUAAUGUAUUAGGUUUACUUCUUAUUUCCUGCCCUAGAUCUGGAACCAGAUAUUUAUCCAAGAUUUUUAGUGCCUUUUAAUAGGAAGCAGUAUUUAUUUUAUUUUAAAUUUUGAUUUGUUACAUAUGACAACAUAAUGCAUUACAAUUUAUAUUACACAUAUAGAGUACAAUUUUUCAUAUCUCUGGUUGUACACAAAGUAGAGUCACAUCCUUCGUGUCUUCUUACAUUUACUUAGGGUAAUGAUGACCAUCGCAUUCCACCAUCUUUCCUACCCCUCUGUUCCCUCCUUUCUCCUCCCUCCCCUUUUCCCUUUUGCCCUAUCUAGAGUUUAUUUAAUCCUCCCAUUGCACCCUGCCCCCCCCAGCAUAUUAUGAAUCAGCAUCCUUAAAUCAGAGAAAUCAUUUAGCAUUUGUUUUUUUGGGAUUGGCUAAUUUCACUUAGCAUUAUAUUCUCCAGCUUCAUCCAUUUACCUGCAAAUGCAAUGAUUUAUUUUCUCUUUUAAUGCUGAAUGCUUAAUAAUAUUCCAUUGUGUAUAUAUACCACAUUCUAUAUCUAUUCAUCUACUGAAGGGCAUCUAGAUUGGUUCCACAGUUUUAGCUAUUGUGAAUUGUGCUGCUAUAAACAUUGAUGUGGCUGUGUCCUUGUAGUAUGCUGUUUUUAAGUCCUUUGGGUAUAGACCAAGGAGUGAGAUAGCUGGGUCAAAUGGUGGUUCCAUUCCCAGUUUUCCAAGGAUUCUCCAUACUGCUUUCCAUAUUGGCUGCACCAAUUUGCAGUCCUACCAGCAAUGUAUGAGUGUGUCUUUUUCCCCACAUCCUCGCCAACACUUACUGUUUGUAUUCUUGAUAGUUGCCAUUCUGACUGGAGUGAGAUAAAAUCUUAGUUUUGAUUUGCAUUUCACUAAUUGCUAGAGAUGUUGAACAUUUUUUCAUAUAUUUGUUGAUUUAUUGUAUAUCCUCUUCUGAGAAGUGUCUGUUUGGUUCCUUGGCCCAUUUACUGAUUGGGUUAUUUGGUUUUUUGGUGUUAAGAUUUUUGAGUUCUUUAUCUAUUCUAGAGAUUAGUGCUCUAUCUGACGUGUGUGUGGUAAGAAUUUGUUCCCAAUUAAUAGGCUCUCUAUUUACCUCAUUGAUUGUUUCUUUUGCUGAAAAAAAACUUUUUAGUUUGAAUCUAUUCCAUUUAUUGAUUCUUGAUAUUAGUUCUUGCACUAUAGGAGUCUUAUUGAGGAAGUUGGCACCUAAUCUGACACGAUGGAGAUUUGGGCCUACUUUUUCUUCUAAUAGAUGCAGUGUCUCUUGGUUUAAUUCCUAGGUCCUUGAUCCACUUUGAGUUUUCUUUUUUUUUACUACCUUUAUUUAUUUAUUUAUUUUUAUGUGGUGCUGAGGAUUGAACCCAGGGCCUCGCAUGCCUUGUGCAUGCUAGGCGAGCGCUCUGCCACUGAGCCACAACCCUAGCCCCGCCCCCAUACACUUUGAGUUUUGUGCAUCAUGAGAGAUAGAGGUUUAAUUUCAUUUGUUGCACAUGGAUUUCCAGUUUUCCCAGAACCACUUGUUGAAGAGGCUAUCUUUUCUCCGAUGCACAUUUUUGGCACCUUUGUCAAAUAUAAGAUAACUGUAAUUAUGUGAGUUAGUUUCUAUGUCCUCUAUUCUGUAUCAUUGGUCUACAAGUCUAUUUUGGUACCAAUACCAUGUUCUUUUUAUUACUAUUGCUCUGUAGUAUAGUUUAAGGUCUGGUAUAGUGAUGCCACCUACCUCACUCUUCUUGCUAAGGGUUGCUUUAGCUAUUCUGAGUCUAUUAUUUUUCCAGAUGAAUUUCAUGACUGCUUUUCCUAUUUCUAUGAGGAAUGUCAUUGGGAUUUUGAUUGUAUUAAAUAUGUAUAGUGCUUUUAGUAGUAUGGUCAUUUUGACAAUAUUAAUUCUGCCUAUCCAAGAAUAAGGUAGAUCUUUCCAUCUCUUAAGGUCUUCUCUAAUUUCUUUCUUUAGCGUUCCAUAGUUUUCAUUGUAGAGGUCUUUCAUUUCUUUUGUUAAGUUGAUUCCCAAGUAUUUUAUUUUAUUUUUUGGUGCUAUUAUAAAUGGGGUACUUUUCCUCGUUUCCCUUUCAGAGGAUUUGUUAAUGAUACAUACAAAUUCCUUUUGAUUUAUGGUUGUUGAUUUUAUAUCCUACUACUUUGAUGAAUUCAUUUACUAGUUCUAGAAGUUUUCUGGUGGAGCUUUUUGGGUCUUCUAGGUAUAGAAUCAUAUCGUCAGCAAAUAGUCCUAAUUUAAGUUCUUCUUUUCCUAUAUCUAUCCCUUUAAUUUCUUUCAUCUGUCUAAUUGCUCUGGCUAGUGUUUCAAUAACUAUGUUAAAUAGAAGUGUUGAAAGAGGGCAUCCCUGUCUUGUUCCAGUUUUUAGAAGGAAUGCUUUCAAUUUUUCUCCAUUUAGAAUGAUGUUGAUCUGGGGCUUAGCAUAGAUAGCUUUUACGACGUUAGGACAUGUUUCUGUUAUCCCUAGUUUUUCUAGUGUUUUGAAUAAGAAGGCGUGCUAUAUUUUAUUGAAUGCUUUUUCUGCAUCUAUUAUGCUGCAUCUAUUAUUUCUGCAUCUAUUAUAUGAUUAUAUGUCUUACCUUUAAGUCUCUUGAUGUGAUGAAUUGCAUUUAUUGAUUUCUGUAUGUUGAAGCAACCUUGCAUCCCUGGGAUGAACCCCAUUUGAUCAUGGUGUACCAUCUUUUUGAUAUGUUUUUGUAUUCAAUUUGCCAGAAUUUUACUGAGAAUUUUUGCAUCUAUGUUCAUUAGAGAUUUUGAUCUGAAGUUCUCUUUUUCUGAUGUGUCUUUGCCUGGUUUUGGAAUCAGUGAGAUAUUGACCUCAUAGAAUGUGUUUGGAAGUGGUCCCUCUUCUUCUAUUUCCUGAAAUAAAUUGACGAGUAUUGGUGUUGGUUCUUCUUUAAAGGUCUUAUAGAACUCAGCUGUAUCCAUCUGGUCCUGGGCUUUUCUUUUCUUUUUUUGGUUGGUAGGCUUCUGAUGGUGUCUUCUAUUUUGUCACUUGAAAUUGAUCUGUUUAAAUGUGUCUAUCAUCCUGAUUCAAUUUGGAGAAAUCAUAUGACUCUAGAAAUUUGUUGAUGCCUUCGAUAUUUUCUAUUUUAUUGGAGUACAAGUUUUCAAAAUAAUUUCUAAUUAUUUUGAAGAUAAUUUCUAAUUAUCUUCUGUAUUUCUGUAGUGUCAUUCAUGAUAUUUCCUUUUUUAUCACGUAUGUUAGUAAUUUGAUUUUUUUCUCUCCUUCUCUUUGUUGCAUGGCUGACGGUCUGUCAAUUUUAUUUAUGUUUUCAAAGAACCAACUUUUUGUUUUGCAUUUUUUUCAGUUGUUUCUUUUGUUUCAAUUUCAUUGAUUUCAGCUCUGAUUUUAGUUAUUUCCUGUCUUCUAUGCUUUUGGAAUAAAUUUGUUCUUUUUUUUCUAGGACUUUGAAAUGUAAAGUCAUUUAUCUGUUGACUUUUUCUUCUUUUAAGGAAUAAACUCCAUGAAGUGAACUCUCCUCUUAGAACUGCCUUCAUAGUGUCCCAGAGAUUUCGAUAUGUUGUGUCCGUGUUCUCAUUCAUCUCUAAAAUUUUUUUAAUCUCCUCAUUGAUGUCUUCUGCAACCCAUUGUACCUUCAGUAGCAUAUUAUUUAGUCUCCAGGUGUUGGAGUAGAUUUUAUUUCUUACAUUGAUUUCUAAUUUCAUUCCAUUAUGAUCUGAUAGAUGCAGGGUAGUAUCUUUACUUUUUUAUAUUUGCUAAGGGUUGCUUUGUGGCAUAAUAUAUGUUCUAUUUUAGAAAAGGAUCCAUAUGCUGCUGAGAAGAAAGUGUAUUCUCUUGUUGAAGGAUAAGAUAUUCUAUAUAUGUCCUUUAAGUCUAAGUUAUUGAUUGUGUUUUUGAGUUCUAUAGUUUCUUUGUUCAGCUUUUGUUUGGAAGAUCUAUCUAGUGGUGAAAGAGGUGUGUUAAAGUCACCCAAAAUUAUUGUGUUGUGGUCUAUUUGAUUCUUGAACUUGAGAAGAGUUUGUUUGUUGAAUGUAGAUACUCCAUUGUUUGGAGCACAUAUAUUUAUAAUGGUUAUGUCUUGUUGAUGUAUGGUUUACUUGAGCAGUAUGUAGUGUCCUUCUGUAUCCCUUUUGGUUUACUUUAGCUUGAAGUCUACUUUAUUUAAUAUGAGGAUGGAAUCCCCUGAUUGUUUCUGCAUUCCAUGUGAGGGGUAUGAUUUUUCCCAACCUUUCACCUUCAGUCUGAAUGUUUUUUCCUAUGAGAUGAGUCUCUUGGAGGCAGCAUAUUGUUGGGUCUGCUAGUUUAUAUCUUUUGAUCCAUGAGUUUAGGCCAUUAACAUACAGGGUUAUUAUUGAGGCAUGCUUUGUAUUCCCAGCCAUUUUUAAAUUUUUGAUAUUUAACUUGACUUGAUUUCUCCUCGGAUUAGUUUUUCCUUUAGUGUAAUACCUCCCUCUGCUGAUUUUCAUCAUUGUUUUUCAUUUCCUCUUCAUGGAAUAUUUUGCCAAGGAUGUUCUGUAGUGUAGGCUUUCUAGUUGUGAAUUCUUUUAACUUUUGUUUAUCAUGGAAGAUUUUUAUUUCAUGAAAUAAAACUAAAGUUUAAUUUUGAAAACUAAAGUUUAAUUUUGCUGGGUAUAAGAUUCUUGGUUGGCAUCCAUUUUCUUUUAGAGCUUGGCAUAUGUUGUUCCAUGAUCUCCUGGCUUUGAGGGUCUGGGUUGAAAAAUCUGCUGAGAUAUGCAUUGGUCUCCUUGUAUACAUGAUCUGAUUCUUCUCUCUUGCGGCCUUUAAGAUUCUAUCCUUAUUCGGUAUGCUAUAAUGUGCCUUGGUGUAGAUCUGUUGUAAUUUUGUAAAUUUGGUGUCCAGUAAGCCUCUUUAUUUGGUUUUCCAAUUCAUUCUUCAUACUUGGGAAAUUUUCUGAUAUUAUCUCAUUGAAGAUUUUGUGCAUUCCUUUGGUUUGAAACUCUGUACCUUCCUCUAUCCCAAUAACUCUUAUAUUAAGUCUUUUGAUGGAUAGCAAGAAUUAUGGGAUACCAUACCAAGAUUCUUGAUGUUCUGUUCAUGGUUUCUUACUAUCUUCACUUUGUGGUCAACUUUAUUUUCCAGAUUGUAUACUUUGUCUUUAUUAUCUGACAUUCUUUCUUCCAAGUGAUCUAGUCUGUUGGUUAUACUUUCCAUUGAGUUUUUUAUUUGGUUUAUUAUUUCCUUCAUUUCAAGGAUUUCUGAUUGGUUUUUUUUUCAGAGUCUCUAUCUCUUUCUUGAAGUAUUUGCUCUCUUAUCUCUUUGUUGGAGUGAUCAAUUUUUGACUGUAUUCGCUCACUUAGGUCAUUCUUUAAUUCACAGAUCAUUUUAAUUAUGAACCUUCUGAACUCCUUCUCUGACAUUUCAUCAACUUCACUGUCCAUGGGUUCUGUUAUUGUAGUAUCCUGGUUUGUUUAUGGCACUUUCCUCCCCUUUUUUUUUUUCAUGUUGCUGCAGUACUGAUCAGAUUUGUAGUUACUGAUAUCCUUUCGAGGCCAUUUAUCUAUGUGUCUUCCUUUCUUGCAGUGUGGAUCUGAGAUAUUACAGUUUCUACCCCAUAUUCUUAUAGUACCCGUGUAGAUUGUCUGUACCUCACCUUGAUGUUGGGCUUCCAGACCCUGCUGGUGUCCCUCAAUGUAUGCUACUGCAACUAAAGGUGGUGGCAGCAAUAGCAGAGGUAACAUGAGAUAAUAGUGGGGGUACCCCAAGAUGGAUGCAAUGUCUUACAGAGAUGGGGCUGAAAGGGUGGGCCUUACACUGUCUUUGGGAUGCCUGCUCUGAGAUGCAGCUGCUUCUAGGCCCUGACUGUUGUCAAAAGGCAGGGGCUACUGUGUGGGGAAGGCUAUGGCGAUGUCUGCAGUGUCUCAAGAUCAAAGUGGGUUAGGCUUGGGCAUCCAGGUGUGUGUGUGGGGGUGGUGAACUUGGACCUACUCUGGGCCUGUCCCACAUAUGUUGAUGUGGGUGGAUCUAGGCCAGGCCUGGGCUCCCAUGGUGUUCUGUUGGUCUGAAGAGGUGGUCCUGUGCCAGAGCCUGAGUUCCGGGGAGUGUCUGCGGAUGGCGGAAUGGACCCAGGCCUACUGUCCAUUGCAUAUUUUUUACCCUACUUUCCUACAGAAUAUUUUUUAAAGAGUAGGCAAAUAAAUUCAGUGAUCAUAUGCAAAUGACUCUUUGAGUUAAGGGGAAAGCAAGUCAGGAGAUCAUGUGGUAAAGACAGUGGUGGCUUCUUUUUCCUGUGUCUUCUCUUCUACAGUUUUUGCAGUACUGAUCAGAUUUGUAGUUGCUGAUGUCCUCUCCAGGCCAGUUAUCCAGAAAGAUAGACCAUCAAAACAGAAAAUUCCUUAGAAAGAAAUUCCUUAGAACUUUUCAUGCUCAAAGAUUCCUGGAACUAAGUUGCAUGUGGGAAAGGGCAACCAUCCUGGCAACCCCCACUGAAAUUCCAAUUUUAGGUUUAUAGAAGGUGGUAGGACUGGAGAAAAUUUGACUGGGUACUUCUCAGUGGUCUUUAAGUUCAUCUCAGUCAAUUGUCUUUUGAAGGUUUUAGGAGCCAGCUUCAGGAGGACACAAUGUCUUAGUUUGACUUUUCCAUUUAGUUAACAGGCUUUAAAGAGUGGGAGAUCAAUCUGAAAGGCUGUUCAUUUGAUUUCUUUUAAUAUAUAAGAAAAUUGUAUGAAGUCUGUGGCUCUAUUUUAAAUUGUAGAAUUUUGAAACUGGAAGAGAGGCUAGAAAUAACAAGUCAUUUUGUACUUUUACCAGUGGAAAAAAUAAGCCCUGAGAGGACAAGGAAGUUGCUGAUGGUUUCAUAAGAAUUCAGAGUUCAUGUCAGAAAUAAAGGCCAUGUGUUUUGUCUCCUGGGAUGCUUAUACUAGCUCUUCUUAUACCAAGCAUUCUCACCCUACUCGCCCCACCCCCCUGAAUUCUCUACUCAUUUUAGAACAUAGAUUGAAUCUUGCCACUCUCCACAGGAUUUUUGGCACAUUGAGCAUAAAAUCCAGACUCCCUUCCCAGGCUCCUUCUGGCACCUGCCUCACUUUUCUCCUUGUUUAUCAUCUCUCUUCUUCUUAGCUUAUCACAUUCCAGUCACACUGUCUUCCUGUUGUUCCUCAAAUACAGAAACACUGCUUCUCAGGGUCUUCCACCUGACUUUUCAUUGCCUCCGCUUGGAGUAUUCUUCCCCCCCCCCCCAGAUCUUUGCCUGGCUUGUUCUCUCUCAUCAUUGAUGUUGUGGCUGAAUAUUGUUUCUUCAGGAGGAGGCUUCUUCCCAUGUGCUCUCCCCUUAUUUUGUUUUAUUUUUAGUCAUAUAAAAUUAAAUUGUUUAUUUGCUGUCUAACUCCUUUUUGGCAUGCAAAUGCCAUGAAGGCAUGGAGUUUGUCUUGCUCACUGCAGACUCACAGACAUGCACAAAAGCAUCUGGCUCAUAGCCAAUGCUCAGUGUGUGUGUUGUUUCAACAAAUGUUGGUGGCUGGAUCAAAUAGAGUUCAGUUUAUGAACAUUUAGGAUCUGUUUGUAUUCUAAUUUCCUUAUCUAUAAAACAGUGUUGCAAGGCUGUUGAGAGAUCAGAUAAUCAAACAAGGCUAUGCCCAUUCUUUGUAAAUGGUGAGGAAUGGGCUUAUGUUUGUGGUUGUUACAGAAUGAUCCUGUGCUCUUAAGGCAAUAGGAAAGGCCAGGCCCUCUCCAGUAAUCCCGCCCCUGAUGCUUUUCCUUUGCAGAGACACACCCUGCUUGGCAGGGGAGGAGGAGUGGACUACUGCCCCAGUUCCCCAGACCAUCAUGGACCUCUUCCAAAACGGGAACUGGACAAUGCAGAACCCUUCACCUGCCUGCCAGUGUAGCAGUGACAAAAUCAAAAAGAUGCUGCCUGUGUGUCCCCCAGGGGCAGGGGGGAUGCCACCUCCACAGGUGAGUCCCCAUCAGAGUAAGACUGCAUAGUUCAUGCAGGGUCAGCAGCCAGCAUCUGCUGGGAGCAGGAAUGAGUGAGAUGUGAGAUUAGGAUAGUUUAUUUCAGCCUCGAGGUUAAUGCUUAUCAUAAGGAAAAGCAAGGGAGUUUUGAGGGAAGGGGAUUUGGACCACAGUGUACCUAUGCCUGUCCCACAGUGUUGGUGUCAUAGGAAAGAGAGUGGUAGGCAUGGCUUCUAACCCUCGUUCUGCCACAAAUUAACUGGUGGCCUUCCAAAAGGCCAUUUUAAUUCUCUGGGCUUCCUUCUUAACUGCUAGAUUAGGGAGGCUGAACCAGAAAACUUUCAAUGGGCCUUACCAGUUCUGAAAUUUUUCUGCGAUUCUGAGUUUAGGACAGUUAUCUGAGCCUUUUUGUUUCUUCCUCACAAUUUUAGGAAGUCUUGUUUGUGCUACCUUUCUGCUGCUUUAUCAGCAUCCAAGUUGAAGGGUGAGAAUAAGGCAUUUUAAGCAGAUGUAAGAAGUCAUGGUUACCACUCUAAGUAGCUAAUCCACUCAAUGAACUCCAAUGAACACAAGAAUUCACUAGGCAAAGUUUGUGAUUCUGUGCCCCAAUAUCUCUUGUGGUAAAGAAAAAUCACAUCUCAGUGCUUAUUGUUUAGUUAUUCCAAAUAAUUCCCUAGGGAAGACCUUGGUGUGGUAUAAGUGCAUGACCAGUACUGAGGGCAGCAUGGACCAGAUCUUGGUGGUGGUUGGUGGAGGGUGAUGCCUGGGCCCUGUGGUUAGGGCUCCAGUCACACAGUGGCAUGUGUUGGAGGAACAUCUGUCACUGUAGCCCUUGAUAUGUUUUAUGUGCCAAUUCUUGUCUAAGAAGACACACAUGCUUGAUUUUUAUGUCGUGACAGAGAAAACAGAACACUGCAGACAUCCUUCAGAAUCUGACGGGAAGGAACAUCUCGGAUUACCUGGUGAAGACGUAUGUGCAGAUCAUAGCCAAAAGGUGAUUAUUUACGCAGUGUGGCCUGUGUUUUAUCAUCCCUGAUUAGAGGAGUUAAAGGCCUACAAAUAGUGGACCCACAUGGUGGGGAGAUUGCCAGAGUAUGGCUUGAUGUUUCUACUGGAAGUUUAGGAUGUCAUCCUAAACUAGAAAUGAUGCGUAGAGGUACUGUGAGCAUUCAGUUUUUAGCUUAAAGGUUGAGGCAGCAUUGUCUAGAAUGAAAGUAAGUAUGCAUUCAAAUUUGAAUUCUACCACUAACUAGUUGCUUGACCAGGAGCAUUAUCAGGCAGAACCUUAAUCUGAAAAAGGGAGUGGUGGUGGUUUACCUCCAGGUUAAGGGGACAACUCUGAGUGACAGUAAUCAAAAUUUUCUCUUUGUUAUCCUUUUAAAACUCUAAUUUGGGGGCUGGGAAUAUAGCUCCAUGGUAGAGUGCCUGCCUACUAUGCACGACACUCUGGGUUCGAUCUCCAGUAUUGUGGAAAAAAAGUCUUAAUUUAUAUAAAAGUGAUAUUACUGUUGCUCCUACAAGUUUGUUGUGAGAACUAAAUGAAGUGAAUUAUGUGAAGUGUCUUAGAUGCUCAUGUGAUAUCAUGGGGAGAACCUUGAGAAGAUACAGUAGCUCGUGGCUAUGGAACUUUGAAGCUUCUGGGACCUGGUGGCAUAGUGUCAAAUGUUUAGUUAAUGCUCAGAAAAUUUGUGUUCUGGUUCCCUUCCCAGCAGCUUGAUAAAGAGGGGUAUCUGUGUUAGAAGCUCAUUAUCUUUAAAUGAUAAAGCUGAUCAAAAAUGUAAUGACCUUGAGUCAUUAACAUAACUUCUCCAUAUGUCAUUUAUAACUGAUGUAUUAGUUGAAUUGAAAAAUCUUCUAGUUAAUUCAUGCCUUGGUUUGUAAGGUGGUUUUUAAAACUGGCUCAACCCAAGUAUGACCUUAAUGUAAGGUUUUUAAGAUAGAAUACAAGGUAUGUUGAGAUUAGGCUUCUUUCCACUGGUACAGUCCUGUAGUGCCAGCCUGAUGAUAGGAUUACUUCUGGUCCUUUCUUUUGUCUUCAGGUAGAUGUUUACUCCUUUUGCAUCAUCAGGUAUAGCAUCAGUCUUUCUAGAACUGAUUUUUGGUUUUUGUCUUUAUUUCUGCAGCUUAAAGAAUAAGAUCUGGGUGAAUGAGUUUAGGUAAGUUGAUCUCAAGAUUUUCCCUGGUGCUUCUAGUCUUGGGAGAAUGAUUUUUAUGCAGGCAUAUUGGAUGGAGGGAAGCUGUUGGUUUCGGGAUUGUUUGCCCCUCACACACUCCUGGGUGCCACAUCACUGUGAGGAGAGAAAGGCCCUGUAGAAUCUAUGGAGCAUGUGGGGUAUAGACAGGCUUAUAUUAGACUUGGAUUUUCUGCCCAGAGCAUUUCUACUCAGUGUCCAGCUGCCACUUCAGAGGCCUUUGAACAAUCCGGUUCACUGAUUUCCUUAAGGGCACUUAGAAAUCUCUUGUGAGUCUCCAGGGACUAGUAACAUUAUGAGGGAAAUACCUAUCCUAGUUGCAGUUUUACCCAAUCAGAUUCCCACGGGUUCCCAGGGACUCAAGAACAAUUUUUCAGGCCUUUGGCAUAAGAUAAAGAAGGUCUUGGAGAAAAUAAAAAACAUUUUCAUAUUUUAAUCCAUUUGUCCCUCUGGGUCUUGAAGAUGUGAGGGGGUAAGGAAGCAUCUUUGGAUCCAGUUUGUAUAAUCAUGGAAAUGAGAUGGCUGGUGUGACUUCCUCAGGAGACCUUAAAGGCUCCCUGUUACUGUUUCACACUUUUCUUCCUUGCCUUGUCCCCAAGGGCCAGGAUCUUUGAAAACUCUGGGCAGAGCAGAGUAGCCCUCAUGCUAGUAAAGAUACAAGGUCUCUUAUCCCCAUCUGGCCCACUUGCGACAGUGUCCCUCACCACCUACCCUUCUACCCCAUCUGCUUGCCUACAAAGACAGUAGUGAAUGUGAAAUAAAUGACCUUACUUUUCUCAGUGUCUCAGAUAUCUAACUAUAAUCAGACCCAGGACCUCCCUACUGGGCAGCAACCCAGUUAAUAGCUUGCUAGAAUCCAAGGUAUAACUUGUCUGAAUCAAACUUUGGUUGAAUAAGAAAUGGGUCUCUAAGAGGCUUGUCCACACUCAUGUGGUGUCUGCUGCUGGUGAUCACAUGUGGCAUACUGGGUUUUAAUGUCAGGCUGUUCUUCUAGGUAUGGUGGGUUUUCCCUCGGUGUCAGUAACUCUCAAGCACUUCCUCCAAGUCAAGAAGUUAAUGAUGCCAUCAAGCAAAUGAAGAAACACUUGAAGCUGGCCAAGGUAGUAUAUCCAUCUUGAGACAUGUUGGAAGAAAGGGCUUGGAGCUACUGGGACAUGAGCAUAGUGGGCAGAUAGAUCUGACCAGCUAGCAGCUCAUUGUUCAGAUUAUCUUUGACUACUGAGCCAUCAUUGGUAUUCUGUGACUUCAACAAGACGGGAUUGAAUUAUUCAGUGUAUACUUAAAAUCCUGAAAGUGUAGACCACAAAUAGAUUCAGAGAUUUAAAAGUUCUUAGAAUAACUGUUUGUCAGUUUGGCCAGUAGUAAAUAAACUGGCCUUCAAGCAGACUUCCAAAACAAUCACUAACUAAACAGAAAUGGAUGAGUUUCAUUUUUAAGUUGGCUGGCUGGUCUUCAGGUCCUAGUGAGCACACACUUCAUUUCUCUGUAUCUCAUAUUUCCCAUUUUGAACUGAGAAUUGAGGGAGUCAUAUGACAUGGAUUUUGUGAUCCUGGACAGCAGUGAUAGUCCUAGAGUCCAGUCUGUACUUCUGCCUUUGGAACACAGGCCCUAAUGUCUGACACAUCUGCACAUAAAUUGUGUUUGUGGUUCUUGGGAUGAUGCCAGGGGAACACUUGGAAGAAAUUCUCAUUGCCAGGUUAUACAGACAACAGUCUUGGGACUUCAAGCCACAGGAUUUCUCAGAUAUUUUUAAGACUGUGGCAUUAUGGAAACAUUCAUGCUGUAGGCUUCUGGUCAGUUGGUUCUCAGGAAUCAUUUAAUGGCUUUAAAUUUAAUUUUAGUGUGGUAGUGGUGGUGUUGCUCUUGAUAGGGGUGUCUUGUUGUCCACAGCUUCCGGACUGACUGUUGCCCUUUACCUGUUUGAAUCAUCACAAUUGAGGUGGGUUUCUGUUGUUUACAGGACAGUUCUGCAGAUCGAUUUCUCAACAACUUGGGAAGGUUCAUGACAGGACUGGACACCAAAAAUAAUGUCAAGGUAAAAUGCUGUCUGUGUUUUACUAACUUUUUGGUAACCUAUCCUGUUCCCUGAAGUAUUUUCAGCCAUAGUAAAAUUGGAGGGGUAUUCAUGACAGAAAAGAGCAAAUGGUUAAAUCCACUAGGGAGGCUGUAUAGUGGAGUGAUUAAGAGAAUUUGUUUUGUUGCCAGACUUUGACUUGAAUUACUUAACCUUCAGUUUUCUCAUCUGUAAAAUGGGGAUAAUAAUCAUGGCUCUCUCCAAAUAGUUAUGGUGAAUAUAUGAAUUAAAGAUACAAGGUCCUCAGUACAACCCUGGGCCCCAUAGUCGGUGGUUGUAUCCUUGUGUUAUCAUCACUCUGCCAUGUUCUGCAGUGUUUUGUAUUGGUAUAUGACUUGAGUUUCUAAAAUUUAGGUGCAUGAUUUGUGUGUGUGUGUAUGUGUGUGUGUGUGUAUGUACCUACUUCUGAGAGUAGUGUUUAGGAACAUUAUCUUUUACCUGCUAUGUUUUAUCUCAGGUGUGGUUCAAUAACAAAGGCUGGCAUGCUAUCAGCUCUUUCCUGAAUGUCAUCAACAAUGCCAUUCUCCGGGCCAACCUGCAGAAGGGAGAGAACCCUAGCCAGUAUGGGAUUACUGCUUUCAAUCACCCCCUGAAUCUCACCAAGCAGCAGCUUUCAGAAGUGGCUCUGUAAGUAUGGCUGUGUCUAAAAGAAUGGGGUGAGGAGAGAGUACUGGGGAAAUCUGGAGCAGGAGAGGGAAAUAGAAGGCUCCUUGUAGGGUAGCUGUUGCAGAGUCAAGUACAGUAUGUAAGUCUGGGUCCAUCCAGACUCUGGGCAGAAAAGAUCACUUUACAAAUUGACCAGCAGGGCCUUUUUGAAUUGUAGAAGAAAAUGGCACAGAUAUGCAAAAAUCAUUAUAUUUGGUGAUUCAUAUAAAGCAAGUUGAAAAUUGUUAAUACAAUCCUAAAAUAAGUAUAUUCACCAUUAACACAUAAAAGUCAGUUUCAUUUGUUUUAAAACUGUUUUAACCCAGUGAAAUAUGCUUUAAAUAGUUUGACUUGAAUUUGUCUUGAAUUUGUGUGUGUGUGUGUGUGUGUGUGUGUGAAGUUUAAAGCCAGUACAGUCUUUGGAAUUAUAGAGAUCUGGGUUUAAAUCUAGACUGUCAACUUUCUAGAUGUCUGAUAUUAAAUGAGGCCAUUUAUGUAAAUUGCCAAGCCAAGCUCCCAGCACAGAGUUGACAUUCAAUAUGUCAUAUCCCCUUUCUAUAAAUGGAGCAUGAUGCAGUUAGUUUCUACUUAAUUCCUAUAGAAUAUCAAUAAUGGACACUAGGGAUCUUUAUACCAACACCUUCUUAAUUGGCUUGUAAAGUGUCUUAUAAAAAGAAUCUGAUAGAAUUGUUAUAUGUGUUAGAUUGAUAUACUACAUUGUGUUGUUCUAAAACUUACUUAGAGCAAUAAAUAUUAACUUAUUUGAGUAGUUUCAUACCAUUAUUUUUUGUGUGUAUGGAUAUUUAUUAUUUAUUGCUCUUACAAUGUUAAGAACAAUGGACAAGGGGCUGGGGUUGUAGCUCAGUGGCAGAGCACUUGUCUAUCACAUGUGAGGCACUGUGUUUGAUCCUUAGCACCACAUUAAAAAAAUAAAGGUAUUGUGUCCAUCUACAAAUACAAUAUUUUUAAGAAAGAACAAUGGAUAAAAUUGAAUAUUGUUAGACCACACCCAGACUUCCUUUAACAGCUUCAUAUGGCAGUGGACUCUUUAACCUUAGUGAAAUCAGCUUUGCAUAUGAUUUUUAAAAAAUAAUACCAGGAAUUAAAUCCAGGGGAAGUUUACCACUUAGUUACACCCCUAGCCCUUUUUAUUUUGACACAGGGUCUUACUAAGUUGUUUAGGGCCUCACUAAAUUUCUGAGGCUGAUCUUGAACUUGCGAUCUCUUGCCUCAGCCUCUCUAGUUGCUGGGAUCAUAAGGGUACACCACUAUACCGGGCUCAGGUUUGCAUUUGAAUUGUCAUUUUUUUAAACUUGCAAAUGAUCAUAUUUAACCUUGAAUAAAACAUAUUUGGUGAACAGAUGUUUUUCCCUGAGCUUUCUUUGGAUGUGUGUGUUUAUGUCUCUCUCUCUGUGUAUGUCUCCUCAUUUGUUGUAUUUCCACAAUAAAUGCAUCAAAGACAUCUCUGAUUUUCACUGCCUUUUUUCUUUCUAGGAUGACCACGUCAGUAGAUGUACUUGUGUCCAUAUGUGUCAUCUUUGCGAUGUCCUUUGUCCCAGCCAGCUUUGUUGUGUUCCUGAUCCAGGAGCGGGUCAGCAAAGCCAAGCACCUACAGUUUAUCAGUGGAGUGAAGCCUGUCAUCUACUGGCUUUCCAAUUUUGUCUGGGAUAUGGUAAGGGCACAGGCCUACUAUCUUUGUAUGAAUCUCCAUCAGGGCCAUGAAAUGGCAUAUAUAAGACAGAGCACCUGUCACUGAGAAUUGUUCCAGUUAUUCUAAAGGUGCAUGAGAAAAGGAAUGGGAGAGACACUUAUACACUUAUACACUUCCAUAACUCCAAAUAUGGUGCUGGAUGCAGAGCUGACUUCACACAGGAAAGAAUAUCUGACUAUACUGAUGACAGUUAUUACCUAAUUUCCUAUUUGAAAACUUUCCCAAGAAACAGAAAUGGAAGGACCUUAGUCUCUCCCAAGCCAGUACUUUUAACUUCUCUGAUAAAUUUUGACCUAUAGAGUCAAGAUAUUCUUUAUCUUGUUAGGAAAGCCAUAUGUUCUUUAAAAACUCCAUACAUUUUACCAUAAAUUUAUUCAUUCAUUUGCAAAUGUAUUUUUGUACCAGCUAUAAUUAAUAUAUUGCUUCUAUUUGGACCAAUAUGGAAGCCUUCAAAGAAUUUUGAAGUUCUAAUUUAAUAAUAAAGUGAAGUUGACCUAUAUUUCCUUAUGAAUUCCAUGAAUUCUAAGCCAUAAGGAACAAAUCUAGUUCUUUCCUCUUUGGAUGGCUCCUCAGAUAUUUAAAGACAACUCUCAUCUAACCAAAGUCUUCCACAGAUGAGAUGAUAUAUGAGAACACACUUAGUCAUCUCUAAAGCACUGUAACAAUGUGAUAAUGAUGGAGAUGAUGAUGAUGUCUUUACUUAUUAUACCAAGACUCUAAGACUGGCCCCAUAUUCCAUAUUGUUAAUGUCCCUUUUGAAAAGCAAAGUCCAGAAUUAACCUUGUAUUCAGGCGAUGGUUUGAAUGGUUACAAGUCUAGAGGGAAUUGAUCUUUCUUCCAUACUUCUAUUCUGCAUUUUAGAAAGAGCACUGUCUUAUUGGCAACUUGAUAGUGAACUGGAAUCUUACUUCACAAAAAUGACUGUUAAAUUGGAAAGCUUUUGUGUUAUGCUAAUACAAUUAACUUUUUAGAACUUAAACUUUACACUUAUCCCUUUUAAACUGCAUCUAGUUAAGUGUCUAUUGUGUUUUGUUUUUGUUUUAUCUUGGUCCAGUAAUUACUUCAUUCAUUUAAAAUAUACUGAGUGCUUACUCUGUGUCUGACUAUGCCAGGCAUAGGAGAUUCAGAGAUGAGAUGGAGUCCCUACCUUCAGGGACAUCACUUAUAUUCUUGUAUAUUAUCUGCCUCUACCUGGUUUAGAAUCUGCAAUUUGCUAUCAGCAUAUCUUCAUCUAAGUUGUUGAUAAACACAUUGAAUAGGAUAGGACUAAUGCAGAGUCCGGUAGCCUUAAGCUGCAAUUCUUUUAACAGCUGACAAAAAUCACUGUCACCUCCCUGCCUGUGCUUUGCCCUGCCAGCUAUGAAAUCUCAUAAUCGUUCUAUGGUCAGGUCUUUAUUUCUGCAUUUUAAUGCCUGAAGCACUGUCAGAACAGACUUUCAAAUUAUUCUCAGUGUGAUGAAACAAUUCUGACAUUCAUGUUAUGAGCGCUUACCUUACAAAUAGAUUACAUGUGAGAUUGAACUUGGGCAGACUAUAAUAUAGCAUUAAUGAUGAAACAGACACAAUCAUCUCUGGGAAGAAUAAUGGAAGCUUAUUUGUCUCCUGUGAAAUUGAAAUUCCUCCGACUGAGGAUCCAUCGUUCAGUGAGUUUACUGAGCGUGACACCUUGGCUUAGUUGUGAGAAAGACAGAAAGGGCAUGCAGUUUAUAAAACCAACCAAGGGUAAAAUGCUUGUCACAAUGUAUUGUCCGUAUUUUGAUUAAUAGUUUAUGUGGCUUCAUUAAUUCAAUAUUAUUCUCCAAUAUGUUUGUCUGCCCUUUCUUGUCUGGUGAUGGUAAAGACUUGGAAUGUGCUGUAUUUUUGACUUACGAGUUAACUUUAUUUCCUUGUUUUCUCUUUUAGUGCAAUUAUGUGGUUCCUGCUACAUUGGUCAUUAUCAUCUUCAUCUGCUUUCAGCAGAAGUCCUAUGUGUCCUCCACCAACCUGCCUGUGCUAGCCCUUCUUCUUUUGCUAUAUGGGUAAGGCACUUUUGGGUAGAGGACUCUAAAAGUGGGUAAGGCAUAUAGUACCCAAUGUCAUAGGGAGGGUAGAGGACUCCAAUGGACAUUUAUCUUCUUGUCUCACCAGGUGGUCAAUCACACCUCUUAUGUACCCAGCCUCCUUUGUGUUCAAGAUCCCCAGCACAGCCUAUGUGGUGCUCACCAGUGUGAACCUCUUCAUCGGCAUCAAUGGCAGUGUGGCCACUUUUGUGCUAGAGCUCUUUACCAACAAUGUGAGUUCUGUAGAAAGAGCACCUCCUACUGGGAUGGGCACUUCUGGGUGCCAGAGGACAGUGGUUAAUUAGGAUCCUAUUCCACUUCUCUGUGACUUUGACUCUGCUGACUACUCCGUCCUCUUUCAGAUACAGCCUUCCGUGGUCUACACAAUACCUUUGUCUCCUGCUGUGCCUUAUAUUUCCCUGGCCAAACAUUUCAGUUUCUUCUGUCAAGUUCUUUUAUGCUUCCAUUUCAGUGUCACUUUGCCCAAGGCUCAGUCCUCUGUCAGCUUUGCUUUCCACUUGAGACACCAUAUCUGGGCAAUGCCAUUCAAUCCCAAGGCGUGCACCACUGCCUUUCUCAGUGUCUUAUUGUUCUCUCAGAUUUAUGCCUUGAUUGUUCCCUCGAACUCUACUCUCCCAUUUUCACAUACCUGGUGGAUGGCUUCAUUUAAAUAACUUAUAGAUACCCAGAACUGGAUAUGUCGUCAUCUUUCCCCUUAGAACCUAGUGUUUCUCUUGCCAUCCCUGUCAUACUUGCUGGCAUUACCAUCCAAUGCAGUUGCCUAACCCAGCUCUCUUGGAAUCAUCCUUGAUGCUUUGCUAUUGCUUAUUUCACAUGUUUGACUGGUCCCAUCAGUUCUUUCAGUUACACGUCGCAUAAACAAGACUCCUUCCAUUCCUGUUGUCACUGCCUUUGUCCAAAUACCUUAGCUCAGCACACAAGGGUUUCAUAGAUGAACAACCUUUCCUGGCCGCUUCCCACUACACCCUUUCUCAAAGCCCUGUAACUUUAGCAGAGUUGUCCCGUAAACUCAGUAUAAUCCUGUAGGCUUGGCUUGAAAUGCCCUUCUUGUAUUGCAGAGCCUGGUACUAUUCUCCCUGCCCUUCAAGAUUUAGCUCAAAGGUGAUGUUGUGCUACUCUGCCCUUUGGGAUGUGCUCUCUUUUUCCCUGGGCCCUCAGAGCCCUCCGUUCUGCCUCUAGUACCACACAUAUCCAGUUACAUAGUCAUUUCCUAUUUCCAUGUUUCUCUUCCUAACCACAGAGACUAUUUAUUCAUUAGCUUUUACCUCUCCCAUGCCCCAGCACAGUGCAUCUUACAAAUAGUAACUUCCUUAAUCCCUGGAUAUGUGGCCAAUGUUGGCUGGGUAUCAUAAUAAUUUUUGAUGUAUUUAAGAAGAUUUUUAUAAAAUUCUAGCAAAAUCCUAAAAUUCAAAUAUUGACCCAGACACAAGCAAUUUGCUUUUAAAAUAUUAAGCAAAUAUUUUGUUAUGGAUUUGCUUCUGGUCAAACAUAGCCUUGUUGCUAUUCUUUGUUCAUUUCUUUAUACCCACAGCAUUACUCCAAAGUUUUUUAAAAAUAUGGAAAAUGCCUACUCCUAUUUAUUGGUAUCCGAAUUCAAAGGUUCAUUUUAUUCUCAGGGAAUCAAAUUGUUUCUUUACUCCCAUAUUUCAGACUUGGAUACAUUUUUAGCCUAAACUAUGAUUGAUAUCCAUACUUUCUCUCUCUGUUAUCUUUUUAGAAGCUGAAUAACAUCAAUGAUAUCCUGAAGUCUGUGUUCUUGAUCUUCCCACAUUUUUGCUUGGGACGAGGGCUCAUUGAUAUGGUGAAAAACCAGGCAAUGGCUGAUGCCCUGGAAAGAUUUGGUGAGUGGAGCAGUGGCUGCUAGAGGUUUCAGAAGAGAUGGCAAUUGCAUGGGCCUUGGGCCCUAGCUUUUGUUUUGGAAAGGGACUGAUGAAUGGGCACUGGAUGUCCAUAUUCCUCUUGCCCCCCUGAAUGUUUAUGCCAGUACAGCUGUUCUGGUGUAGUGUGACAUAGCUAUUUAUCUGUGAAAGGGCAUUUUUGGGAGUAAGGAAAAUGCUGGCAUUUGCUUGUACCCAGUGCCUCAUGCUACUACUUGAGUUUAUUGGAAUUACUGAAAAAGUAACACAGCAUUGGGACUUAGAUACAGAACAAGAAUCAGAAGGAGAGAUGUACACUUUGACUCUAUUAGGAAAAUCACAGGCCUGGAGGUCAUAUAUUAUCUUUUACACAAUCUAUAAAAAGAUAAUUCACUGCAGCUCUUUCUACCUUUAGAGUGGUUAAAAAUAUUUCUCAUAUCAUCAUAUGACUGUCAUUCAUCUACUGGCUAAUGUAGUUAGAUGGGCCAUGUCAUUUGACGGACAUAGAAGAGGGACUUUCUUCAACUUGGAGGUACAAAGGAGAUGUAUAAGGAAUUUAAGGAAUAGUUAGAUAAAAUCAGGUGACUUAAUUGAGUCACUGGGUUACAUUAUGUGCCGUUGAAAUGGUCAUCUUUUUAAUGUGCUUUCUAGUAUUUCUUAUUACUAAAAACUUGGAAUUCAUUAAAAUACUGACCUUAAAAAUUAUCCUGGAUUGUUUGCCUUAUCUAAAAGGAUUUUUGGCCUAUCUCAUUCAAAAGAUAUUAGCUAUCUGACAUGAAGUUAUAGAUCUAAGACAUGUUGGCUCUAAAAUUCUGAUUGAUACAGGGUAGUAGUAUGUUCCCACAAGUCAGAUUUGAAAAGUAGUCACUCUCAUUAUUUUUUCUCCUUUUCUUUGGUAAUAGCCAUUGGUGUUUCUAGGAAAAUAGGUGAACUGGACCCCAUGUUUGAAGAAGGACAUGGUUCUUGACACCUUCAUUCUGACUUGAUUUCUGAAUUUUGUUUACUAGGGGAGAAUCGCUUUGUGUCACCACUCUCUUGGGACUUGGUAGGACGAAACCUUUUUGCCAUGGCUGUGGAAGGGGUGGUAUUUUUCCUCAUUACAGUUCUGAUCCAGUACAGAUUCUUCAUCAGGCCCAGGUAAGCUUUUGCUCAGAACUCAUGGAGCACUUGGUAGAGGGUCACAGAGGGGACACAGGGAAACACUUGCCAAGGAUGGUUGGAUCGAAUUUGAACUCAAGAAAAUCAAAUUGAUUUUCCUAUUAUGGGCAUCCUGCAACGCCUACCCUGCCAAGGCUGGAAGUUGUGGCAAGCAGGUUUUAGGAGAUUGCUUUAGAGACUGGAUUUUGUUUUUAAAAAGAGUUUGAAAGGUUGUUUUUCUUAAAAUUUUUCUUCUAAGACCAGUGAAAGCAAAGCUUCCUCCUUUGAAUGAUGAGGAUGAAGAUGUAAGGCGGGAAAGACAGAGAAUUCUGGAUGGUGGAGGACAGAAUGAUAUCUUGGAAAUCAAGGAGUUGACUAAGGUGAGAUAGUGAGUAGGGGCUAUUACAGGCUUAAUUUUUCAGUUGUAUGUGCUGGAAACUACCCUAGUUGCUUAAUGAAAAAGCUUGCUUCCCCAAAUGUGCAUCUAUACUAAGCUACUGUCAAUUUAAUUUUAUUUUAAAGAUACAUGGAAACUUCUUAAUUAGAGAGUCUACUGAGAAUACUUUUGUAAUGUGAAUUUCCAUUCUCAAAUUUAUUUCUUUUACUUAUAUUUAUUUGUGUGUUAGUUAUUAAAACAUUAUAUUGUUAUGUUGUAUGCAUGUACAGAUAUGUAACAACAAAUCCCAUCAAUAUGUACAACUAUAAUGCACCAAUAAAAAAUGAAGAAAAAACAUACUAAUAUUAUAUAUCUAGUCAAAACUGAGGUAUGGAGAAUAAAUUGUUGAUUUUAAAUUUUAUAAUCACCAAAGCUGACAUGUCUCUAAUGCCCGCUUAGAUGGCAGAAUCCCAAAUUUCACUUUUUGUAACACAUAGAAUAUUUGAAAUACUUUGAUUGCAAAAUUUUAUCCUGUAGAAUCUAAUUUUAGGCUGGGGUUGUGACUCAGUGGAAGAGUGCUUGCCUAGCACAUGUGAGGAACUGGGUUUAAUCCCUGGCAUCACGUAAAAAUGAACAAAUGAAGUAAAGGUAUUAUGUCCCCCUACAACUAAAAAAAAUUUUAAAAAAAUUAAAAAUGAACUAUAAAUAAUACAUGGAAAAAAUAUGUAGAUAUUAGUGUCUGAUAUAUUUUUUAAAAGACCCAAAUUAAAAAUUAAAAAGAAAUUCACUUUUAUUUUGAGCUUCAAAGUUACACCUGGUUGGCAGAGAGAGAAAUGGCUCUUAGCACAUCAUAUAUGACUUAGUCUUAUUGACAGAGUCUUAUUUCAUGGCGUGUUUGGGUUAUAAUCCUCUCUGCCACAGUUGCUUGGAAGAGCUGUGAGUCACUGAAGCUCAUGAAUUUGCAUUUUGUCUGUUGCAGAUAUAUAGGAGGAAGAGGAAGCCUGCUGUUGACAGGAUUUGUGUUGGCAUUCCUCCUGGUGAGGUAAACACACUUUGUCUGCAUUGUGUUUGUUAAUUCACACUGUAUCUAUCCAAUCAAAUAACCAUGUUUAUAAAGGAUGAAAAUGGCUUUCAAAGUUUCUCUCCUUAUGCCUGUGUGAAGCAAUCAGUCAUCAAGAGAUUGGGGACCCCUUAUAUCAAGAGAAUGAUUUUGGAUAAUCUCGGGCAUUUUAAGAAAAGCAUGUACACCCAAAAUGUGCUUUUGUGAUCUAUUUCAGAGGAUGAGGGAAUUCAAAUAGAUUUUUCUCCUUCUCAUUUCUGAUGUGUCCUUUUAUGCCCUUUAGUCAAAUAAGGUGGUAUAAUUUGACUAACUGGCUUUCAUUACUGUUUUUCACACAUCCAUUAACUUGGUCUUAAUCUGACAACUCAAAUGGUACUUAAAAAUACAGACUUGCUGAAAAUGAUCCCAUUAUAAAAUACAUAUUUAAUAUCUGUAUGAUGUCCUAAACCAAAAAGAUAUUUGUCAUUGAUAUUUAAGAAUGAUGUUUCAGGAUGAUGUCAUAUAAAAAUGAAGCUCAGUUGGCUAUUUUCUAGGGUUGUUCAAAUUUAGUUUUAGUAGUUUGAUUAUACAACUCACCUGGUCUUAUUCUUUCAGUGCUUUGGACUUCUGGGAGUUAAUGGUGCUGGGAAAUCAUCCACUUUCAAGAUGCUAACUGGAGACACCACUGUUACCAGAGGGGAUGCUUUCCUUAACAAAAAUAGGUGAGAAAAGAAGUGAUCUGUAUUUUGUUACAAGGACUUUUUUUAGUUUUAAAGAAACACAUUGUUAUUUUUUGAUUAUAAUAGUACACUUUAGAUUUCAUAAAAAUGAAACUGUUAAAUAUAGUAAAGUUUAAAGAAGAACAAAAAAAAUCAUCCAUAAUUUCACUACCUGGAGAUAACCACUCUACAUUUUCUUUCAGUCUUACUGCAUCACUUUUAUCAGCUUUUUCAUACGUGUAAAUUACUUGUUUUUAUUUUUUAUUUUUUUAAAUAAUUACUUUUUAGUUUUAGGUGGACACAUAUCUUUAUUUUACAUUUAUGUGGUGCUGAGGAUCGAACCCAGUGCCUCGUGCGUGCUAGGCGAGCACUCUACCACUGAUCCACGACCCCAGCCCAAUUACUUGUUUUUAAAGAACAAUUCAGUAAUUCUUAGUGAAUUCACAGAAUUGUGCCAUCAUCACUACAAUCCAGUUUUAGAUGUUUUCUAUCACCCCAAAUCUGUCUUUCUACACAUAUAAAUGUAUCAUAAAAUUGAGAUUAUUCUGCAUAUAGGUUUAAAAUUAGUUUUUAUUGUUAAUGGUUAUAUUAUGAAUAUUUUCCAGUGGGUUAAAAAUACAUUGCUCCAUAAAAUUCCUCUGUGUACAUGUACCUAUAAUUUGUUUAAUCAAUUCCUUAUAAAUGUUGGGCAUUUAUUAAUUUUUAUUUUUUACUAUAUAAAUAUGUGCUUGUAUACAACUUUUAUUGUUUCUUUGUAUUAGUUUCUACAAGGUAUUACCUGCUAGCUCAUCUUCUAGAAAGAGUGGACCCACUGAUGAAGCCAUCACUAGGCUGUUUUCUGAGACUGUACAGUUACAAAGCAGUCUGAUCUUUGGGAGUACAGCAACACAUUAGAGGCCUGUUAGGCAGUAUUAACAUUGAAUGCUCUAAAUAUGUGGGGUUUCUUCAGGCUUUCUAUAUGGAUACAUGGUACAAAGGCAGUGACCUUUAAACUCUUCUGAACCAUGAUCCAUGUAGGAUAUAAUAUUUUAUACUUCAGCCUGAUACACACAAGAUACAUUAACACACAUAUGAUUUAAUGAAAUUUUUCAUAAAUAGUACCUGCUGUUACUACUUAAAAUACACUCUAAUAACUCUUAUUUUAUUCUCUAUCAUGUCAUUUAAUUUUGUUGUUGUUGUUGUUACUGGGGAUUGAACUUAGGGGCACUCAACCAUUGAGCCACGUCCCCAGCCUAAUUUUAUAUUUUGACUAGAGACAGGGUCUCACUGAGUUGCCUAGUGACUUGCUGUUACUGAGGCUGUCUUUGAACUCAAGAUCCUCCUGCUUCAGUCUCCAAAGCCUGUGGGGUUACAGGUGUGCGCCACUGCGCCCGGCAUAUCAUAUCAUUUAAAAAGUGCUGGUUGUGGAUUUAUUUUAUAAAUCACUAAUGGGAGAUGACUCUAAAUUUGAAAACACUGAACAGGGGAAUAGCCAAUAAUAUUGAAGAGUGAGGAAACUGAUGUACUCGUUGAUCUUUUUUCCCCCUUAUCAAUCAUUUCAGUAGCAACUUAAGAACCUUAAAAGAACAGAACUUUUGGGAAUACCACUGUUCCCUAGGCUUAUUUCUAAUGCUCCUGGGGCACUUAGCAAUGGCAGCAGUAACUGGCUCAACCUAAGGUUUAUCAUAGUAAUGGGUUAUAAGAACUGACUCAGUCAUAAUUCUGGAGAAAGCUGACACUGGGAGUUCUAAAUAGAUAAGCAGAGAUGAAUGACCACUGCCAAAAGGCCAAGUUCAAGUAGGUCACAACCAGUACUUUUCAAAUGACAUGUUAGAGAAUAGAAUAAGAAUUAUCAGAAUGUACUAUUAGUAGUAACAACAGGUACCAUUUUAUGAAACAUUUCAUUAAAUCAUAUGUGUGAGUGUUAAUGUAUCUUAUUGAGGGUGUGAAGUGCAGGCAUGAAAAUGGGAUAUAGACACUGAAAUUUUCAUACAUUAGGGAUUCUUAACCUUAUUGGCAUCAAAGAACCUAAAAAUUGCCCCCACCUGUAAGAUUGUAGGUGUAUUUUUCUGUUUCCACAUGUUCAGAGGGUCUACGAUAAAGGAACAAGCAAAAAACCCUUAAAAGCUAGGAGGGUUUCUGGGCUAGGUAUUUGGUAGGACCAGAAUAUGUGGAAUAUGCACACUGUGGUUGAGUCAAUGUAUGGCUCAGCAGAAGGCAGAAGGGAGCUCACACCCAGGAUUUCUGGGUCCAGAUGGUCAUGAAGACAACUUUGGGCUGACAAUGCACUUGGUACAUAUGACCACAGGAGCAAGUCUGGGAUGAAGAUGUUAAAGCUCCAGAUAGUGUUAUUUAGGUUGUUGGUAAAGACUGCUGCAGUGGGCAUGGACUCAGGGAUUUUGAAACAGGACCAAGCAUGCAUGUUUGAAAUGCUGGGAGAUACAGAUGCAAAGAUAAGGCAGGGUAGAGACAGAAACCCUGACAGAUGGGAACAGCUAUCAUCCGAGGGGCAGAAAGGCUGUUCCUUUAAGCAGCAGAUAUUGGUAUCUUUGUAAAGCACAAGCAUACUCUAUAGGAAUGUUAACCCAGAUUGUCUGAUUAGAAUAUGUCUAAAUGCUUAAAACCUAACAAGUUUUAUUUUCAUUUGCAGUAUCUUGUCAAAUAUCCAUGAAGUACAUCAGAACAUGGGAUAUUGCCCUCAGUUUGAUGCUAUCACAGAGCUGCUGACUGGAAGAGAGCAUGUAGAGUUCUUUGCCCUCUUGAGAGGAGUCCCAGAGAAAGAAGUUGGCAAGGUACCAUGGAUACUAGAAAGCCAACCUGCCUCUUUGGCAUCCUGACACCAUACCUUAUGGAUUUUCCACAUAUGACUACUUCAGGCUGUUUUCCUCAUGCAUGGGUGGGAACCCAUAAUGGUGGGGGAGUAGGGGUGGGUAGGCAUGCAUUGGUUGGGGGUGUGCAGAGAGGGAGUACUGCUCCCAUCACAUAAAUUUCCUCUCCUUUUUUCUGGUACCUCUGUAGUUGCAGGUCAUGAUUAUAGAAUCCAGUCUUAAUCAAAGAACUUUCACAUAUAAGUGUAACAAAGCAUGCUAAAAUUACCAAGGCAGACAAAAGUCAAGGUGCUUUAUCUCUCCAGGUUGGUGAAUGGGCAAUUCGGAAACUGGGCCUUGUGAAGUAUGGAGAAAAAUAUGCUGGUAACUAUAGUGGAGGCAACAAGCGCAAGCUUUCAACAGCCAUGGCUUUGAUUGGUGGGCCACCUGUGGUAUUUCUGGUAAGUGUGACUUUGGGUGGAAAACUACUGGUCUGGCCUGAAUGGAAAAUAGGCCAUUGACUGUGUGGCAGAGCAACCUUCAAGAAGAGGGGAGUUUCUUUCUUGGCACAAAUAGGGGUGACUCUGUCAAAUAGACACCCCACGUACCUGGCUUGGAGAAUCCCUAUAAGUCUGUGAGGCUGAAUGUGUGAUUUGGUCCUUCUCUGGAACAUUCUUUCUGAUCAUCUAUGUGUUCAUAACCUGAAUAUGGAGAGUGAGGACACAGCUUCAGAUCCCCUUUGUAGCUGGGUGUGGUUGUGUACAUCUGUAAGUCCAGUUACAUGGAAGACUGAGGCAGGAAAAUCACAAGCUGGAGGUCAGCCUGGGCAACUUAAUGAUACCCUGUCUCAAAGUAUUAAAAAAGGGCUGACAGUGUAUCUCAGGGGUAGAACAUUCCUGGGUUUCAUCCCCAGUAUUAAUAACAACAAAUAAAGAUCUCUUCACUGGAUCAUAGUUCCUUAAGAGAGAUAAAUGAAAAAUACAUUAGACAGCAGUGGCCUUUGAUCUCCUUUCUUUGCUAGAGAAGAACACUGAAGUUAUUAUAGGAAGAAACCUUGGGUUAAGGUUAUAGAAUAAUCUAGAUCAUAUGAAUGGUCUAGACUAUAACCAGAUAAGCUGAAGUAGACUAGAAUAAAAAAAGAAGAAAAGGAAUUUUACUCAAACCUUAUCCUGACAAAGAGAAUUUUUAGUAUAUACUUGUUAGUAAUGAAAAGAUGAUUGAAACUAAUGGCUCUUUUCCUUCCCUAUUUAUUUGAAGAAAUUUGUUUAAUUUUUAAAAAAUUUCCUUAGAAUAUUUGAGUUUCUUGCUUCAAUGAGACAUUCAUAAAAGUGAACUUGUUCUAAGUGAGUUUGAAAUUUAUUCUGUUAUUUUGGUUCAAAAUAACUAAAAUAGUAAGUUAAAACUUAUGAUGUUUAAGAAUGCUUCAGCUUUUAAAAACAAGUCUAUCUUUGGUGUUUUAUUUAUAGCAAAUGAUAAAACUUAUUUUACUUUAAUUUCAGGAUGAACCAACCACAGGCAUGGAUCCCAAAGCCCGAAGAUUCUUGUGGAAUUGUGCCCUAAGCAUCGUCAAGGAGGGGAGAUCAGUAGUGCUUACAUCUCAUAGGUCUGUAGUGAAGUCUUGGCUUGGCUUUUACAUUGUGUUAUUUGUAAAUCUGCUAAAUAGUAUACAUGUUCAUUUAGUAAAAGCUAGAAAGUACAGCAAGGCCAAGGUUACAUUUAUCACCUGAAAUUGUAUUACUUGAAAACAUCUAUUGUUCUCAUUGGCUUAUGCAUGUUUGCAGGGAUUUCCUAUGCAAACCUAUGUGUACUUGUGUGUAUGUAUUUUUACAAACAAAAAUGCAAGCAUAGUGUAUAUAUAUACUCUGAUCUUUUUCACUUAAUAUUAUUGUGAACAUUAUUCUAAGUCAGUAAAUUUAAGUAUGUCAUCAUCUCUUAUAGCUGAAUGGUAUUCCAUUAGUAUAUAUCCUAAUUUAUUUAAUUCUUUCCAUUUGUUAGACAUUUGAAUUGUUUCCAACUUAUUCACAAUUCUAAAUGGCACUGCAGAGAGGAGCUUCAUCUGUAUAUCGACAUGUCUUUAGAAUAGGAUGUGAUUAUGCACUGGAAGCUGGGAAACUUUUUUCUUUGAAAUGCCAGAUGUCAUGGUGAUGUUGUGAUGUUUAUGGGAGCAUGUCUCUGAAACUAAAACUUUGUUCUGUUUUCCCACAGUAUGGAGGAAUGUGAAGCUCUUUGUACUAGGAUGGCAAUUAUGGUCAAUGGGAGGUUCAGGUGCCUUGGCAGUGUACAACAUCUGAAAAAUAGGUAAAAGAGACUAUUUCUUUAGGAUAGCACCUAUUUAGAAACCUUGAUGAUUAUUCUUUCAUUGGUGUAUAAAUGGUAGCUUAAAAAUAAAGAGAAAUUAAACUGGGAAAAAUAGUAUGGUGCAAAGAAUCAGGGCUUUGAAGUCAAACUGAACCAUAGUCAAAUUCUGUCUUUAUUAUAUACUGGUUGUUUGACUCAUAAGCAAGUUACUUAGCCUUUCUGAGAGUCUAUUUCCCAAGAAUAAUACUUCCUGGCUUUGCUUUAUUUAUGAAAUUAAAAAACUCACAUGACAGUGUGAUUAACAGCACAAGUUUUGGCGUCUAUGCAAAUGGGUUUGCUUCCCCUCUACCACUUAGGAACUUUGUAUCAUGGGCAAGUGACUAACUCCCUGGGCUUAAGUAACAUCUGUCAGACUUCAUGGAUCCAGGUGAGGAUUAAAGACACUGAGAAACAGGGCACUCAGCAUCAGGGCACUGAGCAUCUGGCACUGCUCAUAGAUUCUCAAUAAAUGAUAACUGGUUCCUUCUCUCUGAAACUGAUCUCUGGGUUUUUCAGGGACCUCCCAUUUUCAUGGCACAAGUUGGUUUCUCAGAGGUAAAUAUUCUUCUGAGAAGUUUCCUGGGGAUACUUCAUUUGGGUGUUUUUUUUUUUUUUUUCCUGCUUUCAGGUUUGGAGAUGGUUAUACAAUAGUUGUACGAAUAGCAGGAUCCAAUCCUGACCUGAAGCCUGUCCAGGAAUUCUUUGGACUUGCCUUCCCAGGAAGCGUCCUAAAAGAGAAACACCGGAACAUGCUACAGUACCAGCUUCCCUCUUCAUUAUCUUCUCUGGCCAGGAUAUUCAGUAUCCUCUCCCAGAGCAAAAAGCGACUCCACAUAGAAGACUACUCUGUUUCUCAGACAACACUUGACCAAGUAAGCUUUUAGUGUCAAAAAUAGAUUUUCUUCCCAGGUUGAUGAUUCCUGCCUACUCACACCUUCACCACAAGCCUGAGCACAGUUCAGACUAUCUGUGCUUGAAUUCCUCAUCUAUGAUUACUAGCAAUGCAUUUUACUAAACCUCUGUGAACCAAAAAGGAAGAUAAUGCUUUCUACCUGACAGAAUUAUUAUGAGAAUUUACUGAAUUAAUACUCCAAACAACUAUAAUUUAUUGAGUACCUAUCAUAGAUAGGGCAUUUUGCUAUGUGCCUUGUCCCAUUUAGAUAACAAAAACUACUAAACAGAUCCUGGCAUUUGAUAGGUUUUCAGUAAAUGUUCUCUUCACUCUUCCCUUUAAUCAAUGGAAGUUGGUGAUGUGGGAUUAACACAGAAUAUGAAUUUUUAAAUGAUUAUUAAUGUUUUUCAAGUAUCUUAUCUUCCCUCACACAGUUUUCUAGUUAAUCUACUUAUGCAAUUCUGUAUUCUCCUGCCUGACCUAAUUUCAACAUGAGGACAAUGCAAUUAGAAUAAAACUGCAGCUAGAAUAAAGAAAGAACAAGUCAAGAGGUACUUAUAAAGCCCUUCUUUGUUUUGACAGGUAUUUGUGAACUUUGCCAAGGACCAAAGUGAUGAUGACCACUUAAAGGACUUGUCAUUACACAAAAACCAGACAGUAGUGGAUGUUUCAGUUCUCACAUCUUUUCUACAGGACGAGAAAGUGAAAGAAAGUUAUGUAUGAAGAAUGUCGUUCAUACUGGAUGGCUGAACAUAAGGAAGAACGAGAUCUUCCUUUACACUGUGUGAAGUGUUCCAGAGGAACAGGCUGGAAGUUUUUGUGGGAAGAAGUAAACUGGAUACUGUACUGAUACUAUUCAAUGCAAUGCAAUUCAAUGCAAUGAAAACAAAAUUCCAUUACAGGGGCAGUGCCUUUGUAGCCUAUGUCUUGUAUGGCUCUAUGUGAAAAAGACUUGAAUUUAGUUUAUUACCUUUACCUAUGUGAAACUCUAGUAUGGAACCCAGUGGACAUUUGGGUUUGAAGUCAUACUUUUUUGUUCCUGUGUAUCCUCACUGGGAUUGCAGCAACAAUUCAUCAAAUAACCAUGGCCAGUGAUUAUCAAAAUCAAAGGCGUACAUCCUCAUCCAUUAAGCCAUCCCAUUCCAGGAGACCGGUUUCCUGGUGACACAACCAUUGCUGGCAAUGAGUGUGCCAGAAUUACUAGUGCCAAGUUGCUCAGAAAGUCUGAAACACCAUAGUGUGUAACAUACACCUUUGUAAAGCUGCUCUUCUCAGAGUCUAUCAACAUCAUUAAAUAUCAGGUGACAAAAUGGUGCCAUGUACGGCUAACGUCCUUCUUUGAGUCCCUUUUUGAUGAGCUGCUUUGGUGGCUGUAAUAUGUAAAGUAUGGAUAUCUCUACACACAGGAAACUUGGUUCCAUUGUUAUGUUGCCCCAUUCUUGGGAGCCAUGGGUUUCUAGGGUCUUUCUGGGACUGUUUAAAUCUACUUAGAUCCUGGUAAGAAGCAAAGGCUCAGCAGCCAAACUGUUGGAACUGUAAGUUGCUGAAGUCAAGGCAUGGGAUUAAAGAGAUGGUGUAUUCAAACCUAGUGCCCAUUUGUCCUGAUUGCUAACACGGUACACUGCAUCUCAAAAAUUUUGUUAUUUGACACAGGUGUAGUAUUAUUUCUGGCUUUUCGAAUUAAUCUAGAAAUGAAAAGAUUGAGUUAUAUUUUGACAAAAAUCUUUGUACUAUUAUGUCAUUUGGAAUUUUCAGUUAUAUCAGUGAUUUCUGAAACCUUAGAAUGACCUCUUUUAGGACCUGUGGUAUAGAGGAGUAUGGUCACACUGCCUCACUAGCUUUAUUUUUCCUAUACAAAUUUGCAGAUAGAAUGUCUGACUAGUGCCUAGUGACUAGAAAACAACAUGGUGGUCAAGAUCUCAUGAUAUUGUUGUUGAAUUUAAAAUCACGUAGAAUACUCUUAAAUCAGUUCAUCAAUCAAGUAUUUUUUGAGUAUAUGCUAUAGCUGAAUGUGUACGUAUAGAUGGAUGGAUAGAGAGGAGAAAUUAAGAAGAGAAAUUAAGUCUCAGUAGAUUUCCCAUGCCAUGUUAUUCAGCUAACUGGUUUACAAAAGAUAGGUUGUUUUAUUGUGAUUAUGGAAGCCCACUUAAAGAAUAUUGGCUAGACUUUUUUUUUCUUUUAAUAGCAACAGUGCAAAAGCCAGAAAAGGUCGCAAGGCUGAACAAUGGAUUCUUUCAAAGAGAAAUCAGCUAGCUUGGGAACUUGUUGAAUACAACUUGUACUUAUGACAUUUAGUACCUCCACAUAAUUGGUUCUGCAGAAAUGUUAGACACCCCAUUAAAUCUCUGACAAUCUCAAAUUUUGCAUCUCUUUAAUCAUUAAACUAUCCUGAAAAAAAUAAAAACAGCAAAUGCUUCCACAAAGAAUAGUUUUCAGACUUAAUCUUAUUUUAAUUUUUAAAUUAAAAAUAUUAUUUCACUAAUGCUCAGUGUCAUCUUUCUUGAGACAAAACAAAAAUAUGAGGGAAUUGCUAUUUGGCAAAGUUCAAGUGAACUUUCAAUAUCAUCAUUAAUUUAUUUUAACUAUUUCUAAAAUUUAAAUAUUAACUCUAAAGGUAUACAAUUUCAGAUAUAUUUCAAAUGUGUAUGUAUAUAUAUGUGAAUAUAUAUACAUAUAUAUUUAGAUUCAUAGACUGUUAAGUAACUCCUUGCUUUAAAAGAAAAAUGAUUUUCAAAAAAUUAAUGUCAUUAUUUUCUAAAAUGAUAAAGCAUAUUUUCAAUAACUGUUAGCAUGAGAUUACUACAUUCAUGACAUUUUCAAAGAUAUAAGAAUAAUUUAGUUUUUAAGAAUAAUUUAGUUUUUAAGAAUAAUUUAGUUUCUCAUUAAUUUUAAAAAUAAAAUAAAAAUCUGGUGGUUUUCUCAUUUCACCAUGAAUCACUCUCAUUCAUGAUAUUAAAUCCAUGAGUGACUCUUUGCUUCUAAUUACUCUGACUUCAAGGUCACAUUUUAAAACUUCAAAGGCACUGUGAACUAUUUUGAGAAAAAAAAAUUAAAUGUAGAUUUAAAAGAGUCUUUCUGAAGCUAGAAAUAAUAUACAGUUCUACAUUAACUUCAUUGUUAUUGUGUUACCUUUUAGACUAUCCAAAUAGUAAUCUUAAAGUUCCCUGUGUAAACUUAAUUAUGGUAGAAAUUUUUACCAACUCUAUCCUUAGAUAAAAUUUCUGUAUAUUAACUGUGGAAAUGUAACUAUGUGAGUUUCAUAAAUUCUCAAAAAGUGUUCAAAGAUUUCUGCUCUUGCAUCUUUUGGAUACCUUGGAAAACUUACUAACUGUGAAUAUAAAAAAUACAAAAGAAAAUAACAAGUCCUCUCUAUAUAAAUACCCAGCACUAUUCAUUGUUAUAAAACAAACAACCAAACCUCAACUACUGUAUUUUGAUAUCUGUACUGAAAGCAUUUCUUUGUGACUAUUAAAUGUUGCACAUCAUUCAUUCACUGUAUAGUAAUCAUUGACUAAAGGGAUUUGUCUAUGUUUUCUUCUCAUGGUUGUAUAUAUCAGGUAAAAUUUUUUCCAAAGAGCCAUGUGUUAUGUAAUAAUGAACCACUUUGAUACUGAGAUAUUAAUUUGUAUUUACUAGUAAUAAUGUAAUACCAUAGUUAAUACUGCUCUAAUUCUUUUCAAAAUUGUUGCAUCCCUUUUUAUAGAAUGUUUAUAUUUCCAUAAGGAUUAGGUAUGCUAUUAUUCCUUCUUAUACCCUUGGGUAAAGCUGUUUUUGUGCUUUUUCUUUAUCAUUGGCCCUUCAUUCCAAGCACUUUAUGCUAUCUGUAAUGGAUCUAUUUUUGCACUGGAAUAUCUGAGAAUUGCAAAACUAGACAAAAGUUUCACAAUAGAUUUCUAAGUUAAAUCAUUUUCAUUAAAAGGAAAAAAAAAACAAAAAAAUUUGUAUUGUCAAUAACUUUAUAUGAUGUAUUAAAAAGGCUUAUUUCUAUGUUGUAUUGAGUCACGAAAUAAACCUGUGACAGUUCUGUUGUCUAUGCAAAUUUACUUUUGUGGAUUCACAGCACCACCUGCUGUUGAAGUGUUAAUAAAGCCUUGCAAAAGUAAGAAGAAAUGUCCCACAUAGAUCUGGGG
RNAcentral lists this long non-coding RNA (142919 nucleotides) under Marmota monax (woodchuck). The stretch from base 120368 to 120432 matches the Rfam family "tRNA". The record is from RNAcentral. Lineage: Eukaryota; Metazoa; Chordata; Mammalia; Rodentia; Sciuridae.